Molecule: long non-coding RNA, 123842 nt
Filed under: Triticum aestivum (bread wheat)
Lineage: Eukaryota; Viridiplantae; Streptophyta; Magnoliopsida; Poales; Poaceae
Description: long non-coding RNA (TAES_LNC008874)
Rfam family: MIR1120/MIR1122 microRNA precursor family (bases 55539-55664)
Source: RNAcentral
CCAUGUCAACAGCAUAGUCACCCUCACAACAAGACAAGCAUCUUCAUCAUAAUGUGGAAGCAACAAAGUUGGUGAUAAAAAUGAACAUGGUCACCCUCAAUAGCAUAGUCAACUACAACUGAAGCUAAAAACAUCCAUCCAACCAUUUUGCACACUAAUCUAUAUUAGGCUUGAGUUGACUUGCAGUUGGCGUUCUUGCGGCCAUACUUUUGGUUUCAAGCUAAACAAACGGCUCUUUGGGCUAUGGUGAAAAAAACUACUUGAUCUGGAAGCUAAUAAAACGAAGUUGGAAGCCGAUUUGUUUACAACGACAAGAAGUGAUACAAUAACUUGUCCAGGAUGCUACUAUGAGAGAACAGUUUGAUUUGGAAAUUGGUAAAAGGAGAAAGACGAGGAAUUUAGAAAGUACAUAUAGCUUAUUGAUUAUAAUGGAAGUCAGGAAACCGUUGAGAACUUUGAAGAACAAAUGGCUAAAAUUUAUGGAGUGGCUUUGGAUGCUAGUGAUGGUGGGGACAUGGAAGAUGCUCUUAGAAGAUGCCCUAGAUUGAAAUGCAAAGAAUAUUUCAGGGUGGAAGAUUUAGAAGAAAAAAACAGAGCUGAAGCUAGAGGUAAUUAUAGUAUGGAUGUUGAUUUGUCUUCUUCUAAUGCCUCCUUACUUCACAUGAAUGCUCUGGUGGGUAUUGAAUUGGGAUGUUCCAUUGAGAUGGUUGAUAAGAACCUUGACAUGAUUAAAAAUGGAACAUGCUAGGAAAUAUAUAUUUUCAUGCAAAACAUUGUUAAUAAUUAAGAAUACUAGUAAAACAGAAAUCACUAGCUCACCAGGUCCAAUUAACACCGGUGGUGCUGCUCUUGAUGAGUUAUGUUCUGAUAAUGAACAUUCUAAUGCCGAGAUGGAAGAAUACUACUAUAUGCAACUAAAAAAUAUUUUCUACGUUGGGAAAAUGAAGAGAGAUAGCUCCCGGAAAUAGGUUCUCUGAUGCACUUUGAUUCCAUUGAAGGGCUGAAAAAAAUCCUAAAUUAAAAGAUAAUAUGGUUAAUUUGUUUAGAAAUGGAAGGAGUUUUUUAGAGUGUGAGAGGUUUGGGGCAAGAUCUCAAAAAAUAGAUAUGUUAGGGAUGAUCAUAGAUCAUAGAUUAGAUUUUAUUGAGCUGUUGGAAGCCAUAAAACAAAAUUACUCNNNNNNNNNNNNNNNNNNNNNNNNNNNNNNNNNNNNNNNNNNNNNNNNNNNNNNNNNNNNNNNNNNNNNNNNNNNNNNNNNNNNNNNNNNNNNNNNNNNNNNNNNNNNNNNNNNNNNNNNNNNNNNNNNNNNNNNNNNNNNNNNNNNNNNNNNNNNNNNNNNNNNNNNNNNNNNNNNNNNNNNNNNNNNNNNNNNNNNNNNNNNNNNNNNNNNNNNNNNNNNNNNNNNNNNNNNNNNNNNNNNNNNNNNNNNNNNGGGGGGGGGGGUUGAAUGGCACUAGAAUCACCCUAGGGGAAGGUCUGGUGGGAUUUUAGUUGGUAUUAAUAAAGAUAUGUUUGAUCUAAUUCAGGUUGAGAGUGGAAAAUACUUUAUUAGAAUUUCGUUAUUUAAUAAACUUGCCAAAUUCAAUUGGAAUCUUAUUACUGUAUAUGCGGACGCCCAAUUGGAAGGGGAAGCUAGUUUCUUGGCUGAACUAGCUAGAUUUUAUCAUGAUAAUCCCAUAACAUGUUUGGUGGCUGGUGAUUUUAACAUAAUUAGCAAAGGUUGUGAAAAAAAAUCCAGUAAUACUGAUCACUAGAGUUUUGUCUUCAAUGCAAUUAUUGAGCAUGCUGGUUUGAGAGCGAUGUCUUUAAAUGUGAGAAAUUUCAUUUGGGCAAACAAUUUGGAGGAUUCUACUUUUGAAAACUAUACCUUCGGGGUUAGUUUUAGACUGAUACGUCUCCAACGUAUCUAUAAUUUUUGAUUGCUCCAUGCUAUAUUAUCUUCUGUUUUGGACAUUAUUGGGCUUUAUUAUACACUUUUAUAUUAUUUUUGGGACUAACCUAUUAAGCGGAGGCCCAGCCCAGAAUUGAUGUUUUUUGUCUAUUUCAGAGUUUCGCAGAAAAAGAAUAUCAAACGGAGUCCAAACGGAAUGAAACCUUCGGGAACGUGAUUUUCGGAACGAAUGUGAUCCAGAGGAUUUGGACCCUACGUCAAGAAAGCUACCAGGAAGCCACGAGGUAGGGGGCGCGCCUACCCCCUGGGCGCGCCCUCCACCCUCGUGGGCCCCAGGUUGCUCCACCGACGUACUCCUUCCUCCUAUAUAUACCUAUGUACCCCCAAACUACCAGAUACGGAGCCAAAAACCUAAUUCCACCGCCGCAACCUUCUGUACCCGUGAGAUCCCAUCUUGGGGCCUGUUCCGGAGCUCCGCCGGAGGGGGCAUCGAUCACGGAGGGCUUCUACAUCAACACCAUAGCCUCUCUGAUGAAGUGUGAGUAGUUUACCUCAGACCUUCGGGUCCAUAGCUAUUAGCUAGAUGGCUUCCUCUCUCUUUUUGGAUCUCAAUACAAUGUACUCCCCCUCUCUUGUGGAGUUCUAUUCGAUGUAAUCUUCUUUUGCGGUGUGUUUGUUGAGACCGAUGAAUUGUGGGUUUAUGAUCAAGUUUAUCUAUGAACAAUAUUUGAAUCUUCUGAAUUCUUUUAUGUAUGAUAGGUUAUCUUUGCAAGUCUCUUCGAAUUAUUAGUUUGGUUUGUCCUACUAGAUUGAUCUUUCUUGCAAUGGGAGAAGUGCUUAGCUUUGGGUUCAAUCUUGCGGUGUCCUUUCCCAGUGACAGUAGGGGCAGCAAGGCACGUAUUGUAUUGUUGCCAUCGAGGAUAACAAGAUGGGGUUUUUAUCAUAUUGCAUGAAUUUAUCCCUCUACAUCAUGUCAUCUUGCUUAAGGCGCUACUCUGUUCUUAUGAACUUAAUACUCUAGAUGCAUGCUGGAUAGCGGUCGAUGUGUGGAGUAAUAGUAGUAGAUGCAGGCAGGAGUCGGUCUACUUGUUUCGGACGUGAUGCCUAUAUACAUGAUCAUGCCUAGAUAUUCUCAUAACUAUGCUCAAUUCUGUCAAUUGCUCAACAGUAAUUUGUGCACCCACCGUAAACACUUAUGCUCUCGAGAGAAGCCACUAGUGAAACCUAUGGCCCCGGGGUCUAUUUUCCAUCAUAUUAAUCUUCCAACACUUAGCUAUUUUCAUUGCCUUUUAUUUUACUUUGCGUCUUUAUCACAAAAAUACCAAAAAUAUUAUCUUAUCAUGUCUAUCAGAUCUCACUCUCGUAAGUGACCGUGUAGGGAUUGACAACCCCUUAUCGCGUUGGUUGCAAGGAUUUAUUUGUUUGUGUAGGUGCGAGGGACUCGUGUGUAGCCUCCUACUGGAUUGAUACCUUGGUUCUCAAAAACAGAGGGAAAUACUUAUGCUACUUUGCUGCAUCACCCUUUCCUCUUCAAGGGAAAACCAACGCAGUGCUCAAGAGGUAGCAAGAAGGAUUUCUGGCGCCGUUGCCGGGGAGGUCUACGCAAAAGUCAACAUACCAAGUACCCAUCACAAAACCUUAUCUCCCGCAUUACAUUAUUUGCCAUUUGCCUCUAGUUUUCCUCUCCCCCACUUCACCCUUGCCGUUUUAUUCGCCCUCUCUUUUCUGUUCGCCUCUUUUUCGCUUGCUUCUUGUUUGCUCGUGUGUUGGAUUGCUUGGUUGUCACGAUGGCUCAAGAUAAUACCAAAUUAUGUGACUUUACCAAUACCAACAAUAACGAUUUCCUUAGCACUCCGAUUGCUCCUCUUACCGAUACUGAAUCUUGUGAAAUCAAUGCUGCUUUGUUGAAUCUUGUUAUGAAAGAUCAAUUCGCCGGCCUUCCUAGUGAAGAUGCCGCUACUCAUCUAAAUAGCUUCGUUGAUUUGUGUGAUAUGCAAAAGAAGAAAGAUGUUAACAAUGAUAUUGUUAAAUUGAAGCUAUUUCCUUUUUCGCUUAGAGAUCGUGCUAAAGCUUGGUUUUCGUCUUUGCCUAAAAAUAGUAUUGAUUCUUUGAAUAAGUGCAAAGAUGCUUUUAUCUCUAAGUAUUUUCCUCCCGCUAAGAUUAUCUCUCUUAGAAAUGAUAUUAUGAAUUUUAAGCAACUUGAUCAUGAACAUGUUGCACAAGCUUGGGAGAGGAUGAAAUUAAUGAUACGUAAUUGCCCCACGCAUGGUUUGAAUUUGUGGAUGAUUAUACAAAAAAAUUAUGCCAGAUUGAAUUUUGCUUCUAGAAAUCUUUUAGAUUCGGCCGCGGGAGGCACUUUUAUGGAAAUCACUUUAGGAGAAGCUACUAAACUCCUAGAUAAUAUUAUGGUUAAUUAUUCUCAAUGGCACACUGAAAGAUCUACUAAUAAAAAAGUGCAUGCGAUAGAAGAAAUUAAUGUUUUGAGUGGAAAGAUGGAUGAACUUAUGAAAUUAUUUGCUACUAAGAGUGUUUCUUCUGAUCCUAAUGAUAUGCCUUUGUCUACUUUGAUUGAGAAUAAUAAUGAAUCUAUGGAUGUGAAUUUUGUUGGUAGGAAUAAUUUUGGUAACAACGCGUAUAGAGGAAACUUUUGUUGGGGAACGUAGUAAUUUCAAAAAAAUUCCUACGCACACGCAAGAUCAUGGUGAUGCAUAGCAACGAGAGGGGAGAGUGUUGUCCACGUACCCUCGUAGACCGAAAGCGGAAGCGUUAACACAACGCGGUUGAUGUAGUCGUACGUCUUCACGAUCCGACCGAUCAAGUACCGAAUGCACGGCACCUCCGAGUUCAGCACACGUUCAGCUCGAUGACAUCCCUCGAACUCCGAUCCAGCCGAGUGUUGAGGGAGAGUUUCGUCACACGACGGUGUGGUGACGAUGAUGAUGUUCCACCGACACAGGGCUUUGCCUAAGCUCCGCAACGGUAUUAUCGAGGUGUAAUAUGGUGGAGGGGGGCACCGCACACGGCUAAAAUAUCGUAUAUCAAGUGUGUCUAGAGGUGCCCCCCUGCCCCCGUAUAUAAAGGAGCAAGGGGGAGGCCGGCUGCCUUGAGCGCGCCAAGGAGAAGGGGGAGUCCUCCUCCUAGUAGGAGUAGGACUCCCCUUUCCUAGUCCAACUAGGAAGAGAGGGGGGGAAGGAAAGAGAGGGAGAGGGAGAAGGAAAGAGGGGCUGCGCCCCCUCCCCUAGUCCAAUUCGGACUCCUCAUGGGAGGGGGCGCGCCACCUCCUGGCUGCUGCCCUCUCUCUCCCCUCAAGGCCCACUAAGGCCCAAUACUUCCCCGGGGGGUUCCGGUAACCCCUCCCGCACUCCGGUUUUAUCCGAAACUUCUCCGGAACACUUUCGGUGUCCGAAUAUAGUCGUCCAAUAUAUCGAUCUUUACGUCUCGGCCAUUUCGAGACUCCUCGUCAUGUCCCCGAUCUCAUCCGGGACUCCUAACUCCUUCGGUACAUCAAAACAUAUAAACUCAUAAUAUAACUGUCAUCGUAACUUUAAGCGUGCGGACCCUACGGGUUCGAGAACUAUGUAGACAUGACCGAGACACCUCUCCGGUCAAUAACCAAUAGCGGAACCUGGAUGCUCAUAUUGGUUCCACAUAUUCUACGAAGAUCUUUAUCGGUCAGACCGCAUAACAACAUACGUUGUUCCCUUUGUCAUCGGUAUGUUACUUGCCCGAGAUUCGAUCGUCGGUAUCUCGAUACCUAGUUCAAUCUCGUUACCGGCAAGUCUCUUUACUCGUUCCGUAAUACAUCAUCCCGCAACUAACUCAUUAGUCACAAUGCUUGCAAGGCUUAUAGUGAUGUGUAUUACUGAGUGGGCCCAGAGAUACCUCUCCGACACUCGGAGUGACAAAUCCUAAUCUCGAAAUACGCCAACCCAACAAGUACCUUUGGAGACACCUGUAGAGCACCUUUAUAAUCACCCAGUUACGUUGUGACGUUUGGUAGCACACAAAGUGUUCCUCCGGUAAACGGGAGUUGCAUAAUCUCAUAGUCAUAGGAACAUGUAUAAGUCAUGAAGAAAGCAAUAGCAACAUACUAAACGAUCGGGUGCUAAGCUAACGGAAUGGGUCAAGUCAAUCACGUCAUUAUCCUAAUGAGGUGAUCCCGUUAAUCAAAUGACAACUCAUGUCUAUGGCUAGGAAACAUAACCAUCUUUGAUUAACGAGCUAGUCAAGUAGAGGCAUACUAGUGACACUCUGUUUGUCUAUGUAUUCACACAUGUAUUAUGUUUCCGGUUAAUACAAUUCUAGCAUGAAUAAUAAACAUUUAUCAUGAUAUAAGAAAUAAAUAAUACUUUAUUAUUGCCUCUAGGGCAUAUUUCCUUCAACUUUAAUCCUAGGCCUUAUCCUAGUAAUUCCUCUAAUAAUUAUGGUAAUUCCUACAACAAUUCUUAUGGAAACUUUAAUAAGAUGCCCUCUGAAUUUGAGACUAGUGUUAAGGAAUUUAUGAAUUCGCAAAAGAAUUUCAAUGCUUUGCUUGAAGAAAAAUUGCUUAAAGUUGAUGAAUUGGCUAGGAACGUUGAUAGAAUUUCUCUUGAUGUUGAUUCCUUGAAACUUAGAUCUAUUCCACCUAAGCAUGAUAUCAAUGAGUCUCUCAAAGCCAUAAGAAUUUCCAUUGAUGAGUGCAAAGAAAGAACCGCUAGGAUGCGUGCUAAGAAAGAUUGCUUUAUAAAAGCGUGUUCUUCUAAUUUUUAUGAAAACAAAGAUGAAGAUCUAAAAGUUAUUGAUGUGUCCCCUGUUAAAUCUUUGUUUUGCAAUAUGAAUCUUUAUAAUGAUGGGACUGAAUAUGAUCCACCUUUACCUAAAAGGCAUUCCAGAAAUUCGGAGUUUUUAGAUCUUGAUGCUAAAAUUGAUAAAAGUGGGAUUGAAGAGAUCAAAACAUUAGAUAUUAAUGAACCCACUAUUUUGGAUUUAAAGGAAUUUAAUUAUAGCUGCUCUUUGAUAUAUUGUAUUUCCUUGUUGCAAUCCGUGCUAAAUUCUCCUCAUGCUUAUAGUCAAAAUAAAGCCUUUACUAAACAUAUCGUUGAUGCUUUGAUGCAAUCUUAUGAAGAAAAACUUGAGUUGGAAGUUUCUAUCCCUAGAAAACUUUAUGAUGAGUGGGAACCUACUAUUAAAAUUAAGAUUAAAGAUUAUGAAUGCUAUGCUUUGUGUGAUUUGGGUGCUAGUGUUUCCACGAUUCCAAAAACUUUGUGUGAUUUGCUAGGUUUCCGUGAUUUUGAUGAUUGCUCUUUAAACUUGCACCUUGCGGAUUCCACUAUUAAGAAACCUAUGGGAAGAAUUAAUGAUGUUCUUAUUGUUGCAAAUAGGAACUAUGUGCCCGUAGAUUUUAUCGUUCUUGACAUAGAUUGCAAUCCUUCAUGUCCUAUUAUUCUUGGUAGACCUUUCCUUAGAAUGAUUGGUGCAAUUAUUGAUAUGAAGGAAGGGGAUAUUAGAUUCCAAUUUCCAUUAAAGAAAGGCAUGGAACACUUCCCUAGGAAGAAAAUAAAAUCACCAUAUGAAUCUAUUAUGAGAGCCACUUGUGGAUUGCCUACCAAAGAUGGCAACACCUAGAUCUAUCCUUGCUUUUAUGCCUAGCUAGGGGCGUUAAACGAUAUCGCUUGUUGGGAGGCAACCCAAUUUUAUUUUUAGUUUUUUUGAUUUUUGCUUCUGUUUAGGAAUAAAUAUUUGUUCUAGCCUCUGGUUAGAUGUGUUUUUAUGUUUUAAUUAGUGUUUGUGCCAAGUUAAACCUAUAGGAUCUUCUUGGAUGAUAGUUAUUUGAUCUUGCAGAAAAUUCCAGAAACUUUCUGUUCACGAAAAUAAUUGUUAAAAAUCACCAGAACGUGAUAAAAUAUUGAUUCCAAUUGCUUCUGAUCAAUAAAAAAAAAUUCUAGGUCGUCCUAUUUUGGCUGAUUUUUUGGGGUUCCAGAAGUUUGCGUUAGUUACAGAUUACUACAGACUGUUCUGUUUUUGACAGAUUCUGUUUUUCGUGUGUUGUUUGCUUAUUUUGAUGAAUCUAUGGCUAGUAAAAUAGUUUAUAAACCAUAGAUAAGUUGGAAUAAAGUAGGUUUAACACCAAUAUAAAUAAAGAAUGAGUUCAUUACAUUACCUUGAAGUGGUCUUUUGUUUUCUUUCGCUAACGGAGCUCACGAGAUUUUCUGUUGAGUUUUGUGUUGUGAAGUUUUCAAAUUUUGGGUGAAAGAUUUGAUGGAUUAUGGAACAAGGAGUGGAAAGAGCCUAAUCUUGGGGAUGCCCAUGGCACCCCCAAGAUAAUAUAAGGACACCUAAAAGCCAAAGCUUGGGGAUGCCCCGGAAGGCAUCCCCUCUUUCUUCUACUUCCAUCGGUAACUUUACUUGGAGCUAUAUUUUUAUUCACCACAUGAUAUGUGUUUUGCUUGGAGUGUCUUGUAUGAUUUGAGUCUUUGCUUUUUAGUUUACCACAAUCAUCUUUUCUGUACACACCUUUUGAGAGAGACACACAUGAUUCAGAAAUUAUUAGAAUACUCUAUGUGCUUCACUUAUAUCUUUUGAGUUAUAUAGUUUUUGCUCUAGUACUUCACUUAUAUCUUUUAGAGCACGGUGGUAGAUUUGUUUUAUAGAAACUAUUGAUCUCGCAUGCUUCACUUAGAUUAUUUUGAGAGUCUUAAAUAGCAUGGUAAUUUGCUUAAAUAAUCCUAAUAUGCUAGGUAUUCAAGAUUAGUAAAAACUUUCUUAUGAGUGCGUUGAAUACUAAGAGAAGUUUGAUGCUUGAUGAUUGUUUCGAGACAUGGAGGUAGUAAUAUUAAAGCUGUGCUAGUUGAGUAGUUGUGAAUUUGAGAAAUACUUGUGUUGAAGUUUGCAAGUCCUGUAGCAUGCACGUAUGGUAAACGUUAUGUAACAAAUUUGAAACAUGAGGUGUUCUUUGAUUGUCCUCCUUAUGAGUGGCGGUCGGGGACGAGCGAUGGUCUUUUCCUACCAAUCUAUCCCCCUAGGAGCAUGCGCGUAGUGCUUGGUUUUUGAUGACUUGUAGAUUUUUGCAAUAAGUAUGUGAGUUCUUUAUGACUAAUGUUGAGUCCAUGGAUUAUACGCACUCUCACCUUUCCACCAUUGCUAGCCUCUUCGGUGCCGUGCAUUGCCCUUUCUCACAUUGAGAGUUGGUGCAAACUUCACCGGUGCAUCCAAACCCCGUGAUAUGAUCAAAACAGCCACCAUACCCACCUAUUAUGGCAUUUCCAUAGUCAUUCCGAGAUAUAUUGCCAUGCAACUUUCCACCAUUUCGUUUAUCAUGACACGUUCAUCAUUGUCAUAUUGCUUUGCAUGAUCAUGUAGUUGACAUAGUAUUUGUGGCAAAGCCACCGUUCAUAAUUCUUUCAUACAUGUCACUCUUGGUUCAUUGCAUAUCCCGGUACACCGCCGGAGGCAUUCAUAUAGAGUCAUACUUUGUUCUAGUAUCGAGUUGUAAUCAUUGAGUUGUAAAUAAAUAGAAGUGUGAUGAUCAUCAUUUUCUAGAGCAUUGUCCCAAGUGAGGAAUAAAAAAAGAGAGAAAGGCAAAAAAAAGAGAAGGCCCAAAAAAAUGAGAGAAAAAGAGAGAAGGGACAAUGUUACUAUCCUUUUACCACACUUGUGCUUCAAAGUAGCACCAUGAUCUUCAUAAUAGAGAGUCUCUUGUUUUGUCACUUUCAUAUACUAGUGGGAAUUUUUCAUUAUAGAACUUGGUUUGUAUAUUCCAACAAUGGGCCUCCUCAAGUGCCCUAGGUCUUCAUGAGCAAGCAAGUUGGAUGCACACCCACUUAGUUUCUUUUGUUGAGCUUUCAUAUAUUUAUAGCUCUAGUGCAUCCGUUGCAUGGCAAUCCCUACUCCUUGCAUUAACAUCAAUCGAUGGCAUCUCCGUAGCUCAUUGAUUAGCCUCGUUGAUGUGAGACUUUCUCCUUUUUUUUCUUCUCCACAUAACCCCCAUCAUUAUAUUCUAUUCCACCCAUAGUGCCAUAUCCAUGGCUCACGCUCAUGUAUUGCAUGAAAGUUGGAAAGGUUUGAGAUUACUAAAGUAUGAAACAAUUGCUUGGCUUGUCAUUGGGGUUGUGCAUGAUGAGAGCAUUCUUGUGUGACGAAAAUUGAGCAUGACUAAACUAUAUGCUUUGUAGGGAUGUGUUGGGAACGUAGCAGAAAUUCAAAAUUGUCUACGCAUCACCAAGAUCAAUCUAUGGAGUAAUCCAGCACCGAGGGGAAGGGGAGUGCAUCUACAUACCAUUGUAGAUCGCGAUGCGGAAGCGUUGCAAGAACGCGGAUGAAGGAGUCGUACUCGUAGCGAUUCAGAUCGCGGUUGAUUCCGAUCUAAGCGCCGAACCACGGCGCCUCCGCGUUCAACACACGUGCAGCCCGGUGACGUCUCCCACGCCUUGAUCCAGCAAGGAGAGAGGGAGAGGUUGGGGAAGACUCCGUCCAGCAGCAGCACAACGGCAUGGUGGUGAUGGAGGAGCGUGGCACUCCAGCAGGGCUUCGCCAAGCACUGCGAGAGACGAGGAGGGAGAGGGGUAGGGCUGCGCCAAGAGAGAGAUGUUCUCAUGUCUAUGGCACCCCCAAAACCCCCACUAUAUAUAGGGGAGGGGGAGGGGCUGCGCCCCCAUCUAGGGUUCCCCCCAAGGGGUGCGGCCAGCCCUAGAUGGGACUUGGAGGGGCGGCCAAGGGGGGAGAGAGGGGGGGGCACCACUAGGUGGGCCUUAGGCCCAUCUGAGCCUAGGGUUUCCCCCUUCCCCCUUCCCUGCGCCUUGGGCCCCUUGUGGGAGGCGCACCAGCCCACCUAGGGGCUGGUCCCUUCCCACACUUGGCCCACACAGCCCUCUGGGGCCGUGGCCCCACCUGGUGGACCCCCGGGACCCUCCCGGUGGUCCCGGUACGUUACCGAUAGCACCCGAAACUUUUCCGGUGACCAAAACAGGACUUCCCAUAUAUAAAUCUUUACCUCCGGACCAUUCUGGAACUCCUCGUGACGUCCGGGAUCUCAUCCGGGACUCCGAACAACAUUCGGUAACCACGUAUAUCUAUUCCCUAUAACCCUAGCAUCAUCAAACCUUAAGUGUGUAGACCCUACGGGUUCGGGAACCAUGCAGACAUGACCGAGACGUUCUCCAGUCAAUAACCAACAGCGGGAUCUGGAUACCCAUGUUGGCUCCCACAUGUUCCACGAUGAUCUCAUCGGAUGAACCACGAUGUCGGGGAUUCAAUCAAUCCCGUAUACAAUUCCCUUUGUCUACCGGUAUAGUACUUGCCCGAGAUUCGAUCAUCGGUAUCCCGAUACCUUGUUCAAUCUCGUUACCGGCAAGUCUCUUUACUCGUUCCGUAACACAUCAUCCCGUGAUCAACUCCUUGGUCACAUUGUGCACAUUAUGAUGAUGUCCUACCGAGUGGGCCCAGAGAUACCUCUCCGUUUACACGGAGUGACAAAUCCCAGUCUCGAUUCGUGCCAACCCAACAGACACUUUCGGAGAUACUGUAGUGCACCUUUAUGGCCACCCAGUUACAUUGUGACGUUUGGUACACCCAAAGCAUUCCUACGGUAUCCAGGAGUUGCACAAUCUCAUGGUCUAAGGAAAUGAUACUUGACAUUAGAAAAGCUCUUAGCAAACAAACUACACGAUCUUGUGCUAGGCUUAGGAUUGGGUCUUGUCCAUCACAUCAUUCUCCUAAUGAUGUGAUCCCGUUAUCAACGACAUCCAAUGUCCAUGGUCAGGAAACCGUAACCAUCUAUUGAUCAACGAGCUAGUCAACUAGAGGCUUACUAGGGACAUGAUGUUGUCUAUGUAUCCACACAUGUAUCUGAGUUUCCUAUCAAUACAAUUUUAGCAUGGAUAAUAAACGAUUAUCAUGAACAAGGAAAUAUAAUAAUAACCAAUUUAUUAUUGCCUCUAGGGCAUAUUUCUAAUAGGAUGAACUUUCUUUGGCCAUGUUAUUUUGAGAGGACAUAAUUGCUUAGUUAGUAUGCUCAAAGUAUUAUUAUUUUUAUGUCAAUAUUGAACUUUUAUCUUGAAUCUUUCAGAUCUGAAUAUUCAUACCACAAUUAAGAAGAAUUACAUUGAAAUUAUGCCAAGUAGCAUUCCACAUCAACAAUUCUGUUUUUAUCAUUUACCUACUCGAGGACGAGCAGGAAUUAAGCUUGGGGAUGCUUGAUACGUCUCCAACAUAUCGAUAAUUUUUGAUUGCUCCAUGCUAUAUUAUCUUCUGUUUUGGACAUUAUUGGGCUUUAUUAUACACUUUUAUAUUAUUUUUGGGACUAACCUAUUAACCGGAGGACCAGCCCAGAAUUGCUGUUUUUUGCCUAUUUCAGAGUUUCGCGGAAAAAGAAUAUCAAACGGAGUCCAAACGGAAUGAAACCUUCGGGAACGUGAUUUUCGGAACGAACAUGAUCCAUAGGACUUGGACCCUACGUCAAGAAAGCUACCAGGAAGCCACGAGGUAGGGGGCGCGCCUACCCCCCUGGGCGCGCCCUCCACCCUCGUGGCCCCCACGUUGCUCCACCGACGUACUCCUUCCUCCUAUAUAUACCUACGUACCACCAAACUACCAGAUACGGAGCCAAAAACCUAAUUCCACCGCCGCAACCUUCUGUACCCAUGAGAUACCAUCUUGGGGCCUGUUCCGGAGCUCCGCCGGAUGGGGCAUCGAUCACGGAGGGCUUCUACAUCAACACCAUAGCCUCUCUGAUGAAGUGUGAGUAGUUUAGCUCAGACCUUCGGGUCCAUAGUUAUUAGCUAGAUGGCUUCCUCUCUCUUUUUAGAUCUCAAUACAAUGUUCUCCCCCUCUCUUGUGGAGAUCUAUUCGAUGUAAUCUUCUUUUGCGGUGUGUUUGUUGAGACCGAUGAAUUGUGGGUUUAUGAUCAAGUUUAUCUAUGAACAAUAUUUGAAUCUUCUGAAUUCUUUUAUGUAUGAUUGGUUAUCUUUGCAAGUCUCUUCGAAUUAUCAGUUUGGUUUGGCCUACUAGAUUGAUCUUUCUUGCAAUGGGAGAAGUGCUUAGCUUUGGGUUCAAUCUUGCGGUGUCCUUUCCCAGUGACAGUAGGGACAGCAAGGCACGUAUUGUAUUGUUGCCAUCGAGGAUAACAAGAUGGGGUUUGUAUCAUAUUGCAUGAGUUUAUCCCUCUACAUCAUGUCAUCUUGCUUAAAGCGUUACUCUGUUCUUAUGAACUUAAUACUCUAGAUGCAUGCUGGAUAGUGGUCGAUGUGUGGAGUAAUAGUAGUAGAUGCAGGCAGGAGUCGGUCUACUUGUUUCGGACCUGAUGCCUAUAUACAUGAUCAUGCCUUGAUAUUCUCAUAACUAUGCUCAAUUCUGUCAAUUGCUCAACAGUAAUUUGUUCACCCACCGUAAACACUUAUGCUCUCGAGAGAAGCCACUAGUGAAACCUAUGGCCCCCGGGUCUAUUUUCCAUCAUAUUAAUCUUCCAACACUUAGCUAUUUUCGUUGCCUUUUAUUUUACUUUGCAUCUUUUUCACAAAAAUACCAAAAAUAUUAUCUUAUCAUAUCUAUCAGAUCUCACUCUCGUAAGUGACCGUGUAGGGAUUGACAACCCCUUAUCAUGUUGGUUGCAAGGAUUUAUUUGUUUGUGUAGGUGCGAGGGACUCAUGUGUAGCCUCCUACUGGAUUGAUACCUUGGUUCUCAAAAACUGAGGGAAAUACUUAUGCUACUUUGCUGCAUCGCCCUUUCCUCUUCAAGGGAAAAACAACGCAGUGCUCAAGAGGUAGCAUAGACCUGAAUAAUUGUUAUUUGGUGCCGCCGUUGAGCAUGAACAUUAUAUCUAGAUCUUGGUUGAUGCGAGACGGUCAUUCAUUUAAAUCAGAGAAUACUGGUUGUUCUAUUUAUAUGAGUAAUAUCUUUUAUGGUCAUGCACCCUUGAAGAGAGGUCUAUUUUUGGAAUCUCGAUCGUGGUGAUACACAUAUUCAUAAUAUUGAUGCGAAAAUAUGCAAAGUUGAUAAUGAUAGUGCAACAUAUUUAUGGCACUGCCGUUUAGGUCAUAUUGGUGUAGAGCGCAUGAGGAAACUCCAUGCAGAUGGACUUUUGGAAUCACUUGAUUAUGAAUCAUUUGAUGCUUGCGAACCAUGCCUCAUGGGCAAGAUGACUAAGACUCCGUUCUCCGGAACAAUGGAGCGAGCUACUGACUUAUUGGAAAUAAUACAUACCGAUGUAUGCGGUCCGAUGAGUGUUGAGGCUCGUGGCGGGUAUCGUUAUUUUCUGACCUUCACAGAUGAUUUGAGCUGAUAUGGGUAUAUCUACUUAAUGAAACACAAGUCUGAAACAUUUGAAAAGUUCAAAGAAUUUCAGAGUGAAGUAGAAAAUCAUCAUAACAAGAAAAUAAAGUUUCUGCGAUUUGAUCGCGGAGGCGAAUAUUUGAGUUACGAGUUUGGUCUUCAUUUAAAACAAUGUGGAAUAGUUUCGCAACUCACGCCACCUGGAACACCAUAGCAUAAUGGUGUGUCCAAAUGUCGUAACCGUACUUUAUUAGAUAUGGUGCGAUCCAUGAUGUCUCUUACCGAUUUACCACUACCUUGUGGAGUUAUGCAUUAGAGAUAGCUGCAUUCCCGUUAAAUAGGGCACCAUCUAAAUCCAUUGAGACGACACCGUAUGAACUAUGUUUGGCAAGAAACCUAAGUUGUCGUUUCUUAAAGUUUGGGGUUGCGAUGCUUACGUGAAAAAGCUUCAGCCUGAUAAGCUCGAACCCAAAUUGAAGAAGUGCGUCUUCAUAGGAUACCCAAAAGAAACUAUUGGGUACACCUUCUAUCACAGAUCCAAAGGCAAGAUAUUUGUUGCUAAGAAUAGAUCCUUUCUAGAGAAGGAGUUUCUCUCGAAAGAGUGAGUGGGAGGAAAGUAGAACUUGAUGUGGUAGUGGUACCUUCUCUCGAAUUGGAAAGUGGUUCAUCACAUAAAUCAGUUCCAGUGAUGGCUACACCAAAUAGUGAGGAAGCUAAUGAUGAUAAUCAUGAAACUUCAGAUCAAGUUACUACCGAACCUUGUAGGUCAACCAGAGUACGUUCUGCACUAGAGUGGUACGGUAAUCCUGUUCUGGAAGUCAUGUUACUAGACCAUGACAAACCUACGAACUAUGAGGAAGCGAUGAUGAGCCCAUAUUCUGCAAAAUGGCUUGAGGCCAUGAAAUCUGAGAUGGGAUCCAUGUAUGAGAACAAAGUAUGGACUUUGGUUGACUUGCCCGAUGAUCGGCAAGCCAUUGAGAAUAAAUGGAUCUUCAAGAAGAAGACUAACGCAGAUGGUAAUGUUACUAUCUACAAAGCUCGACUUGUUGCGAAAGGUUUUCGACAAGUUCAAGGAGUUGACUACGAUGAGACCUUCUCACCCAUAGCAUGCUUAAGUCCGUCCGAAUCAUGUUAGCAAUUGCCGCAUUUUAUGAUUAUGAAAUAUGGCAAAUGGACGUCAAAACUGCAUUCCUUAAUGGAUUUCUUAAAGAAGAGUUGUAUAUGAUGCAACCAGAAGGUUUUGUCAAUCCUAAAGGUGCUAACAAAGUGUGCAAGCUCCAGCGAUCCAUUUAUGGACUGGUGCAAGCAUCUCGGAGUUGGAAUAUACACUUUGAUAGUGUGAUCAAAGCUUAUGGUUUUAUACAGACUUUUGGAGAAGCCUGUAUUUACAAGAAAUUGAGUGGGAGCUCUGUAGCAUUUCUAAUAUUAUAUGUGGAUGACAUAUUGUUGAUUGGAAAUGUAAUAGAAUUUCUGGAUAGCAUAAAAGGAUACUUGAAUAAGAAUUUUUCAAUGAAAGACCUCGGUGAAGCUGCUUAUAUAUUGGGCAUCAAGAUCUAUAGAGAUAGGUCAAGAUGCUUAAUUGGACUUUCACAAAGCACAUACCUUGAUAAAGUUUUGAAGAAAUUCAAAAUGGAUCAGUCAAAAAAAGGGUUCUUGCCCGUGUUACAAGGUGUGAAGUUGAGUCAGACUCAAUGCCUGACCACUGCAGAAGAUAGAGAGAAAAUGAAAGUCAUCCCCUAUGCCUCAGCCAUAGGUUCUAUCAUGUAUGCAAUGUUGUGUACCAGACCUGAUGUGUGUCUUGCUAUAAGUUUAGCAGGGAGGUACCAAAGUAAUCCAGGAGUGGAUCACUAGACAGCGGUCAAGAACAUCCUGAAAUACCUGAAAAGGACUAAGGAUAUGUUUCUCGUUUAUGGAGGUGACAAAGAGCUUGUCGUAAAUUUUUACGUCGAUGCUAGCUUUGACCCUGAUCCGGAUGACUCUAAGUCACAGAUCGGAUACAUAUUUAUAUUGAAUGGUGGACUUGUCAGUUGGUGCAGUUCCAAGUAAAGCGUCGUGGUGAGAUCUACGUGUGAAGCGGAGUACAUAGCUACUUCGGAAGCAGCAAAUGAAGGAGUCUAGAUGAAGGAGUUCAUAUCCUAUCUAGGUGUAAUACCUAGUGCAUUGGGUCCUAUGAAAAUCUUUUGUGACAAUACUGGAGCAAUUGCCUUAGCGAAGGAAUCCAGAUUUCACAAGAGAACAAAACACAUCAAGAGACGCUUCAACUCCAUCCAUGAUCAAUUCAAGGAGGGAGACAUAGAGAUUUGCAAAAUACAUACGGAUCUGAAUGUUGCAGACCUGUUGACUAAGCCUCUUCCACCAGCAAAACAUGAUCAGCACCAAGACUCCAUGGGUGUUAGAAUCAUUACAAUGUAAUCUAGAUUAUUGACUCUAGUGCAAAUGGGAGACUGUAGGAAAUAUGCCCUAGAGGCAAUAAUAAAGUUUUUAUUCAUAUUUCCUUAUAUCAUGAUAAAUGUUUAUUAUUGAUGCUAUAAUUGUAUUAAAUGUAAACUUGAUACAUGUGUGAAUACAUAGACAAAACAAAGUGCCCCUAGUAUGCCUCUACUUGACUAGCUCGUUAAUCAAAGAUGGUUAAGUUUCCUGGCCAUAGACAUGUGUUGUCAUUUGGUGAACGGGAUCACAUCAUUAGGAGAAUGAUGUGAUGGACAAGACCCAUCCAUUAUCUUAGCAUAAUGAUCGUUAAGUUUUAUUGUUCUUGCUUUCUUCAUGACUUAUACAUAUUCCUUUGACUAUGAGAUUAUGCAACUCCCGAAUACCGGAGGAACACCUUGUGUGCUAUCAAACGUCACAACGUAACUGGGUGUAGGGAUGGCAGUUUUGCUACCCUACCCGAAAAUAGUGGGCAUGGGUGAGACUUUCUACCAGUUCAUACCCAUUGGUAAUGGGUAUCCAUACCCACAAAAUGCAUGGGUAGGGUAUGGGUGUGAAAUUAUACCCAGGGGUAACCCAAUGGAUACCCAGAAAAAUUAAUAAAAAAAUUAAACCCUAUAAUAUCUGGGUAAACCUACAGUAAUUAGCAUUGCAAGUUUACAAACAUGAUUUUUUUUUCAAAUUUACUUUGUAAUGGAGAUUAAGACAUUUGUGUGUCAAUCGUCAUUGUGAAAUUUUGAUGUAAGUGCAAACCAGAUUGUGAUGGCCGAGUACCUAACUUUAGUUUUAGGCCCUUUUCUUGUCUUACCUUUAUCAUGCCAAUGUUAUAUAUUGUACCCAUCGGAUACCCAUUGGGUACAAGAUACCCUAUGGGAGAAUGAACUAGGUAUGAAGAUACCGACGAUCGAAUCUCGGGCAAGUAACAUACCGAUGACAAAGGGAAUGACGUAUGUUGUCAUUGCGAUUUGACCGAUAAAGAUCUUCGUAGAAUAUGUAGGAACCAAUAUGAGCAUCCAGGUUCCGCGGUUGGUUAUUGAUCGGAGACAUGUCUCGGUCAUGUCUACAUAGUUCUCGAACCCGUAGGGUCCGCACGCUUAAUGUUCGAUGACGAUUUGUAUUAUGAGUUAUGUGUUUUGGUGACUGAAGGUUGUUUGGAGUCCCGGACGAGACCACAGACAUGACGAGGAGUCUCUAAAUGGUCGAGAGGUAAAGAUUGAUAUAUUGGACGAUAGUAUUCGGACACCGAAAUGGUUCCAAAGUGUUUCGGGUAUUUAUCGGAGAACCGGGAGGUUACCGGAACCCCCCGGUGAAAGUAAUGGGCCACAUGGGCCAUAGGGGAAAGAGAGGGCAGCCCACAAGGNNNNNNNNNNNNNNNNNNNNNNNNNNNNNNNNNNNNNNNNNNNNNNNNNNNNNNNNNNNNNNNNNNNNNNNNNNNNNNNNNNNNNNNNNNNNNNNNNNNNNNNNNNNNNNNNNNNNNNNNNNNNNNNNNNNNNNNNNNNNNNNNNNNNNNNNNNNNNNNNNNNNNNNNNNNNNNNNNNNNNNNNNNNNNNNNNNNNNNNNNNNNNNNNNNNNNNNNNNNNNNNNNNNNNNNNNNNNNNNNNNNNNNNNNNNNNNNNNNNNNNNNNNNNNNNNNNNNNNCGAAUUGGACAAGGGGGGGGCGCGGCCCCCCUUUCCUUCUCCCUCUCCCUCCCCUUCCCCCUUUCCCCCUUCAAAAGAAGGAAGGGGGCCGAAUAGGACUAGGAGUCCAAGUGGGUUCCCCCCACUUGGCGCUCCCCGUAGGCCGGCCUCCUCCCCUCUCCUACUUUAUAUACGGGGGUAGGGGGGCACCUCUAAGCACAUCAAUUGUUUCUUAGCCGUGUGCGGUGCCCCCCUCCACCGUUUACUCCUCCGGUCAUAUUGUUGUAGUGCUUAGGCGAAGCCCUGCGCGGAUCACUUCACCAUCACCAUCAUCACGCCGUCGUGCUGACGAAACUCUCCCUCGACACUUUGCUAGAUCAAGAGUUCGAGGGACGUCAUCGAGCUGAACGUGUGCUGAACUCGGAGGUGCCGUACGUUUGGUACUUGAUCAGUUGGAUCGCGAAGACGUUCGACUACAUCAACCGCGUUAAACUAACGCUUCCGCUUUCGGUCUACGAGGGUACAUGGACACACUCUCCCCCUCUCGUUGCUAUGCAUCUCCUAGAUAGAUCUUGCGUGAUCAUAGGAAUUUUUUUGAAAUAGCAUGCUAUGUUACCCAGCAAGAACGAGUAAAAGACUUGCCGAUAACGAGAUAGAACUAGGUAUGAAGAUACCGACAAUCGAAUCUCGGGCAAAUAACAUACCGAUGACAAAGGGAAUACAUAUGUUGUCCCUACAGUACGGCCGAUAAAGAUCUUCAUAGAAUAUGUAGGAACCAAUAUGAGCAUCCAGGUUCCGCUAUUGGUUAUUGACCAGAGAGGUCUCUCGGUCAUGUAUACAUAGUUCUCGAACCCGUAGGGUCCGCACGCUUAACGUUAGAUGACGAUUUUAUAUUAUAUGAGUAAUGUUAUUUUGUGAACAAAUGUUGUUCGGAGUCCCGGAUGAGAUCACGGACAUGACGAGGAGUGUCAAAAUGGUCGAGAGGUAAAGAUUCAUAUAUAGGACGAUGAUAUUCGAACACCGGAAGUGUUCCAGGGGUACCGGGUACAUAUCGGGUCACCGGAAAGGGUUCCGGGCAACCCCCCGGCAACUAUAUGGGCCUAAUGGGCCAAGAGGGGAAAUGCAGCAGACAACAUGGGCUGCUGCGCCCCCCAUAUAGGCCGCACCUAGAGGGGAAGUAAAGAGGGGAAGAGAGAAAGGAAGGGGAGGGAUUCGGCCUCCCCCUUCCUUCCCUCCCCCCUCCUCCUUCCUCCCCCCUCCGGAAUUUAUGGUAAGGGGGCGAAUAGGACUAGGGCCCCAAGUAGGAUUCCUCCUACUUGGGCGCCCCCUUGGCUGCUCCCUCUCCCUCCCACCUAUAUAUAUGAGGGCAGGGCACCGCUAGAACACACACCAACAAUUGUUAGCCGUGUGCGGCGCCCCCUCCACAGUUUACGCCUCCGGUCAUAUCUUCGUAGUGCUUAGGCGAAAGCCCUGCACGGAUCAUGCUACCUCUUGAGCACUGCGUUGGUUUUCCCUUGAAGAGGAAAGGGUGAUGCAGCAAAGUAGCGUAAGUAUUUCCAUCAGUUUUUGAGAACCAAGGUAUCAAUCCAGUAGGAGGCCACGCUCAAGUCCCUCGUACCUACACAAACAAAUAAGAACCUUGCAACCAACGCGAUAAAGGGGUUGGCAAUCCCUUCACGGCCACUUGCAAAAGUGAGAUCUGAUAGAGAUGAUAAGAUAAUAUUUUUGGUAUUUUUAUGAUAAAGAUUAAAAAUAAAGAUUGUAAAGUAAACAAAGAUAAAAAUAGCUUGUUGACGGGAGAUUAAUAUGAUGGAAAAUAUACCCGGGGGCCAUAGGUUUCACUAGUGGCUUCUCUCAAGAUAGCAUAAGUAUUACGGUGGGUGAACAAAUUACUGUCAAGCAAUUGAUAGAAUUGAGCAUAGUUAUGAGAAUAUCUUGGUAUGAUCAUGUAUAUAGGCAUCACGUCCGUGACAAGUAGACCGACUCCUACCUGCAUCUACUACUAUUACUCCACACAUCGACCGCUAUCCAGCAUGCAUCUAGAGUAUUAAGUUCAUAAGAACGGAGUAACGCUUUAAGCAAGAUGACAUGAUGUGGAGGGAUAAACUCAUGCAAUAUGAUGUAAACCCCAUCUUUUUAUCCUCGAUGGCAACAAUACAAUACGUGUCAUUUCCCCUACUGUCACUGGGAUCGAGCACCGCAAGAUUGAACCCAAAGCUAAGCACUUCUCCCAUUGCAAGAAAGAUCAAUCUAGUAGGCCAAACCAAACUUAUAAUUCGAAGAGACUUGCAAAGAUAAUCAACCAUACAUAAAAGAAUUCAGAGAAGAUUCAAAUAUUGUUCAUAGAUAAUCUUGAUCAUAAACCCACAAUUCAUCGGAUCUCGACAAACAGACCGCAAAAGAAGAUUACAGCAAAUAGAUCUCCAAGAGAAUCGAGGAGAACUUUGUAUUGAGAUCCAAAGAGAGAGAAGAAGCCAUCUAGCUAAUAACUAUGGACCCGAAGGUCUGAGCUAAACUACUCACACAUCAUCGGAGAGGCUAUGGUGUUGAUGUAGAAGCCCUCCGUGAUCAAUGCCCCCUUCGGCGGAGCGCCGGAAAAGGCCCCAAGAUGGGAUCUCACGGGUACAGAAGGUUGCGGCAGUGGAAUUAGGUUUUCGUGGUGCUCUUCGAUGGUUUGGGGGUACGUAGGUAUAUAUAGCAGGAAGAAGUAGGUCGGUGGAGCCACGAGGGUGGAGGACGCGCCCAGGGGGGUAGGCGCGCCCCCCUGCCUCGUGGCCUCCUCAUUGGUUGCUUGAUGUCCACUCCAAGUCCUCUGGAUCACGUUUGUUCCAAAAAUCACGCUCCCGAAGGUUCCAUUCCGUUUGGACUCCGUUUGAUAUUAUUUUUCUGCGAAACACUGAAAUAGGCAAAAAACAGCAAUUUGGGCUGGGCCUCCGGUUAAUAGGUUAGUCCCAAAAAUAAUAUAAAAGUGUAUAAAUAAGCCCACUAAACAUCCAAAACAGAAUAUAUAAUAGCAUGGAACAAUAAAAAAUUAUAGAUACGUUGGAGACGUAUCAGAUCACUUCACCAUCACUGAGGGAGUCCUGGAUUAGGGGGUCCUCGGUUGUCCGGGCUAUGUGACGUGGGUCAGACUGAUGGGCCAUGAAGAUACAAGACAGAAGACUUCCUCCCGUGUCCGGAUAGGACUCUCCUUUGCGUGGGUGGCAAGCUUGGCGUUCGGAUAUGAAGAUUCCUUCCUCUGUAAACCGACUCUAUACAACCCUAGGCCCCUCCGGUGUCUAUAUAAGCCGGAGGGUUUAGUCCGUAGAGGCAAUCACAAUCAUAUAGGCUAGACAUCUAGGGUUUUAGCCAUUACGAUCUCGUGGUAGAUCAACUCUUGUAAUCCUCAUAUUCAUCAAGAUCAGUCAAGGAGGAAGUAGGGUAUUACCUCCAUCAAGAGGGCCCGAACCUGGGUAAACAUCGUGUCCCCCGUCUCCUGUUACCAUCGACCUUAGAUGCACUGUUCGGGACCCCCUACCCGAGAUCCGCCAGUUUUGACGCCGACAUUGGUGCUUUCAUUGAGAGUUCCGCUAUGUCGUCAUCAGGAGGUUCGAUGGCUCCAUCAGUCAUCUAUAACGAUGCCGCCCUGGGGGAGGUUUUUCUCCCCGGCCAGAUCUUCGUAUUCGGCGGCUUCGCACUGCGGGCCAACUCGCUUGGCCAUCUAGAGCAGAUCGACAGCUACGCCCCAGGUCACCAGAUUAGUUUUGGAAAUCUGGACUAUGUCGCUGAUAUCCGAGGAGACUUGAUCUUCCAAGGGUUCACGACCCCAACCUCCGCUCUGGCCUUAGAUCCAAAGCACAUCGCCAGGUCCGAGGACGGGAUUCCUGAGCCCGCCGUACUAUCUGCGGCCACUAAGCCCAGUACGGGAGAGCCGGAGGAAGUAUUCUCGCUAGCAACCGUCAUGAAGUCGGACUCUUCUCCGGACACUGGCUCCGAACCCUCUGAGUCGGCAUUGUGUGAGCUCGGCCAAGGAGUCUCCUUCCCGCCGUACUCCACGGACUCUCUUCUCCCUGGCCAAACCUCGCCUUUAAGCGAGGCUCUGGACUUGAUGUGAUCCCUCGUCAUUACAGAGGGGCAACGUCCGAACUACGCCUAGCCCGGACUAGGGGCUGAGAGCGGGGAAUUUUACGUCCCACCCACCACCCACUUCAUAGCCACUGUCGAGGACCUAACUGACAUGCUCGAUUACGGCUCUGGAAACAUCGACGGUAUGGACGACGAUGCCGGAGAAGAGCAGGCCCAAAACCCGCCGUUUACCGGACGCUGGACGGCCACCUCUUCGUAUGACGUGUACAUGGUGGAUACACCCAAAGAGGGUAACGGCGAUAACGAGAAAGAUCUAGUCAAGGAUAGACCUCCUGAGAUACAACCAAAGCGUCGACGCCAGCGGCGCCGCUCUAAAUCACGCCGUGGAAAAGACAACGAUACCGGCACGAGAGACAACAUACUCCAGACGACACUGAAGACCAAGAAGACCCCGCCAAGCCAACCUCCGAACAGGAUGAUCGGGAAGAUGGGCAUGUUAGCCCUGAUGAACAGGCCGUAAACAAAGACUUGGAGGACAGUAAUUAUCUUCCACUCUCCAAGGAUGAGGUGAGCCUCGGCGACGAAGACUUUAUCGUGCCUGAGGAACCCCUCGAGCAGGAGCGCUUUAAGCGUCGGCUAAUAGCCACUGCAAGGAGCCUGAAAAAGAAGCAGCGGCAGCUUCAAGCUGAUCAAGAUCUACUCAACGACAGGUGGACUAAUGUCCUGGCAGCCGAGGAAUACGGCCUCGAGCGCCCAACCAAAAGUUACCUGAAGCGUAAACUGCUACCUCAAUUCGACGACGAGGCACUCGAGCCCGUACCAACAGCACGUAAUGCGCCUGACUGACCACCACGCGGUCGGGACAAAACGGCAACCCAAGCCGAACACCAGCCCAUAGUACCUCGCCGUAAAGGUAGAGACACAACAGCUCGGGGAUAUACAUAUGACCUGCGGCAAGACCUGGAAAAUAGAGCAGGUCAGACCAGAUCAAUCUACGGAUCGCGGGGGCAGGCCCCGGCACGCGAUGACGGGUAUCUAGCCGGACAUGACAAGCAUAACCACGUAUGGGCCAAAAACCGCAGACGGACACCAUCCGAGCUACGUCGCGACUUGGCCCGAUAUAGAGACGCUGUACACCCCCUCUGCUUCACUGAUGAAGUAAUGGAGCACGAAUUCCCAGAAGGGUUUAAACCCGUGAAUAUCGAAUCAUACGAUGGAACAACAGAUCCCACGGUAUGGAUUGAGGAUUUUCUUCUCCAUAUUCAUAUGGCCUGUGUUGAUGAUCUUCAUGCCAUCAAAUACCUCCCGCUAAAACUCAAGGGACCAGCUCGUCACUAGUUAAACAGCCUGCCUGAAAACUCUAUUGGCAGCUGGGAGGACUUGGAAGAUGCCUUCCACGACAACUUCCAAGGCACAUACGUCCGACCUCCGGAUGUUGAUGACUUAAGUCACAUAGUUCAACAGCCCGGAGAGUCAGCCAGGAAAUUUUGGACUAGGUUCCUAACUAAAAAGAACCAGAUCGUCGACUGUCCGGAUGCCGAAGCCCUAGCGGCCUUUAAGCAUAGCAUCCGCGACGAAUGACUCGCCCGACACCUCGGCCAAGAAAAGCUGAAGUCCAUGGCAGCCCUCACGGCACUCAUGACCCGCUUUUGUGUGGGCGAAGAUAGCUGGCUAGCCCGUAGCAAUAAUAAUGCAAGCGAACCUGGCACCUCCGAAGCCAGAAAGAGCAAUGGAAAGCCCCGACGCAACAGGCACAACCGUCGAAGCAACGGUGACAAUACCGAUGACACAGCGGUCAACGCCGGAUUCAUUGGCUCCAAAUUCGGCCAGCGGAAGAAGCCAUUUAAAAGAAAAAAUCCGGUCUCAUCCAGCUUGGACCGCAUACUCGAUCGUCCAUGUCAGAUCCACGGCACCCUCGAUAAACCAGCCAAUUAUACCAACAGAAGUUGUUGGGUCUUUAAACAGGCCGGCAAGUUAAAUACCGAGAACAAGGAGAAGGGGUCGCAAAGUGAGGACGACAACGAGGAGCCCCGUCUGCCGAACACAGGGGGGGCAGAAGAAGUUUCCCCCCAGGUUAAAACGGUGAGUAUGAUAUACGUCACCCAUAUCCCCAAGAGGGAGUGCAAACGCGCGCUCAGGGACGUCUACGCGAUAGAGCCAGUCGCCCGAAAAUUCAACCCAUGGUCUUCCUGCCUCAUCACCUUCGAUCGCAGGGACCAUCCGACCAGUAUCCGUCAUGGCGGUUCAGCCGCACUGGUCCUCGACCCAAUCAUUGAUGGAUUCCACCUCACGUGAGUUCUCAUGGACGGUGGCAGCAGCCUCAACCUGCUCUAUCAGGACACGGUCCGCAAGAUGGGCAUCGAUCCAUCAAGGAUCAAGCCCACGAAAACUACCUUUAAAGGAGUAAUACCAGGUGUAGAGGCCCACUGCACGGGCUCAAUCACAUUGGAAGUCGUCUUCGGAUCCCCGGACAACUUCCGAAGAGAAGAAUUGAUCUUCGAUAUCGUCCCCUUCCGCAGUGGCUAUCACGCACUGCUCGGACGAACUGCAUUUGCUCGAUUUAAUGCGGUGGCACACUAUGCUUAUCUCAAACUCAAGAUGCCCGGACCACGCGGUGUCAUAACAGUCAAUGGAAACACAGAACGCUCCCUCCGUACCGAGGAGCACACCGCAGCGCUGGCAGCGGAAGUACAGAGCGGCCUUAUCAAGCAGAAUAUUAAUUCAGCAGCCAAGCUCCCAGACACUGUCAAACGAGUCCGGACUACUCCGCAGCAUGACAAUCCAGCUCGUCAGGAGUUCGACUAGCAAUUCGGCCUCUAUCUCAGUCCCGACCAAAUGGCGGCGUACGUACCGCGCGUACAUAACUACACACUCAAAAUACCAUGGGCAAAGACGGAGGCAUAACUCGAUUGUGGUCCAUAAUACGGCUCGACCUUCCCUGGGCACACGUACUUUCCCUUUUAUUUUUAUCCUUUUCAGGUUUCUUUUCCACAGGCCCCUCAUGACGGCCUGAUCAUCGAUCCUUUCGAAGGAUGGAUAUACCAAGGUGGCAAGCAGCAUAGACAUGUGGGGGAAUCUCUAGGUGGUCUUCUUGACGAUCACACUACCUGUUUUCAGGACCCGCACGCAGCUCCCCCUUGGUCUCGGCAUGUUAAAUAGCCCUAUUGCUUAUUGCACUAUUUGUACAAAUACGCUUUGACGUAUUAAUCGAAUUAUAAUAGAAACAGUUUGCGGCCCAACUUAUGUGGCACUGGCUUACUACUUCAUUUUAUUUCACUAUUCUUAUCGAUUGCACCCAUACACUUUGGUACGCUUUAAUUCGCCAGGGGCUUCAUUGUGCUCCAUACUAGGGCAACAAAGUCCGAACACUUUUUACAGUAUAGUUCGGCACCCCGAAUUUAGCAUUAUAUGCAUCGGCUCCGAAUCAUGUCUUUGGUCAAUGUUGGGCUCCUGUGCUUACUACCUUACGUUCCGCCCUAUCGGCUAGGGUAGUAAAGGGAGAACUACUGUGAUUGUGUUUCUGGUUCUUCCGGGUGAACACCUCAGUAGAGAAAGCCGAAAACUGACUGUCAUGAUACGGCGAGAGCUGGUAAGCUAUUCGGAAGUUAAAAUUUCUUGCGAUUUUUUCCCGCAUUAUGCGACGGAUCGGCCUCCACCCGAUCAGGUGUCUACAGCACCCUAGUCCGGAUUAACAAAUACUAACUAGGGGCUGCGCCUACAUUCCUAUUGUCAAAUUCCUAUGGCUAAGUGAGGGUGAUAAAGCCACAUAGUCCGAUUGCCUGGUUCGUUGCGCUAAACACCUCCUUCAAGGACCAAAUUCUUGGAUCAAGAGUGUUUAGGUUCCAACCCAAACACCCCCGUACUACCUACGUGGGGGCUGAAGCCGACAACUGGCCAACUCUCAGAUUUAAUAAAACGGCCGCACAGGAGGCAAAAUUUAAACAAACAACAAGCAAUAUGUUACAUAUCGGCUUUGUUUCAUAAUACAGGACGGGAUAACAUGAAUGUAUUCAUUCAAAGAUAAUGUCUUUUGCACACUGGCCCUCUACAAUGCGGGAUCCCUUCAGGACAUCAUCAAAAUCCCGCUCAGGCGUGCGGUGCUCCUUGCCCGCGGGCGGCCCCUCGGUCGCGAGCUUGACGGCGUCCAUCUUCGCCCACUGCACUUUGACACGAGCGAAGGCCAUCCGCGCACCUUCGAUGCAGACCGACCGCUUGAUGGCGUCAAGCCGAGGGCAGGCAUCGACCAGCCGCUUCACGAGCCCGAAGUAGCUGUUGGGUAUGGCUUCGGCAGGCCAUAGACGGAUUAUCAAAUCCUUCAUGGCCAAUUCGGCCACCCUAUGCAGUUCGGUCAGCUGCUUCAGCUGAUCGCUAAAGGGCACCGGAUGCUCUGGCGCAAGGUAUUGCGACUAGAACAGCUUCUCCUUUGAGCUCCCCUCUUCGGCUCGAAAGAACUCCGCAGCAUCAGCAACACUGCGCGGCAGAUCCGCAAAUGCUCCUGGAGAAUUCCAAAUCCGGGUCAAUAAGAGGUACCUUCUCUUCACAUAUUUGCUCUGCAUAAUAAAGGCCUUACCCGCCGCGAUUUUCCUGGCUGUCUGGAUUUCCUGGAGGGCGCCCUGGGUUUCAACCCGGGCCUCUUGUGCGCUUUGGUGGGCCUUAGCAAGUUCGGACUCUUGGUCCACAAUCUUGCGCUCCAAGGACUCGCAUUUAUUUACGGCGUCCUGGAGCUCCUGCUGGACCUCCCCGACCCUUGCCUCGUGUUUUUCGCGAGCGGCUUGUUCCUUCGCGGCUCUCUUCUGGGCCUCGGCCAGCGCGUUCUUAAGGGACUCCACCUCGGUCGCAGCUCCUACGAAAUAUCAUGAUAACAUGAUCAAAACAAACAAUUCAUAUCUUUCCAGAUCUGAAUAGGCCAUUGCAUACCUUGCUUGUCCUCUAGUUGUUUUUCACACGGCUGAGCUCUUCCUCAGUCCACUCCAGACUCUGCUUCAGUUUGGAGACUUCGGCAGAAUGGGAGGUCGCAGCCAGCAUCGACGCCUGCUUAUUCACAUAGACAUGUAUGGUUAGUCUCCUGCGAAAAUUAUUUGAUCCUCUGUCCGGCUUUUCUUUUUCGAACAUCGGACAGAGUCUCAAGGGCUACUGUCUAUACUAUGACAUUCUUUUUACAUAAUUACGUCACAUACCUCAAAGCUUGUUAGAAGGCUGGUGCAGGCUUCGGUCAGUCCGCUCUUAGUGGACUAAACCCUCUCAACCACCGUACCCAUGAGGGUGGUGUUCCUCAACGAUGGAAGCACUUUGCAGCGCUUACAGUAGAGUAUCCGGUGCCUCUGGAUGGACAGAGGUCACCGGCGGAAUAGUUACACCUCCUUCUUUCGAAGAAGGCUGCUUGCCUGAAUCCGGAGCCGUAUGGGUCUCCGGAAUAGUAUUCGGCUGGGGGCCGAAUUGGAUAUGGCCCCCAUCGCCAGUCUCCAGAGGGAUUUGCUCCCCCAUGUGUCCGGCGGCCGAGGUAUUACCCUCUGGGGCCACCCUGACGAUCUCUUGUACCUCUCCCUGGCCUGGGAAGGUCCUUCGGGACAACACCUCGGCGUCGUCCGUGGCCUUGGGAGAGGAGGCCGCCGGAAGUGACUCGUUGUCCAUCACAUUUGGAUCCAGCGAAUUCCCCGAAGAUGAGGAUCGCUGGGGGCGGGCAUGGGCCGGACUGCAGCGCAUGAUUCGGCAUAUUAAAACCACGAAGUAAAGAAGUUGGAUAUAUGUGUACAAGUGCCUUUGAGUACUUAUGAUUCGGCCAGGGGCUUCUCCCUGGGGCGCCACUCGGAGCUGCUAUCAGUGUCCAAUGCGGAGUUGUCCGCGAGGGAGACCCUCCCCUUCUUGGACGCCUCUGCCUCCAGAUCCGUGGAGGCCGCCCUUUUCUUCCUUCCCCCCUCAGGGGGAGAGUUGCUUUCCUCCUCCUCCUCCUCGUCCUCGACGGUAGAGUGGGUUUCGGCGUCUUCGGACGUCACGUCCGAAGUGCCUUUACGACAAAGGCCGCCUCUUCCCGCCUGGCCCUUCUUCUCCGGCGCCUGGUAGGGUGCCGGGACCAGCAUCUUCGUCAGAAGUGGGAUAGCUGGGGUUUUGGGCAGCGGAGCCGGACACUCGAUCUGCUUCGCCCUCUUUGUCCAGCCCUGAAAAGAUAGAUAGGGAAGCUUAGACAUCUUCCUUGAAUGUACAGGCGAAGGAUACACCUCGAAAUACGAAAAACUUACCGGACUGGCGGGAUGGGUCAGGUUGUACCCACGGUCCUCGGUCGUCUUCGACCACGUCUCAUUUGCCUUCAAAAGCACCUUCCAGAUGCCUUUGUGCGUAGUGCCGAAGAACUGUUGCAAGGUCUGGUGCUUGGCCGGGUCAAACUCCCACAAAUGGCAAGUCCUGCUUUGACAAGGAAGGAUCCGGCGAAAAAGCAUCACUUGGAUCAUGUUGACGAGCUUAAUGUUCUUUUCCACCAUGCUCUUGAUGCGUGUCUGCAGCGCUGUCAGCUCAUCCGACGAAGCCCAGUCCAGGCCCUUCUCUAGCCAGGAGGUGAGCCGCAUCAGGGGCCCAGACUUAAAUCCGGGAGCCGCGGCCCAGGUGGUGUCACGGGGCUUUGUGAUGUAGAACCACUGUUGUUGCCACCCUUUGACGGUCUCCAUGAAGGUACCUUUGGGCCAUGAGACGUUGAACAGCUUUCUCACCAUAGCGCCUCCACACUCUGUGUGUUGACCACCCACCACCUUCGGUUUCACAUUGAAGGUCUUUAGCCACAAUCCGAAGUGGGGUGGGAUGCGGAGGAAGGCCUCGCACACGACAAUGAAUGCCGAGAUAUUGAGGAAGGAGUUUGGGGCCAGAUCAUGGAAAUCUAUCCCAUAGUAGAACAUGAGUCCACGUACGAAGGGGUGGAGAGGAAACCCUAACCCGUGGACGAAGUGGAGAAUAAACACCACCCUCUCGUGGGGCUCCGGGGUGGGGACGAUCUGCCCCUUGGUCGGAAGCCGGCGGGCGAUUUCCUGGGCCAAGUACCCCGCCUCCCGGAGCUUCGUGAUAUCCUUCUCCGUGACGAAGGAGGCCAUCCAUUUGCCCUGCGCUCUAGAUCCGGACAUGGUCGGGGUGCUUUUUUGAGGCGGAGAGGAUGGAAGCUUGGGCGCUGGAGCUCGAGAGUGGGUGGGCAGAGAGAAAGAAGGCGUGGGUGAAAGGGUGAAUCCUUAUCUCUUUAUAAAGGCAGCAAAUAUCAAGCGCCUCCCCAUUCACCUUAAAACUGGCCUAUUCCCCAAGGGUCGUGCAGACGGCUCGGUUAGAUUGCCCAUGCCCGUAUUGAUGAGAAUCCCGCAAUAAGGGGACACGAUCUCUGCUUCGACAAGACGUGCCAACAAAAACCGCAUCUCGAAACAUGGAGCGGGAGGCUAAAAAUGGUUCGAAAUAAUGACCGGGCAGGGACGUAAUGUCUCGCUACAAAAGUUGUCGGUAGAUGGGACUCGUGAAAUAUUAUACUCUCUGUGGUUGUGUGUGGUACUUGUUUUGCAGAGUCGGACACGUUUUCUGUGUUCGAAGGCUGCUUUGGAGUAUUCGGAGGAGGAACCCGUCUUGCAAUGCCGAAGACAAUCUGCGCGCCAGACACAUCGUCAUUGAAGCCUGGUUCAGGGGCUACUGAGGGAGUCCUGGAUUAAGGGGUCCUCGGGCGUCCGGGCUACGUGACGUGGGCCGGACUGAUGGGCCAUGAAGAUACAAGACAGAAGACUUCCUCCCGUGUCCGGAUGGGACUCUCCUUUGCGUGGGUGGCAAGCUUGGCGUUCAGAUAUGAAGAUUCCUUCCUCUGUAAACCGACUCUGUACAACCCUAGGCCCCUCCGAUGUCUAUAUAAGCCGGAGGGUUUAGUCUGUAGAGGCAAUCACAAUCAUAUAGGCUAGACAUCUAGGGUUUUAGCCAUUACGAUCUCAUGGUAGAUCAACUCUUGUAGUCCUCAUAUUCAUCAAGAUCAAUCAAGCAGGAAGUAGGGUAUUACCUCCAUCAAGAGGGCCCGAACCUGGGUAAACAUCGUGUCCCCCGUCUCCUGUUACCAUCGACCUUAGACGCACAGUUCGGGACCCCCUACCCGAGAUCCGCUGGUUUUGACACCGACAAUCACCGUCACCGCGCCGUCGUGCUGACAGAACUCUCCCUCGACACUUUGUUGGAUCAAGAGUUCGAGGGACGUCAUCGAGAUGAACGUUUGCAGAACUUGGAGGUGCCGUACAUUCGGUGCUUGAUUGGUCGGAACAAGAAGAAGUUCGACUACAUCAACUGCGUUGUCAAAUGCUUUCGCUUUUGGUCUAUGAGGGUAUGUGGACACACUCUCGCCCUCUUGUUGCUAUGCAUCUCCUAGAUAGAUCUUGCGUGGGCGUAGGAAUUUUUUUAAAAUUGCAUGCUACGUUUCCCAACACUAAUAUUGCUCUUCAUAAUCAAGAUUUACCUAAAAUUCCUAAGGAGGUGGUUGACAAAUUAAUAGAACCUUCUUUCUAUAAAAGAAAUUCAUGAUGUGGUUUUUAGAAUGGAAAAAAAUAAAAGCACUCGCCCUGAUGGGUUUCCUGUUGAUUCCUAUUAGGGGUUUUGGGAUUUGUUUAAGUGGGAUUUGAAGGACUACUUGAUGAAUUUUAUCAUGGCAAGUUAGAUAUUGCUAGGUUGAAUUAUGGGAGUAUUACUCUUGUUCCCAAGACUAAUGAUGUUAAAAAAUACAGAAGUUUAAACCUAUUUGUCUUAUGAAUAUUAGCUUUAAAAUCAUUAACAAGAGGUUUUGAUGAAUAGAGUACUAUCCCCUAUUAUUUCUCCUACCGAGACUGCUUUUGUCAAGGGAGAUACAUCAUGGAAGGGGUGGUUGUUCUCCAUGAAGCGUUGAAUUCUAUUCAUUUUAAGAUAGAUAAUGCCUUAUUGUUUAAUAAAGUGGAUUUUGAAAAAAAGAUUUAUCAAUAAAAAAAAUUAAGUAUCCCUUUGUGAUGCAAAUGCUUAAAAUGAAAGGAGUUCCUGAUAAAUGGCGUGACUUGGUCAUGGUCACUAUGAGAGGGGGUAAUGUGGGUGUAAGAGUUAAUGAUACAAUUGGUCCUUACUUUAAAAAUCACAAAGGCCUAAUAUAGGGUGAUGCUUUAUCACCUUUUCUUUUUGAUCUGGUUGCAAAUGAUGUGGUUGUUAUUAUGGAAAAAGCAAAUGUUAAUGGUUUUGUGAAAGGGGUUUUAAAUGAAAAUCUAGAUAAUUGAGUUGUAUGCUUUAAUAUUCUCAUGAUGUCAUAUUUUUACUUCAAGAUGACGUUGAAAGUGCUAAAAACCUCAAAUUCAUAUUGAGUGCUUUUGAGCAAAUGUCUGGACUAAUUAUUUAAUUUCCAUAAGCGCGAGUUGUUUCUUUUGGGGAAGCUAAGAAUAAAGUUGAGGUGUAUCAAGAGAUUUUUACUUGUCAAUCAGGAGAUUUGUAAAUGAAGUAUCUGGGUAUGCUUGUCUUUGAUACUGGGAGUAGGAAUAAACAUUAUAAGGGGGGAGAAAAUAAAAUUGAAAAAAGAUGUGGAUGUUGGCACGGUAAACUAUUGGGCUCUAUUGCUGACAGGACUACUUCGGUCCAAGCUUGCUAUCUUACAUGCCUCUUUUUAUGAUGUCUUUGUACCCCCCCCCCUCCCCGGUUGAGUGCUUAAGAAAGCUGAUUUCUUUAGAGCUAGAAUGGUGUGGGAGGGUGAUGAAAAUAACAAGAAAAAUCACUUAGUUAAUUUGAAACCUGUUGUAAACCUAGAGAUCACGGGGGUUGGGGAUCCUUAAUUUGGAUAGCAUGGAUAAAGCAUUGCUAGGUGGUUUCGGAAACUAGAAACUGAAUUUGGGCUUUGACAAUUUGUUUUGUUGAAAAAAAUAUGUCACUAGUGGGUGUAUUUCUAAAGCUAAACCCAAGGUGGGGGAUUCACAAUUUUGGUCUAGCAUUCGGAAAGUUAAAGAGAAUCUUUAUCAAUUCUGCAAGAAAAGUUUGGGAGAUGGUUAAGAUUGGUGGUUUUUUAGAUGAAAAACCUUUAAAAAUCUCUUGCCCUAAACUAUAUGUUUCAAGCUUUGAUCAUGACAUUAUUGUUGCUAAAGCCUUGUAGAAAGGCUGGGGGUCAGGUUUAGAAGAACUAUAUAUGGGGAGUCUCUAGAGCUCUGACAUAGUUUGAAACUUAGAUGUGAAGAGAUAGAAAUGGGAUCUAGUAAAGAUAAGAUAAAUUGGUUGUUAACAACUCAUGGAUUUUUUUGCCAAGUCUUUAUAAGUAAAACUAGUUGAAUCUAAUUGCAAUUUCCCUUAAAAGUUUGUAUGGAAGGUCAAACUACCGGCUAGGAUAAAGUUUUUUCUGGCUUAUGGCUAGAAAAAGCAUACUCACCAAAGAUACUCUAUUAAGGAUAGGAUGGGUUGGUAGUAAAAUGUGCAUCUUUUCUGGUAAAGAGGAGACAAUUGAUCAUUAGUUCUUCAAAUUCUUUGGUGCUGGUUUGAUCUAGAGCUUGCAGAAAUGUGCUUUUAGCCUAAGUUCUACUCCUACUACACUUAAUGAUUGCUUUGGGAACUGGAUUAGAAGUUUACCAAAGAUUUAGAAAAAGCUAGUGUUGGAGGUGUAGAAAUGAUGUCAUUUUUGAGAAAAAACUUAUCAAUGAUCAUAUCAUCCUCAUAAAGUUGAUUUGCUAUUGGAUUAUUGGAUGGUCUAUUUUGUAGAUAAAGGAGGAAAACAGAGGGGUGCUGAUGGUAGGGGCAAAACUACUUGAGCUUGUAGCAAAUGAAGUCUACAGAUCGUCACAAGGUUGGAGGCACAGUGUCCUAAAAUUGGUGGCAAAGUAUUGAAGCUUACAACACUAGCGAUUACUGUUUCAUUUUUUUCCCCGUGAGGAGUUGUCGACUUCCCUCCUUUAGCAAUCUUUCUUGUUCUCUUUUCUUUUGCCAUUGAUGUACUUAUGCACCUAGUUAUUCUAGCUUGUGUAGUUGGUUUCUGAGCUCCUUCAUGAUGGGGUUGUGGAAGAGUUUGGUUGUGUUUAUUUGUUGUUCUAGUUCUUGUGGUGUUAGAGACUGCUUAUAUGUAAGUAGCUCCUUCUUUUGGAGUUUGGUGAUUUGAUCGCUUUGCUGGGUGCUUGGAGCACUGUGUUGAUCCUUGUUAGAAGCUCAAUAGAUGUUAUAUUAUGGUGGUAGUCUGUAUUAGGUGGACCUUAUGGUUUCUAUUAAUAGAAAUCAAAGGGGUGGACCCUCUUUUAUAAUAAUAAAAAAAGGCUUUGGGUCGAUGGGUUGCCAUAUUAACCAAUUCCCUAACAACAUAUAGGUUAUGGCCGGAAAAAUUGCAACCCAGUUUUAGGUAAGCUGUUUGAGCAAUUUUUUGGACCAAAAAAACUAAAUUUUCAGUUUGUAGGUAUUUGGCUCAUUUUUAGGAUAGUUAUUGGAGAUGCUUUGAGGGCAUCAAUUUUUUAAGACCUUUUAGGGAUUUGACAAAAAGAUGUAAUGUAAGUCUAGAGGGUCUAAAACUGCAAUAAUAAGGAUCAAAUGAUCGCCUUUGGAAAUUUGCUUCAAGCACCAACUUGAAAGAAACUUAUAAGCUUCUAAGAACACGAAGGUGUCCAGGUGCGGAGGCACGGGCAGAGAGUGGUAGACCGAGUUAGAUUUGAGGGAAAGCUGUGAUGGAGCAUCCUAGGGUGGUUGCGAUCACGUCAGAGGUUUGGAUCCUGAAAGGGGGCAAAAAUUGAUCACAUGAUUACUAAUUUGGUCAUCAGGCCAAAAAGAAGACCUUGUCCAAGGAGGAGGUGAGCCCAGGACUCGACAACCGAUUCAUACAUAAUAAGGUAAGUCGAAAAGGGAAGGGAGUUGCUUGCAUCGUAAAGAUAAAAUCCCGGUUGCAAGAACAAACGAAGACAAGGAGAUCACAAAAAGAAUCUUCAAGGAUGAUGAUUGUCCCGGAUCUGAAUCUGGCCGGUCGGGAUUCGGUCGCUGCUACCUUCAGGCGUGGUGACGUCGGGCCUCCAUGGCCUCUGGGCACAAUGGUGACGCAGGCGGCUGGUGGCGCCGCGGCGACUCGCUCCCGGCAGUGAGUGGCUAGUGGCGGGUCGGUGGUGCUGGCUGGCGGCGCCCGGAGCGCGGAUCCAGGGAUCUCGGCCCGGAUCUGGUGCGUCUUCGGCGCUGGCCGGCGUCCUUGAGGUGCGCACGGCAAGGAAUGCGGCGGUUGUCUCUGGAUCCUUGCGUGGAGCGUAGCAGGAUGGAGGGUGUAGGUGGUGCACCGGCACUGGCGAUGGCGGCGGUGCGAGAGCAGCCAUGGCGGCGGCAGCGCUGCGAGGCCUUGCCAGGAAGGGUCUUGGCGGGCAGCGGGCGUUCGGUUGCUGCCGUGUGAGGCGUGAGGCGUGCGGCGAUGCCUUGACGGUGUGGGUGCCGGAGUGUGGUCGGAGGUGCGGGUCGAAUCCAUUCUGGUGGCAGUCCCCUGGCGCGGGUGAAGGCCACCGUGGCGGAACUGGCUUUGCACCGCUCGGUGGUUGCUGCAGCUCCUAGUCGAUGUUGAAGGUGAUUGCUUUAGGCGUGUUCCCUCGGCGGUGAGGGGGGCUUUGAUGGCAAGUUGUUGCGGUGACGGCGAUGCGAGGCAUCUGAUCGGGACUGGCCGGGAUCUUGGAGAUGUGCAGCGCUACGGAUGAAAGUCCUGUUCGGUUGUGGCUGGACCAGCGUUGAUGGCACAUGCAUGUGUCAUUCACCUUCCAGGAGGCUUCGCCGAGUGCAACGCCAUCUUCCUCGUGACCUCGUAUCGGCAGCUGUCUCCGGGGCGAAAGCCUUGAUUCGUAGGAUCGGCACAAUGGUGACCUCGUAUCGGCAGCUGUCUCCGGGGCGAAAGCCUUGAUUCGUAGGAUCGGCACGAUGGCAACGUCUUUGAGGUUGUUACUCUGUUGGGAGCAUUGUGUUGAGAGACUCAAGGUCCCAUGGUGCGCUCCUCCGGUGUUCACCGCUGCCCGGAUCUUUCUCCUCCGGCGCCAUGUACGGUCAUCGCUGGCUAAUCCAAGGAAGCUGGAGUUGCUGUUCUUCAGAGGUCUUCAGUGUCGGCCGAGACACGGCGAGGGGCUUGGUGUUGGGUAGGCUUUUUGUGUCGUAGCUGUGUUGUUGUGUUUGGUUGUCCUUGUAUAAACCGGGUAUGGAAUUGGUCGCCUUCGUUGUUCGCAGCGAGUGAUAGACGUUGUUGUAUGUCUUAUUUCUCUCCUUCUAUAAAGCUAAGGUACGCAAUUUACAUACCCUUAAAAAAAAUGAUUGUGAAGGCAAUAACCAAUGCCAUUGGAUUCAAUAACCAGGGUACGUUUUCUUUCGCUUUCAAACCAAAUCCAAGGCAAGGUAAAAUCUUGUAUUUUCCUCGCCAUGAACGACAUAACAACACUUCGCCAUGGUUUCUCAGAUAAGUUUUUGGAGUGCAGAUCACCAUUCAUAAUAAAAGAUAAAAGAUCUUGGCGGAAAUGGAGUGCAAAAGAGGGACAAUCUCCACCGAACACACGCCUAGUGAGAGGAAAAUGAGGGGAACAGCGCAUCCCGACAGCAGGGGAACACUAGGCAAGCAAUCAGCAAGCAACAAAAUACUAGCUACAUCGCCAUCGAAACCAAGGGCAACAUGCCAACAUCAGAAGCACUAUCAACUGCAACAUUUCACCAUUAGAUGCAUCUAUCGACAGCUAUAUGCAAACUUGUAACCAACUUAGCUUGCAACGAUCAGUGCAAUCCCAAGUAUGAAGUGCGAAACAUGGUGACCAAUUAUGCUAUGUAGGCAAAGUAGAUUGCCAGAUAAUUCCAAAGCGACAAUUCUUAUGAACGUUACUCCUAUAUGCAGAAGUAGAUUGACAGUUAAUUCCAAUUGCUACAAUGCUAAGCAUGAAGCACGACCUAAUAGUGAGACUGUUUAUACAACAGACUAUAUCCAUCUUAUAUAGAGUAGAACACUGGCCAGUCAAGCAUUUUUUUAUCUCCGACUAAACCAAAAUUCAGACUAGCCACCAUGCUAUGUACUACUAGGAUGCAUCUGCAAAUAUGUUAUGUAACUAAAAAUGUGAUAUGAUGCAUGUAUACCUGGAAGUGAGCUAUAUAUUAUACAUUUUACUAAACAGAACAGAGCAGUAAACAUCAACGUCCAACCACUACAAUCAAACUUUCUCCGACAUACGGAAGCAAAAUUCAACACUAAGUGACAAUGCAAGCUGCAGCGCACGAUCAAGAACAGGCCAAGAGGACAGCGACCAAGUACACAACAACAUGACAAACAUCUUCAUCAUAAUGCGGAAGCAACAGAGAUGGCGAUAAAAAAAAUGAACAUGUUCACUCACAGCAGCACAGUCAACUACAACCGAAGCUAAAAACAUCCAUCCAUCCAUUGUGCACACUCAUCUCGAUUAGGUUACAACACAUACUGAGCAACUAAGCCGACGGAACAAUUAGUACGGAGCACAAAUCGAAGAAGCACGGUCACACCUAGGAGCUUACCACCGUCGCAACCACAGCGAGAUACACAGACCGAAAGGCAUCAGCACGCAGGCCUCACACCGCCACCUUGCGUGGGCGCCCACGGCCACGCUUGGCAGGAGCGGAGCCGUCCGCGGGAGCCGGAGAGGCAGCCUCCUUGGCGACCUUGGCCUUCUUGGCCGAGGAGGGACCCGGCGGGCGGCCGCGGCCCCGGGGCAUGCCGGUGGUCGCCUUGGCGACGGCAUCCUUGACGGCGUCGGCCAUGGGAUCCUUAGCCUUGGGCGGGCGGCCCCGGCCGCGCUUGGGCGUGUUGGGGUCCUUGGGCGCAGCCUUCGGCUUGGGCGGCGCGUUAGGGUCCUUAGGCGGGCGGCCGCGGCCGCGCUUUGCCGGGGUGGCGGAGGGAGCGUCAGCCUUGAGGUAGUUGUUCUUGACGAAGGCGAGCUUGCCGGCCUCCUUCAUGCUGGCGAGGUUGGCCGUGAGGAGGGAGGCGUGCGCCGAGGGGAGGCCCUCGUACUUCUCCUCGAUGUAGCUGGAGAUGGCGGACUUGCUCGAGCCGUUCUUGUCGCCCAGCGCCUCGAUCGCCGCGAGAAUCAUCUGCGAGGAGAAGCAGAGGCUCUCAGGCCGCGGCCGGCAAGGAGAAGGAUCUAACGAACAAGGAAAUGAUACGCCGCCGACAAAUCUACGGCGGAAGGCACGGAAGCAGAGCGCCAAAACCGGGAGAAACUCACCUCGGGGUAGGGCGGGAUGUCACCGGACUUGGGGGACCCGUCGUUCGCCAUGGCAGCGACGGCGGCUACAGCCCACGGCGGUGGAGCCGAGCGCUCGGGCUACAGUGCGGGCGCGGAGGAGGGAGCGGGCUGCGGGGAGGGGAAAAAUUUCGGAUUUGGAUCGGGGGAGGAGGCGAGGACGGCGGGGGCAGUAGAUAAGAAAUGGGCGAGCUGUGCCGCGUGUGCCGAAGGCAGCAGGCCUAUGACCUAGGGUUUCCGCGUGCGGUCACCGACGUGUGGGCCGCGUAGGUUAGUACCCUGGGUCCGGGACCACCUGGCGGUGGGACACCCGGAGCGUGUCAGACGAAUCAUGCAGUUUCGGCCGAUAUAAAUGCAGCUUUCCUAUUUUGAACGCCUUUAUCGAUGCGCGUGGGACGGAGACCCGUGCGUGACGUGCACGGACGGCGGGGAUUGCGAGGCGGGGGAUCCUAGGGCGGAGAGGGGAGAAGCAACGGGUGUGUGCACGCGGAUCGGUGACGUGGCGGGGGGUCGGGGUGGGACGAGGGAACGAUCCUGAAACGCUUUUGCUGGACUUGUCGUCUCCUGCGCGGGGAGCGGGAGCGGGAGCGGCCUCGCGUUUUGGGUCGGGGAAAUGACUGUGGUACCCCCGACGGGCGCGCUGUCCAUAUAAACAAUAGGGUACAGUGUUUUUUUUUAUUUAGAAUUUUAUAGUUCAUAUCAUGAAUUAGUACAAAGUAGUUCGACCCUUACAAGCACACUGAAACGCAAACACAAAGGACCAUGAACACCUAGAAUACCCUAAGACAACCAUAACACAAGAAAAUCUGCGGAGCCCCGUGUCUUCAUCCCUGAAUCUUGAGAGAAGACCACUGUAGCAACUCCAAUGAGGCGACCUAUUUCGUCCGCGGCCGUUCGUUUGGGUCUGCGCAGAUAGAAAGGCGGCCCAACGCGCCGACCCAAACGGACGCGCGUCCGUUUUUCAUCCGCGAACGACCCAUUUCCGGCCCAUUUUUUAGCCUGAUUUGCGUCGGCGCGGACACGCGCGCGCUCGCCUACUCCUGUCCCCGGACCCGCUGGUCUGUGGCACAUUGGCCUCCCCCCUCACCCCCUUCCCCCCGGCCAACAAGCAACCCUCGCCCCGUCUCCUUCGGCGACUCUUCCAGCUGUCGCCGCCUCCACAUCCGCCCAGCAACGCCGCCCCUGUCCCCGUUGUCCGCCGCCGCCGUUUUGCCGCCGGGGAGCAAACUGGUUCCCGCCGCCACUUCCCCCACCGCACAGCCGCCCGUGACCAAGAAGACGCCUCGCCGCCCCCGCCACAUCCGACCGGCACGCUCGUCGGACGCCGUCAUUGUAGCGACCAGACCUCAAACAGUCUGUACUCUGUGCUUUAGUGUCAUCCCUGGAUCAGUAAUGCUGACACGCACAGUACAAAUGGAGGAUUCAUAACAGAGUAGCAAUCACACACUUAUUACAUCGAGUAUCUCAAAAGAGAAAUAAGUAUGAUAAGUAUGGCUUAAGGCCAUCUAAUACGAUAACAGCGGAAGACUUGGAAGAAAAGUGAGUCCAUCAACUCCAACGGCAUCACUGAGUAUAAGACCACGACCUAAGGCACCUUACUCGUCGUCUGAAAAGUCUGCAACAUAAAACGUUGCAGCCCGAAAACGGGUCAGCACAUGGAAUAUGCUGGCAAUGUAACACAUAGAGAGUAAUGAACAUAAUAAUGCUAUACUACAUGCAUAUAUGGCUGGUAGAAGGCUCUAUGGUUACAGUUUUGCGAAAAGCCAAUUUUUCCCUAUGGUUACAGUUUUGCGAAAAGCCAAUUUUUCCCUACUGCAAAGGAAUAAAUUUUAUUUAACUAUCAUGGUGGUUGUUAAACAUUGAGAAUGGUUGAGUCAACCAUUCUCAAUCCCAAUUAAAUAUCAUCAUUAACCCAACAAAAUUAAUUAAAGUAACAUGGUGAUUAGAUUCACAUGAUAAUCCAAGUACUAGAUACUCAAGAUGUCCAUAACCGGGGACACGGCUAACCAUGAUUAGUUUGUACACUCUGCAGAGGUUUGUGCACUUUUCCCCACAAGACUCGAUCGCCUCCGCUUGAUUCUCGCACUACAUGAUCUUUGAGAAACGGAUGACCGAGACACAGUCUUUCAGAAACAAUAACUCUUUACUCCGGGUGGACAGUUACACCUACUUUCCCCUACAUCUGAUAGCCCACCUCUUCAAGAGAUCAUGUAACCUACUCAACUAUGCUAGAGCCCAUAAUAGCUUGUGGCUGCACACGGAAGUUUCUAGCAUGAAUAAUCUUAUGACCCCUUUGAGCCUGGGUGGCGGUCCUUAGAAAAACAGGCGUUCUCCAGGUGCCUCAAUCCACCCAGAUGUGAGUUUUAGUUGCCACCUUAAGUAAACCAUUAAUUAACAAUCUCACACCUGUCGUGAAUAUCUCUCAAACCCAAUCCACGUAUACUAGCAUAGCAUAGCGAUAUAAGCAAACGUAGAAGUAACUCCCAAGGGUUUGAUAAUAAACAGGUAAUAGGUACUACCUCAACUACAUCCCAAUACCCACAAUUUAAUUAGAUCCUAACCAUGCAAUGUUUGAGGGUUGGUCUAAUGCAAUAAAACUGGGUAGUAGAAAGGUAUGAUCAAAGUGUUACUUGCCUUGCUGAUGAUCCGUGAAACUUAGAGAUUCGAAGUAGCAAGCGGCGCACUCCGGGUACUCUAUCGCAAACAAACAAGCAUACAAUAAGCACUUAUCAAAUGCACAGGUAAAACUCAAAUAAAAGAUCUAACCAGAAAGUUCAACUUAAGAACUCCGGUUUGCAAAAAGAAUCAAAUCGAACGAAGCAACGAAAGUCAAACGGCGAGAGAAACAAGCUUCGUUUACUAAUCUGAAUCUAGGUCAAAUUUUACAGUAGCAAAAAUUUGUUUGAGUAGGUUAAACGGAAAGAGAAUUUUGAGACGAAACUCUAGGCGCUUGAAUCGCCUGAUUCCGAUAAACGAGCGAAAAGAUAAACUAAAACGAAAAUCUGAUCAGAAAUCGCGAUCUGGAAUAAUCGCGGAAAAUCCGACGAAAAAGAAAACUGACGAACAGUUAAAUGAACGGACGUUUGUUAACAGCGACUAACCGACGAACAUGUUCGUUAAAACGAAUAGAUCGGUGAACGUUCACUAAUUAAUUAAACCGAAGAAAAAAUAAACCGAUCUAUUUAAAAAAUCUAGGGUUUUGAAAAAAAAUAAAAAUAAACCGAGGCGGUUUUAAAAAAACGGACAGCGAACGGCGGCGGCUCCUGCUAACCUCCGACGAGGCUCGGGAUGGGCUCCGGCGGGNNNNNNNNNNNNNNNNNNNNNNNNNNNNNNNNNNNNNNNNNNNNNNNNNNNNNNNNNNNNNNNNNNNNNNNNNNNNNNNNNNNNNNNNNNNNNNNNNNNNNNNNNNNNNNNNNNNNNNNNNNNNNNNNNNNNNNNNNNNNNNNNNNNNNNNNNNNNNNNNNNNNNNNNNNNNNNNNNNNNNNNNNNNNNNNNNNNNNNNNNNNNNNNNNNNNNNNNNNNNNNNNNNNNNNNNNNNNNNNNNNNNNNNNNNNNNNNNNNNNNNNNNNNNNNNNNNNNNNNNNNNNNNNNNNNNNNNNNNNNNNNNNNNNNNNNNNNNNNNNNNNNNNNNNNNNNNNNNNNNNNNNNNNNNNNNNNNNNNNNNNNNNNNNNNNNNNNNNNNNNNNNNNNNNNNNNNNNNNNNNNNNNNNNNNNNNNNNNNNNNNNNNNNNNNNNNNNNNNNNNNNNNNNNNNNNNNNNNNNNNNNNNNNNNNNNNNNNNNNNNNNGGCCGUGCUCAAGCGGGGCUCGGGCGGCGGCGGCGCUGUCGUGCCCGAGAGGGAGACGGGGCGCGGGGCAGCUGGGCCGUCGGCUGGGCUUCGGCCCAGUCGGCGCGCUCGGUGUUUUUUUUAAUAAUAAUUUCACCGAAUCUAAAAAAACAUAGAAAAAUAAAUAAAAAUCCAAAAAUGCUAAAACAAAUUUUUACCGUCUAAUUAAAAUAAUUAGAACAAGAUGAACAUUUUCUUGGCCCAAAAAUGCAGUUUUGAAAACGUGCAAUUUUUCUAAUGCAAUUAAAAUUGCAAAUAAAGCCCGAAUAAAAUCCAAUAUUUGAUUUUAAUAUUUUUCCUCCAAUAUUUCAAUUAUUUUGGAGAAGUCAUAUUUUCUCCUCUCAUUUAUUUUAAUAUGAAAUAUUUUUUGGAGAGAAAAAUAAUUAAAACCAAAAAUCCUCGUUUUAUUAUUUGAUAAAAUCAAAUAUGAAAACCACGAAAAUCCCCAACUCUCUCCGAGGGUCCUUGAGUUGCUUAGGUUUUUUUCGAGGAUUUGCCAAAAUGCAAUAAAAUAUGCUAUGAAAUGAUGAUCUAAUGUAUAACAUUCCAAAUUGAAAAUUUGGGAUGUUACAGUCACACUCGUCGGACGCCGACAGGGGAGCUAGCUGGUCUGUGGGCGCCGCGUCUCCCCUCGUCGGCCGUCUCCUUCUUCGACGCCCGCAAGCUGUUCGACAGGCCAAGGUACGAAAAUGGACUCCGCCGACGAGUUCUUUUUCCACAAUUUGCUUUGCGACUCCGACGAUUUGUCGUCCGACGAUGAGGAGGAGAUAUUGGCUGCCGUGUUGGUCCAUCACCACCUCAACAACCAGCGGCCGUUGUUCCGUGGAUCCAUUCCGGGCCACCUUCCGGCGUUGAAUCGUAACGGAGAGAGCGGGCAUUUCCUUCUCUGGAAGGACUACUUUGAUACAACAAACCCGUUGUUCAAACAUCACAAAUUCCGCCGCGGUUUCCGUAUGAGUAGGCAUGUUUUCAACCGUAUUAGAGAGGGAGUGGUCGGCUAUGAUGACUACUUUGAGUGCAAAGAGGAUGCCGUCGGCAAGAUUGGUUUCUCCUCUUAUCAUAAAUGCACUGCCGCCAUCCAAAUGCUUGCAUACGAAGUGCCCGGUGAUCUCAUUGACGAGUACGUCCGUAUGAGUGAGUCUACAUGCCUAGAGUCCAUGUAUAAGUUCUGCAAGGCUGUGAUUGCUGUGUUUGGCCCUGAGUACUUGAAAGAGCCGACAGCUGAAGAUACAGCCCAUUUGCUGGCGAUGAAUGCCAGCAGGGGCUUCCCGGGGAUGCUUGGCAGCAUAGACUGCAUGCACUGGGAGUGGAAGAACUGCCCUUCUGCUUGGCAAGGGCAGUAUAAGGGACAUGUCAGGGCUUGCACUGUCAUACUAGAGGCUGUGGCAUCUCAAGAUCUUUGGAUCUGGCACUCUUUCUUUGGCAUGGCUGGAUCACACAAUGAUAUCAACGUGCUUCAGCGCUCGCCGGUGUUUGCUAGGCUUGUCGAAGGCAACAGCCCACCGGUGAACUUUACUGUCAACGGCCACAACUACGACAAAGGGUACUAUUUGGGUGACGGUAUCUAUCCUCAGUGGACCACUAUUGUCAAGACAAUACCCAACCCUAUCGGAGAGAAAAGGGAAAGAUUUGCCCAAGAGCAAGAGAGUGCUAGGAAGGAUGUCGAGCGUGCCUUUGGUGUUUUGCAAUCUCGAUGGGGCAUCGGUAUCCUGCUAAUACUUGGAGCACGCAUGAAAGAACAUGCGGUGCCCCCAUGUUUGGUUUUGGUAAUUGAUGACAAUCUCUAUGGACUAAUGGUUGCCUUGAGUUAUAUUUGAAGGAUUUGUCCAUAGGCAUUUCUUGAAGUUCAUGUGUUGGUUUCAAGGAGUUUAUGUGGUGACCAAGGUGUUAUUAAGGAAUUAUCCAAAGAUUGGUCAUGUGAGAGUUGAGCUUAUUGCAAGCAUGUCUUGGAGAAGAAGAUUGUGUGAUCAUUCAUGUAUAUCUUCAAGACAUCAUCCAAAUGAAGAGAGUUGAAAAGAUUCAAGGUUGAUCAAGACUAAGUCAAGAGUGAAUCAACUUGAUCAACUCACAAAGCGUAGAAGAUGUACCGAGAGGGAUCAAGCGAUCCCAUGGUGUGGUAAGCAUUGUCAAUUACGCUUUGUGUACUAACCCAUGAUCUUCGUGAGAGUUCUUUGUGGGGUUAGGUUGCGGUGUGCAAGUUCAAGUGAAGCAUCAUGAAGAGAUCAAAUGCUUGAAGCUUGCCGUCCAUUGUGGUGACAAUGGACUUGUGAAGAUGUUGCGGUGUGCAAGUUCAAGUGAAGCAUCAUGAAGAGAUCAAAUGCUUGAAGCUUGCCGUCCAUUGUGGUGACAAUGGACUUGUGAAGAUGUGUGGAAGAGUGGCUCACCCAUAGUGGAGUAUGGGGGAGCAAUCAAUUAGUCUUCAUCGAGCCAACGCAACCAAGAAAGGUGGUCCAACUUGAGGGAGUCAAGAUCGUCAUCAUCUAGCUCAAGUGGACCAUGUGCAAGGCAAAGGUUUGCCCUUGAUAGGUUUUCUAUUUUACCGGUCUCAUGAUGGUAGUUGGGAGACCGGGUUAUAGGAUCGAUUGUCGUACUAUCAAGGGGGGCUCUCGAAGAGUAGCUUGAUCGUAUCAUUCGUAGAGAGCUCAAACCAUUGCAUCCUUGCAUCAUCUUUCUUGGUUCUUGUUUGGUUCUUCUCUUUGUGAGUUUUGGAGCUUAUGGUCAUCUUGAUGACAAGCUCGAGUUCAUCGAAAACGGAGUUCACUCGCAUCUUCUAUGAUGUUUUCGAUGUUGGAAGGUUAUGCCGGUUCUUCUCGGUUGGAGGUUUCACUCCUCUAUUUUGUUGGCAUACCUUCCCCGCCUCUUCUUACUAACCAGUUGCUGUUUUGAUGCUACUCGUCGUCUUGUAUCCAACAAGAUUGAGUUUGCUCAAUUCGGAGCUCAUAUGCAGAAGUUAUGGCAGUUUUGGUUUCCCGUGGAGUAUACUUGUUUUCGUGGAAGUGGCUUUAGGUUGGUCCCAGCGGUAGUACCGCGGUAUCCAGCGGUAGUACCGCUUAGGGGUCACAAGCGACAGUACCGCUCCAGAGCGGUAGUACCGCUGUAGCCCCCAGCCGUAGUACCGCUGCGGCUUCGUGCUAGUACCGCCUCGAUUCGAGCUCGUUCCCCUCUCUCAGUGUGCCCUCUCUAGUCCCAGCGGUAGUACCGCGGGCCGGAGCGGUAGUACCACUUGGGUGCUACAAGCGGCAGUACCGCCCCACAGCGGUAGUACCGCUGUAGCCCCCAGCCGUAGUACCGAUGCGGCUUCGUGCUAGUACUGCCUCGAUUCGAGGGGUAUUUUUCCGUGUCGGGUUUUACGGUACUAGCCGCGGCAGUGGGGGCAGUAGUACCGCCCGUGUGCGGUAGUACCGCUCUGGGCCCAGCGGCAGUACCGCGAGGGGGAGCGGUAGUACCGCUGGCCAAGCGGUAGUACCGCCCUCUGCGGGGCUAUUUUGGGGGUAACGGUUGGAUUGUCCCCCCACUAUAUAAGGGGAUCUCUUCCCCAUUCUACCAUAUCCUUUGAGCUUGUGUUCUUCCCCCAUUGUUGACCUUCUUCGAGCUUGCUAACUCUCAAUCCCUCCAUGGAUUCUUGCUAGUUUUUGAGGGAAAAGAGAGAGGAGAUAUAGAUCCACAUUUCCACCAAUCACUUUCUCCUCUAUGUGAGGGGAACCCCUUGGAUCUAGAUCUUGGAGUUCUUGGUGUUCUCCUUCUUGUUUUUCCUCUCAUCUUCCUCCCUAGCAUUAGUUGCUUCGGUGGGAUUUGAGAGAGAAGGAUUUGGGCACUCCGUGUGCCCUUGCCAUUGAAUUUGGUGCAUCGGUUUGAGUUCUCCACGUGAUACAUGGAAGUUACAAGUUGAGAAGCUUAUUACUCUUGGGUGCUUGGUGCCCUUGAGCUUGUUCCUCUUGGGUGCUUGGGCGCCCUAGAUGGUUGGUGGUGUUCGGAGCUCAAUCAUUGUGGUGUAAAGCUCCGGGCAAGCGUCGGGGUCUCCAAUUAGGUUGUGGAGAUCGCCCCGAGCAAUUUGACGGGUACCGGUGACCGUCCCCAAGGGUUUCCAAAGUGUACGGGUUUGGUGACCGCCCCCAAGGGUUGCCAUUUGUACGGGUUCGGUGACCGCCCUCAAGGGUCCCUUAGUGGAAUCACGGCAUCUUGCAUUGUGCGAGGGCGUGAGGAGAUUACGGUGGCCCUAGUGGCUUCUUGGGGAGCAUUGUGCCUCCACACCGCUCCAAACGGAGAUUAGCAUCCGCAAGGGUGUGAACUUCGGGAUACAUCGUCGUCUCCGCGUGCCUCGGUUAUCUCUUACCCGAGCCCUUUACUUAUGCACUUUACUUUGUGAUAGCCAUAUUGUUUCUUGUCAUAUAUCUUGCUAUCACUUAGUUGUUUACCUUGCUUAGCAUAAGUUGUUGGUGCACAUAGGGAGCCUAGUUGUUUUAGGUUUUGUGCUUGUCAAAUUAACCGUUAGGUUUAUUCCGCAUUUGUUCAAGCCUAAACCGUAAUUAUUUUAAAGCGCCUAUUCACCCCCCCUCUAGGCGACAUCCACGAUCUUUCAAUUGGUAUCAGAGCCUCGUCUCUCUUUGUUAGGCUUAACCGCCUAGAGAGUAAAGAUGUCGACUAGGGGAUUAGGAUUCUCUGACACUCUUAGUUUCGAUGGCACAAAUUUUGAUGUUUGGGUAAUUCGCAUGCUUAAUCUCUUUAGGGUCAUGGACCCAAAUUUAGAGCGAAUUGUAGAUAUGGGUUUUUCUCCUCCAAAGGAUCCCCAAAGAUUAUCUUUAGAGGAUGAGAAAAAAAAUCUUAUCUCAAUGCUCAAGCUUCUAAUGUGCUUUUCGAUGCUUUGAGCAAUGUAGUUAUAUUUCAAGUCAUGCCGUUCCGGGAUGCACAUGAAUUAUGGACAAAGCUUCAAGAUAAAUAUGGUGUGUCCAAGAUUUGUGGGGAUGAUUGUUCUCCCUCCACCUCCGGCCGUGUUGCCUUCUCAACUUCUUCUACUUCACCUACAUGUGGAUUGCCACAAGGUAAUGUUAGGGUGAGUAGUGGUGGUCAUUGCAAUGAUGAUAGUGUGCUUGUUCUUGGUGAUUCUUCAUCUCUAUCUUAUUGCCAUGGUCCUUCGUUGGACUUUAACACUUCGAGCACCUUACAUGUUUCACAUGCUCGUGUUGGUAGUCCUUGCAUAUCAUGUAGAAAUUGCUUGCUCAAAUCUCAUGAUGAUAUGCUUGCUAUGUCUUGUUGCCAUGAUGAAAAUGUAUCUAUUUCCUCGAGUUGUUGUGCUAACAAUGUAGAGGAAACCCAACACUCCAUGGAACAAGAUGUGGUCUUGAAUGGUGCUUUAAGGGAUCCCACAUCAUCAUCUAUUGCUUUUUGCCUUAUGGCCAAGGCUUCAAAGGUACCUCCCACUUUGAAUCCCAAUAUAUCUUGUGAUAAUAUUGAUGAUGGCAAGAGUGAUGAUGAUGUCGAUUAUGAUGAAGAGAAUGAUGAUGUUGCCUCCUUAAAAGUUAAGGGGGAAAUAAUUUUCAAAGCUCUUCUUAAGAAUAAAAUUGCUCGUUCCAACUUCAUGGAAAUCAUGUCUAUUGCUAUUGAGGGCAAGAAAUAUAUUGAUGAGUUGGAAUCUUGUCUUGAGGAGCAUGAGGUCACCAUUGAUAAAAUGGAAGGUCAUGAGCGUGAUUACGCUAAUGAGAUUGCGGACCUCUCUCAAGCUCUUGAACUUGAACAAACCACCAAGGAAUCUCUUGAGGAGACUUUUGCUCUAGAGUUAUCUAGAGUGAAGGAAUCUCAUGAUAGAGCUCUUGAGGUGGCCAAUGUUUUUGAAACUAAAAAUGCUAAGCUUGAAGUUCUUCAUGCUAGACUCCUUGAGGAUUUUGAGCUCCUCGAAAAUGGCUCAAGGGUCAUCAAGGGUGAGCUCAUCAAACUCACCGAGUCUCAUGCUCAACUUGAAGCUUCUUAUUUAAAAGAGCUUGCCAAGUUGCCUUCUCAUCUUGUUGUUAAUGAUGAUGCUUGUGCUACUAACUCUAUUUCUUGUGAAGCAUCCAUUUUAAAGGAGAACGUUGAGCUACGGGCUCAACUUGAGUUGCUAUCUAGCAAUUAUGGGAAAUUGGAAGAAAGCCAUGAAAAGCUCUCAAGCUCUCAUGAUGAUCUUCUAGUAUCCCAUAAUGUGCUAAAGAUAGCUCAUGAGGCCAUGAUUUCUAAGGUAACAUCUAGUGAGCCUCAUGUGGACACUAGCACUACUUUUAGUCAAAAUGCUAUAUUGCCUUGUGCUAGUCCUCGCGAUUCAUCCAUGCAUAAUGUUGGUACAUCUUGUGAUGAAUUGCUUUCCUUGCCUUGUUGCUCUAACGAUGAAGCUUAUACUUCCUCUAGUGCUUGUGUUGAGACUAACCAUGUAGAGGAAAUCAAAGAGCUCAAGGCCCAAGUCACUUCUUUGAAGAAAGACUUGGAAAAGAGUCAUGAAGGGAAAUUUACACUCAACAACAUCUUGAGAGUGCAAAAAUCCCCCAAUUACAAAGGUGGACUUGGAUUCAACUCCAACAAGAAGAAUAAGUCCAAGAUGAACAAAAAGAAGGGCCAAGAACAAGUCAAGAAUUCGGCCAAGAUUGUUUGCUUCAAGUGCAAAGUAGAAGGGCAUCAUGUUAGAUCUUGCCCAUUGAAGAAGAAGGCCAUUAGUGAUAAGCAACAAGGGAAGCGGCCACAAGUUCACUCUCAUUAUCAACCUCAAGUUGAAGAAAGGCCUCUUCCUAAGAAAACUCAAGCUAAUGCUUCUCAAGUUGAGAAAUCAAGUGAGAAGAAAGUAAAGAGUAGGCGUUGCUACCUAUGUCGUGAAAAAGGUCACGUCGCUUCUUCAUGCACUAGUGGUAACUUAUCCAACCCAAUUAUUAUUGAUGAUGUCUAUUCUCUUGGGAAGGAUAAGGUUGGCAAUGUGGUUGCCAAGUUUGUUGGUACUCAAAGUGGUUUGAAGCAAAGAACCAUUUGGGUAGCCAAGCCUAUUGUGACUAACCUCUUAGGACCCAACUUGGUUGGGGACCAACUAGCUCAAACUUGAUCAAUAGGUGUUGUUGGAGGGCAUUGGAGACUUGGAUACUUUAUGAAGAAUUAAGGGGACUUCAUCAUUCUAAUUUUCUCAAGCCAAGUCAUUCGGAUUAUCAAGUUUCUAUCUUAUAUCCAAUGUUCCUCCUUGCGGUAAAUCAUUCUUAAAGUGUUUACAUUGAUAGCUACUUACCCCUUUGCAUGUUUGGUUUCGUUCCUUGCAUGUGUUUGUAUAUGUUGUGCUUCCAACUUGAUUAUCUUGAGCAAUCAAGUAUGUGUGUGUUGGUUUGCACAUCAUGUACGUGUGUGUCAUGCGUUGAGCCUUUUUGCAUCUUUUUUAUUUCUUAGUUGGCUCUUGUGAGAGAUUAAUGGAAUAUCCCAUUAUGGGGGAGUGAUGUGCUUUGUGCACCUCACAAUCCUAUAUAUGUGUAUACAUGAGUAAUACCAUCUAGUAUUGAUAUUUCAAGAUUAUCUAGUCGCUAUGUAGUAUGUCUUCUCAUGAGAAAUUCAAAUUUUAAAUUGCCCAUUAAUUAUCUCUUGUUGGAUCAUUAUUUUUCCUCUUGUUUAUCUUUAAUUGGUAUCACAUUAUGGGGGAGUAAUAUGCUAUGUGUAUAUUACUAGCCUAGAAAAUGUGUACAUUUGAGAUAUUGUCACCUAGAAUUGAUAUUGUAAAUUAUUUUGUUCCUAGGUGGCAUGUUAGCUCUACAAGUUGCAAUUUGCUUUUUGUUUGGUGUGAAGAUGAUGUCGGAUAUCCUUGCUAUCUACCACCGGGAAUUAUUUCCAAAUACUUCUUGUCUUUUGACAAUUGGUACUCACUUAUGUGUGGUAGAAAUUAUUGAUCAUCUUUACAUUGGCCUUUGCUUUUAUUUGUUUUUUUUUCUUGCCUAGGAAUGUAUCAAUUCCCUUUGUCUUCCAUACCACUUGUGGAUCUUGUUAAUUUCUUGAUCUUGUCUAGUGUUUUCUAGAUAUAGUGAAAGUGGUGAUCCCACCUUGUGCAUUUUGUAUUCAAAUGCAAAUUCUCUAUAAUGCACUAGUCUUGGGGGAGCUAUCCUAUUUUCUAUAAAACACUCAUCUUGCGAUCCUUAUCAAGUGUGUGUUGGUGGACGGCAAGCCGUUUCUUUUUGGUACUUGUGCCAUCAUGAAACUUUGUAGAGAGCUUGGUUUGUUUGGAACCAUCCUCUCUUUUGGGAGUUUGAUAUAAUUUUGUGGGCUCCAAUGGAUAUCUCAUUCCUUGAUGUAUCUUUUAAUGAUAUCUUCCAAGUGAUGAUUUCUCCAUUUGGUAUUCUUUUCACUUGGUAUUUCCUUGUAUUUUGGUAUCGGUUAUUGAAAGUCUUGAGCAUGCAUAUUAACUCCAUGUAGUUUCCGUGGCAUGCUUUCUCUUUUUGACCCAAUAUAUAAGGGAAACUCCACCAAGUCUCAAAUUGGAUGAGAUGUGCAUGAAUUUCAUUUCCAUUUCUAUAUGCACAUAUUUAUGUGGAGUUUGUCCUAUGUAUUGUUGGUGUUUCUAACUCUUUGGUCCCAAUGAGUUUGGGUACCAUUUUGUUUGUGUUGUUGUUCUAGGAACAAUUGGAGAUGCAUUGGAUGCUCGGCUCACUCACAAGGAAGGUGUUGUCACCAUGUGCUUUUUGGAGUCAAGCUAGGAUGAUCAAUGAACUACUUUCUACCUUCAAUUGGUAUCUACUACAUCCUUCCAAUGUUAACUCGGUAACAAGUAUCUUCAUAUACUUCAUGCACACAUUUCUUGCAUAAACCUUGUGUAGGUUGUAUCAUGGCAUGUUAUUCAUUCUCUCUUGUGAUACUUGUUUCCUUUCUCAAAGCAUCCCAACAAUGAUCUCUUGUUUCUAGUUGUGAUGUCUUUGAUGGUUGUGUGGUAGGAAUUCAUUUAUGUACAAUAAGACCAUAUCUAGCCAUGUGCUAUGCUUCCAAGCAAAUAUCUUAUUGGUAUAUCUAUGACUUCCUUUGGAUAUCUUGUUCCUUCGUGUUGUAACUAUUUCGGGUGUACAUCCUUCUUCGUAGAUAUAUAUCCUCAUGAUUUCGUCUACCUAGAACCUUAUACACUUGAGAGAAAUUACAUCUCUAGAUGAUAUCCUUUCUUUCACGUCCACCUUGUCCUUCUUAUGUUAUUUCUUUUGUGGCUCCGUGAAAGCUUUUGCCUUGAGUGCGUGUCUUAUCUCAUUGCAUCUUGAUGCACUCUUGUGUGGUGAAGAUUAUUUUCCUCAUGCUUGUCUUUACGAGGCUUUUGCCAUCUUAAUUGGUAUCCCUCGUCUUGAUGAAGCUUUCUUUUAUAUCUUCACCACGGGUGGUUACAAGCAUAGGUUCUUUAUAUGCUUAUUAGUAAGCUUGUGAACCCAUUUUCUAGUUGUGUGUGGGAAUGAUAGGCCUUGCAUCGUGUGCCUCAUUCUCCCAAGACUUUAUUGAUGCUUAAUGUCCAUCCGUACAUUAGUCUUCUCAAGUGCAUUGCCUUGACUCACACACAUCAUUUUGGUUGAGCCCAUUCUUAAGUUGCCUCUUUUUACUUGUUGCUCAACCAUAUGUUCGUUGCAACUACUAGGCUUUGUUUCCUAUAUGUGCACUUGCACUUGUUGUAAAUUUCUAUUGAUUUUGGGGGAGCUAUGAUCCUAUUUUGUGCACUUUGUAUCCAAAUACAAAUAUUCUUGUGUGCACAAAUCAUGGGGAGCUUCUCUAGUUUCUUUAGAACACUCCUUUGCUCAUAUCAUAAUAUCUUUUAUUCAUGUGGCAUGUAGGAUCAAUGGUCUAGUUGGUUCAAUUGGUAUCUUUUGAUAGCUUGCCUCGAUUGGUAUCCUUUGAUUGCUUGAUUGCUCGUUUCUCUGUAUGUUAUGUCUUUGUGGCAUAUCAUUCUUUUGCAAUCUUUGGGCCUCAAUAUAGUUUGUCUUCCUCCAAAUAUUUAUCGUUGGACAUGUGUAUUGCAUUCCACUCUCUAGUUGAGAAAUACACAAUUUAUGGAGGGACACAAGCUAUAUUGGCCUUCUAAGCCUUUCGCCCAUUUUGGCAAUCGAUGCCAAUGGGGGAGAAGUUUCAGAGAGUUUUGUGGAGAAGUCUUCAGAGUUUUCUCCUUGCUUUGGUUUUGUUCCUAAGCAUUUGCAUCUCAUACGCAUGCAUUAUUGGUUGUUGCAUUACAUGGUGAUGCAUAAUUCCUUACAUAACUCUCUUGAAAGUGAUUGUCAUCAAUUACCAAAAUGGGGGAGAUUGAAAGAACAUGCGGUGCCCCCAUGUUUGGUUUUGGUAAUUGAUGACAAUCUCUAUGGACUAAUGGUUGCCUUGAGUUAUAUUUGAAGGAUUUUUCCAUAGGCAUUUCUUGAAGUUCAUGUGUUGGUUUCAAGGAGUUUAUGUGGUGACCAAGGUGUUAUUAAGGAAUUAUCCAAAGAUUGGUCAUGUGAGAGUUGAGCUUAUUGCAAGCAUGUCUUGGAGAAGAAGAUUGUGUGAUCAUUCAUGUAUAUCUUCAAGACAUCAUCCAAAUGAAGAGAGUUGAAAAGAUUCAAGGUUGAUCAAGACUAAGUCAAGAGUGAAUCAACUUGAUCAACUCACAAAGCGUAGAAGAUGUACCGAGAGGGAUCAAGCGAUCCCAUGGUGUGGUAAGCAUUGUCAAUUACGCUUUGUGUACUAACCCAUGAUCUUCGUGAGAGUUCUUUGUGGGGUUAGGUUGCGGUGUGCAAGUUCAAGUGAAGCAUCAUGAAGAGAUCAAAUGCUUGAAGCUUGCCGUCCAUUGUGGUGACAAUGGACUUGUGAAGAUGUUGCGGUGUGCAAGUUCAAGUGAAGCAUCAUGAAGAGAUCAAAUGCUUGAAGCUUGCCGUCCAUUGUGGUGACAAUGGACUUGUGAAGAUGUGCGGAAGAGUGGCUCACCCAUAGUGGAGUAUGGGGGAGCAAUCAACUAGUCUUCAUCGAGGCAACGCAACCAAGAAAGGUGGUCCAACUUGAGGGAGUCAAGAUCGUCAUCAUCUAGCUCAAGUGGACCAUGUGCAAGGCAAAGGUUUGCCCUUGAUAGGUUUUCUAUUUUACCGGUCUCAUGAUGGUAGUUAGGAGACCGGGUUAUAGGAUCGAUUGUCGUACUAUCAAGGGGGGCUCUCGAUGAGUAGCUUGAUCGUAUCAUUCGUAGAGAGCUCAAACCAUUGCAUCCUUGCAUCAUCUUUCUUGGUUCAUGUUUGGUUCUUCUCUUUGUGAGUUUUGGAGCUUAUGGUCAUCUUGAUGACAAGCUCGAGUUCAUCGAAAACGGAGUUCACUCGCAUCUUCUAUGAUGUUUUCGAUGUUGGAAGGUUAUGCCGGUUCUUCUCGGUUGGAGGUUUCACUCCUCUAUUUUGUUGGCAUACCUUCCCUGCCUCUUCUUACUAACCAGUCGCUGUUUUGAUGCUACUCGUCAUCUUGUAUCCAACAAGCUUGAGUUUGCUCAAUUCGGAGCUCAUAUGCAGAAGUUAUGGCAGUUUUGGUUUCCCGUGGAGUAUACUUGUUUUCGUGGAAGUGGCUUUAGGUUGGUCCCAGCGGUAGUACCGCGGUAUCCAGCGGUAGUACCGCUUAGGGGUCACAAGCGGCAGUACCGCUCAAGAGCGGUAGUACCGCUCCAGAGCGGUAGUACCGCUGUAGCAACCAGCCGUAGUACCGCUAAGGCUUCGUGCUAGUACCACCUCGAUUCGAGCUCGUUCCCCUCUCUCAGUGUGACCUCUCUAGUCCCAGCGGUAGUACCGCGGGCCGGAGCGGUAGUACCGCUUGGGUGCUACAAGCGGCAGUACCGCCCCACAGCGGUAGUACCGCUGUAGCCCCCAGCCGUAGUACCGCUGCGGCUUCGUGCUAGUACUGCCUCGAUUCGAGGGGUCUUUUUCCGUGUCGGGUUUUGCGUUACUAGCCGCGGCAGUGGGGGCAGUAGUACCGCCUGUGUGCGGUAGUACCGCUCUGGGCCCAGCGGCAGUACCGCGAGGGGGAGCGAUAGUACCGCUGGCCAAGCGGUAGUACCGCCCUCUGCGGGGCUGUUUUGGGGGUAACGGUUGGAUUGUCCCCCCACUAUAUAAGGGGGUCUUCUUCCCCAUUCUACCUUAUCCUUUGAGCUCGUGUUCUUCCCCCAUUGUUGACCUUCUUCGAGCUUGCUAACUCUCAAUCCCUCCAUGGAUUCUUGCUAGUUUUUGAGGGAAAAGAGAGAGGAGAUAUAGAUCCACAUUUCCACCAAUCACUUUCUCCUCUAUGUGAGGGGAACCCCUUGGAUCUAGAUCUUGGAGUUCUUGGUGUUCUCCUUCUUGUUUUUCCUCUCAUCUUCCUCCCUAGCAUUAGUUGCUUUGGUGGGAUUUGAGAGAGAAGGAUUUGGGCACUCCGUGUGCCCUUGCCAUUGCAUUUGGUGCAUCGGUUUGAGUUCUCCACGUGAUACGUGGAAGUUACAAGUUGAGAAGCUUAUUACUCUUGGGUGCUUGGUGCCCUUGAGCUUGUUCCUCUUGGGUGCUUGGGCACCCUAGACGGUUGGUGGUGUUCGGAGCUCAAUCAUUGUGGUGUAAAGCUCCGAGCAAGCGUCGGGGUCUCCAAUUAGGUUGUGGAGAUCGCCCCGAGCAAUUUGACGGGUACCAGUGACCGCCCCAAGGGUUGCCAAAGUGUACGGGUUCGGUGACCGCCCCCAAGGGUUGCCAUUUGUACGGGUUCGGUGACCGCCCUCAAGGGUCCCUUAGUGGAAUCACGGCAUCUUGCAUUGUGCGAGGGCGUGAGGAGAUUACGGUGGCCCUAGUGGCUUCUUGGGGAGCAUUGUGCCUCCACACCGCUCCAAACGGAGAUUAGCAUCCGCAAGGGUGUGAACUUCGGGAUACAUCGUCGUCUCCGCGUGCCUCGGUUAUCUCUUACCCGAGCCCUUUACUUAUGCACUUUACUUUGUGAUAGCCAUAUUGUUUCUUGUCAUAUAUCUUGCUAUCACUUAGUUGUUUACCUUGCUUAGCAUAAGUUGUUGGUGCACAUAGGUGAGCCUAGUUAUUUUAGGUUUUGUGCUUGUCAGAUUAACCAUUAGGUUUAUUCCGCAUUGUUCAAGCCUAAACCGUAAUUAUUUUAAAGCGCCUAUUCACCCCCCCUCUAGGCGACAUCCACGAUCUUUCAACGCAGAAACUAUGGGAGGUGAUGACUGCUUGUGUGAUCAUGCACAAUAUGAUCGUAGAAGACGAGCGCCCGGAACGUCUGUACGAUCAAGGCUUUUAGUUUCAGGGUGAGAAUGUUGUGCCUGAGCAUGGAGUAGGGGCAACAUUUGAGCAGUUCACUCAGUUUCAUGAAGACAUGCGUGAUUGGGAAACUCACGUGCAACUGCAAAAUGAUUUGGUUGAGCAUAUGUGGACUCAUGUUGGCAACAAAUAGAUGUAUCUUCUUUUAUUCGUUUGUAAAACUAUGUGAAACAUUUUUAUUUGUAUUUGGCUUGUAAAACUAUACUAUUUAUUUGGCGGCUAAACUAUUUUGCAUGUUAACAUUUUCAUUUCAAAAUAUGUUUGAAUGCAAAUCAAUGUAAAAUUGGGCGGCCAGCCGGCCACGCCUGCACAUAUGGGUCGGCGCGUUGGGCGCGCUGCCGACCCAUAUGAAAAACAGGGCGGACGCCGGGCGGGCGGCCGACCCAAACGAACAAAAAGCGGACGAAAUCGCCGUCCGUUUGGGUCGGCCCGUUGGAGUUGCUCUUACGAAAUGGUGCCCUCGUAUCCAGCUCAAAAAACAAAAUGACGCCUUGUAAGCCUACGGCCCAACACAGAUUUCAACGUAGUGACCUGUAGUGCAUCAGAGUCCUACAUUUGACACUCGUGCUCGUGUUUUUUGAAUUUUUUUAGACCUUCCGGCGAUGUGCAUUCCGUGAGACUAGCCACAAUGGGUAGUAACAUGCUCAUGUUAUUAGUCUAUGUUACUACCUUUAUACUGGGGAGUAACAUAUGUAUGGUAACAUGGAGCACUUCAUUUAUUAGGCUAUACACACAUCUUGCCUUGAUAUGUGUGAUGUUACUCAUACUAGUAGUAACUACCUAUGUUACCGCUUUCAUCUCUUUCUUCAUUUAUUGCAUGCCACACCAUCUAUUUAAUCUAGAUAUGUGUGAUGUUACUACCUAUGUUACUCCCACUGUGGGUAGCCUGAGAGACGACAUUUCCGUCGACUACAAAUGCGUCUGUGGCGACUGGAUCAAUCUUAAGAUGAUGUGCUGGCUCGGUCUCUCGAAGAUGCUGCAGGUGUAAAUUGUGUGUACCCACGUCCAUAGGGACGAGUGUAUGUGCAUAUAUAUGAGCAUUUGUAUCUGUGGUGUAAAAAAAUAAUACAUACUCCCUCCGACCGAAAAAGCUUGUCUUUCAAAUAGAUGUAUCUAGCAUCAAGUUAGUGCUAGAUACAUCCAUUUGAUGGACAAUGUUGGGACAAGUUUUUUUGGACGGAGGAAGUAUGUUACACCAAAAAGAAAAUCAGAGUAGUAAGAACAUCUACGACCCUUAUACGUGUCUGUGGAUGCAUCCAUACACGUCCGCGGAUAAUGACCAUUCACCCCCUCAUUUCUUAGCAUUCGGAGUGGUUCUCUCAUAUCCGGCCCCACAAAUCCAUGCAAUGCGAGAUAAACUGCAUAGAUCAUCAGCAUAGCAAUCAUACAUACAAGCAGACAUAAAUAAAAUUUGUGUGCAUAGUAACAAAAGUUCAUCACCAGACACGUAUAGCCGGACCAAAAUAGGCAGUUCAUCACCACACACUAGAUAGCUAAGGGGGCAGACCCGACAUACCCGAGCUAUAAGCCAAGGAAAAUUUAUAUUACAAUAGCUACAAUGCAAAAACAAAAUAUGAAUUGGUUUGCAACAGUACUUAAACUAGUGAUUUGCUUAUUAUACUAACGGAUCUUACCGAGCCUUCUGUUGAGUUUUGUGUGGAUGAAGUGAUCAAAGAUCAAGGAGAUCUCGAUAUGAGGAGAAGGAGGAGAGGCAAGAGCUCAAGCUUGGGGAUGCCCAAGGCACCCCAAGUAAAUAUCCAAGGAGACUCAAGCGUCUAAGAUUGGGAAUGCCCCGGAAGGCAUCCCAUCUUUCUUCAACAAGUAUCAUUAUGUUUUCGUCUUUGUUUCGUUCAUGUGAUAUGUGCAAAUCUUGGAGCGUCUUUUGUGUUUACUUUUCAUUUUUUUAUUUUAUGCACCAUGCCGGUAUGAGAUAGCCCAUGGUCGAUUUAUAGAAUGCUCAUUGCACUUCACUUAUAUCUUUUGAGUAGGGCUUUAUAGAAUGCUUCAUGUGCUUCAGUUAUAUCAUUUGAAGUUUGGAUUGCCUGUUUCUCUUCACAUAGAAAACCGUUAUUUGUAGAAUGCUCUUUUGAUUCACUUAUACUUACUAGAGCAUGAUCUUUUGUAGAAAGAAUUAAACUCUCAUUCUCCACUUAUAUCUAUUUAGAGAGUCAACAGGAAUUGGUCAUUUGCAUGGUUAGUCAUAAAUCCUACAUAAAACCCGUGGAUCACUGAAUAUGAUAUGUUUGACUCCUUGCAAUAGUUUUGCGAUAUAGAGAUGGAAUAUGUGGGAGGUACUAGUAAACGGUUGCGGUUAGUAAGAAUAUUGGUGUUAAGGUUUGUGAUUCCCGAAGCAUGCAUGUAUAGUCUCUCGUUAUGCUAUGAAGUUGGAGCAUGAUUUAUUAUUGACUGUCUUCCUUAUGAGUGGCGGUCGGGGACGAGCAAUGGUCUUUUCCUACCAAUCAAUCCCCCUAGGGGCAUGUGUAGUAGUACUUCGCUUCGAGGGCUAAUAAACUUUUGCAAUAAGUAUACGAGUUCUUUAUGACUAAUGUGAGUCCAUGGAUUGUACGCACUCUUACCUAUCCGCAAUUUGCUAGCCUCUAUGGUACCGUCCAUUGCCCUUUCUCACCUCGAGAGUCGGUGCAAACUUCGCCGGUGCAUCCAAACCCCGUGAUAUGAAACACUCUAUCACACAUAAGCCUUAUUAUAUCUUCCUUAAAACAGCCACUAUACCUACCUAUUAUGGCCCCUUUCCAUAGCCAUUCCGAGAUAUAUUGCCAUGCAACUUCCACCGCUUCCGUUUUGAUGACUUGAGCAUUCAUUGUCAUAUUGCUUUGCAUGAUCGUAAGAUCGCUAGCAUGAUAUUUCCAUGGCUUGUCCGUUUUUUUAUAUCGUUGUUAUGCUAGAUCAUUGCACAUCCUGGUACACUGCCAGAGGCAUUCAUAUAGAGUCAUACUUUGUUAUAGGUAUCGAGUUUUAAUUUUCAUUUCUUUGAGUUAUAAUUAAAUAGAAGUGUGAUGAUCAUCAUUAUUCAUUUUUAGAGCAUUGCCCCAGUGAGGAAAGGAUGAUGGAGAAUAUGAUUCCCCCACAAGUCGGGAUGAGACUCCGGACAAUGAGAGAGAAAAUAUAAAAAAAUAAAUAAAAAAAAAGAAACAAAGAGAGAAGGGGCAUGCUACUUCCACACUUGUGCUUCAAAGUAGCACCAUGUUUUUCAUAUGGAGAGUUUCCUAUGUUGUCACUUUCAUAUACUAGUGGGAAUUUUUCAUUACAGAGUUAGAUGCACACCCACUUUGUUUUCAUUCCGAGCUUUCAUACACUUAUAGCUCUUAGUGCGUUCGUUGCAUGGCAAUCCCUACUCCUCGCAUUUAUAUCAAUUGAUGGGCAUCUCCGUGGCCCAUUGGUUAGCCGUGUCGAUGUGAGACUUUCUUAAUUUUUGUCUUCUCUAUAUUUACCCCUAUCAUCAUACUCUAUUCCACCCGUAGUGCUAUAUCCAUGGCUUGCGCUCAUGUAUUGCGUGAGGGUUGAAAAAGCUGAAGCGCGUUAAAAAGUAUGAACCAAUUGCUCGGCUGGUCAUCGGGGUUGUGCAUGAUAAAUACUUUGUGUUAAGAAGACAGAGCAUGACAAGACUAUAUGAUUUUGUAGGGAUAGCUUUCUUUAGCGUUGAUAUUUUGAAAUACAUGAUUGUUUGUUGGGAUGCCUGAGUAUUGAUGUCUUUAUGUCAAACUAUAGACUACUGCUUUGAAUCACUUAUGUCUUAAUAUUCAUUCCAUGACUAGACAUAUGAUCAAGUUUAUGCUAGGUAGCAUUCCACAUCAAAAAUUACCUUUUUAUCAUUUACCUACUCGAGAACGAGUAGGAAUUAAGCUUGGGAAUGCUGAUACUGAAGGAAAUAUGCCCUAGAGGCAAUAAUAAUGUUGUUAUUUAUUUUUCCUUAUAUCAUGAUAAAUGUUUAUUAUUCAUGCUAGAAUUGUAUUAACCAAAAACUUGUACAUGUGUGAAUACACAGACAAAACAAAGUGUCCCUAGUAUGCCUCUACUAGACUAGCUCGUUGAUCAAAGAUGGUUAAGUUUCCUGACCAUAGACAUGUGUUGUCAUUUGAUGAACGGGAUCACAUCAUUAGAGAAUAAUGUGAUGGACAAGACCCAUCUGUUAGCUUAGCAUAAUGAUCGUUUAGUUUUAUUGCUAUUGCUUUCUUCAUGACUUAUACAUGUUCCUCCGACUAUGAGAUUAUGCAACUCCCGAAUACCGGAGGAACACCUUGUGUGUUAUCAAACGUCACAACGUAACUGGGUGAUUAUAAAGAUGCUCUACAGGUGUCUCCAAAGGUGUUUGUUGAGUUGGCAUAGAUCGAGAUUAGGAUUUGUCACUCCGUGUAUCGGAGAGGUAUCUCUGGGCCCUCUCGGUAAUGCACAUCACUAUAAGCCUUGCAAGCAUUGUGACUAAUGAGUUAGUUGCAGGAUGAUUCAUUACGGAACGAGUAAAGAGACUUGCCGGUAACGAGAUUGAACUAGGUAUGAGAAUACCGACGAUCGAAUCUCGAGCAAGUAACAUACCGAUGACAAAGGGAACAACAUAUGUUGUUAUGCGGUUUGACCGAUAAAGAUCUUCGUAGAAUAUGUAGGAGCCAAUAUGAGCAUCCAGGUUCCGCUAUUGGUUAUUGACCGGAGAUGUGUCUCGGUCAUGUCUACAUAGUUCUCGAACCCGUAGGGUCCGCACGCUUAACGUUCGAUGACGAUUUGUAUUAUGAGUUAUGUGAUCUGAUGUACCGAAGGUUGUUCGGAGUCCCGGAUGAGAUCACGGACAUGACGAGGAGUCUCAAAAUGGUUGAGACGUAAAGAUCGAUAUAUUGGAAGGCUAUAUUCAGACAUCGGAAAGGUUUCGAGUGAUUCGGGUAUUUUUCGGAGUACCGGAGAGUUACGGGAAUUCGCAGGGAGAAGUAAUGGGCCUUAUUGGGCUUUAGUGGAGAGAGGGGAGAAGGGCCAAGAGGUGGCGCGCGCCUCCCUUCUGCCCAAACCGAAUUGGACAAGGGGUGGGGGUGCGGCCCCCUUUCCUUCUCCCUCUCCCUCACUUUCCUUCUCUCUUACUCCGAAUAGGAAAGAGGAGGGGAAUCCUACUUGGACUGGGGAGUCCUGGUAGGAUUCCCCACACCUGGCGCGCCCCCCUUGGGCUGGCCACCUCUUCCCUCCCCUCCUUUAUAUACGUGGCCACGGGGCACCCCAAAGGCACUACAAAAUUUGUCUUAGCCAUGUGCGGUGCCCCCCUCCGCAGUUACACACCUCGGUCAUAUCGUCGAAGUGCUUAGGCGAAGCCCUGCGUCGGUUACUUCAUCAUCACCGUCGCCACGCCAUCGUGCUGACGGAACUCUCCCUCGGCCUCAACUAGAUCAAGAGUAUGAGGGACGUCAUCGAGUUGAACGUGUGCUGAACACGGAGGUGCCGUACGUUCGGUGCUAGGAUCGGUUGGAUCGUGAAGACGUACGACUACAUCAACCGCGUUGAUAAAACGCUUCCGCUUUCGGUCUAUGAGGGUACGUGGAGACAAUCUCCCCGCUCGUUGCUAUGCUUCUUCUAGAUAGAUCUUGCGUGAUCGUAGGAAAUUUUUGAAAUUACUGCGUUCCCCUUCAGUGGCAUCCGAGCCAGGUUUAUGCGUAGAUGUUAUAUGCAUGAGUAGAACACAAAGGGUUGUGGGCGAUAAUAGUCAUACUGCUUACCAGCAUGUCAUACUUUGAUUCGGCGGUAUUGUUGGAUGAAGCGGCCCAGCUGACAUUACAUGACCGCGUUCAUGAGACUGGUUCUACCGCCGUGCUUCGCACACAGGUGGCUAGUGGGUGUCUGUUUCUCCAACUUUAGUUGAAUCGAGUGUGACUACACCCGGUCCUUGUUGAAGGUUAAAACAGCACACUUGACAAAAAAUCGUUGUGGUUUUGAUGCGUAGGUAAGAACGGUUCUUGCUAAGCCCGUAGCAGCCAUGUAAAACUUGCAACAACAAAUUAGAGGACAUCUGACUUGUUUUUGCAGGGCUUGCUGUGAUGUGAUAUGGUCAAGACGUGAUGAUAUAUAAAUUGUUGUAUGAGAUGAUCAUGUUUUGUAAAAGUUAUCAGCAAUUGGCAGGAGCCUUAUGGUUGUCACUUUAUUGUAUGAAAUGCAAUCGCCAUGUAAUUGCUUUACUUUAUCACUAAGCGGUAGCGAUAGUCGUGAUAGCAAUAGUUGGCAAGACGACAACGAUGCUUCGAUGGAGAUCAAGGUGUCAAGCCAGUGACGAUGGUGAUCAUGACGGUGCUUUGGAGAUGGAGAUCAAAGGCACAAGAUGAUGAUGGCCAUAUCAUAUCACUUAUAUUGAUUGCAUGUGAUGUUUAUCUUUAUGCAUCUUAUUUUGCUUAGUUCGGCGGUAGCAUUAUAAGAUGAUCUCUCACUAAAUUUCAAGGUAUAAGUGUUCUCCUUGAGUAUGCACCGUUGCGACAGUUCUUCGUGCUGAAACACCAUGUGAUGAUCGGGUGUGAUAAGCUCUACGUUCACAUACAACGGGUGCAAGCCAGUUUUGCACACGCGGAAUACUCGGGUUAAACUUGACGAGCCUAGCAUAUGCAGAUAUGGCCUCAGAACACUGGAGACCGAAAGGUCGAGCGUGAAUCAUAGUAGAUAUGAUCAACAUAGUGAUGUUCACCAUUGAAAACUACUCCAUCUCACAUGAUGAUCGGACAUGGUUUAGUUGAUUUGGAUCACAUGAUCAUUUAGAUGACUAGAGGGAUGUCUAUCUAAGUGGGAGUUCUUAAAUAAUAUGAUUAAAUUGAACUUUAAUUUAUCAUGAACUUAGUCCUAAUAGUAUUUGCAUAACUAUGUUGUAGAUCAAUAGCUCGCGAUGUAGCUCCCCAUUUAUUUUUGAUAUGUUCCUAGGGAAAAACUAUGUUGAAAGAUGAUAGUAGCAAUGAUGCGGACUAGGUUCGUGAUCUUAGGAUUAUCCUCAUUGCUGCACAGAAGAAUUAUGUCCUUUAUGCACUACUAGGUGACGGACCUAUUGCAGGAGCACAUUCAGAUGUUAUGAACGUUUGGCAAGCUCGGUAUGAUAACUACUUGAUAGUUUAGUGCGCCAUGCUUUACGGCUUAGAACCAGGACUUCAAAAAUGGUUUGAAUGCCACGGAACAUAUAAGAUGUUCCAAGAGCUGAAAUUGGUAUUUCAGACUCAUGCCCGAGUCAAGAGGUACGAGACCUCUGAUUGCCUACAAGAUGGAGGAGAAUAGCUCAACCAGUGAGCAUGUGCUCAGAUUGUCUGAGUACUACAAUCGCUUGAAUCAAGUGGGAGUUAAUCUUCCAGAUAAAAUAGUGAUUGACAGAGUUCUCUAGUCACUGUCACCAAGUUUCUGGAACUUCGUGAUGAACUAUAAUAUGCAAGGGAUGACGAAAACAAUUCCUGAGCUCUUCGUGAUGCUGAAAUCGACGAAGGUAGAAAUCAAGAAAAGCAUCAAAUGUUGAUGGUUGACAAGACCACUAGUUUCAAGUAAAAGGGCAAGGGAAAGAAAGGGAACUUCAAGAAGAAAGGCAAGCAAGUUGCCACUCCCAUGAAGAAGCCCAAAGCUAGACCCAAGCCUGAAACUGAGUGCUUCUACUGCGAAGGAAAUGGUCACUGGAAGCAGAACUACCCCAGAUACUUGGCGGAUAAGAAGGAUGGCAAAGUGAACAAAGGUAUAUUUGAUAUACAUGUUAUUGAUGUGUACUUUACUAGUGUUUAUAGCAACCCCUCGGUAUUUUAUAUUGGUUCAGUUGCUAAGAGUAGUAACUCGAAACGGGAGUUCCAAAAUAAACAGAGACUAGUUAAGGGUAAGGUGAUGAUGUGUGUUGGAAGUGAUUCCAAGGAUAAGAUCACCAUCAGACACUCCCUUUGCAUUCGGGAUUAGUGUUGAACCUAAAAUAAAUGUUAUUUGGUGUUUGCGUUGAGCAUGAAUAUGAUUGGAUCAUGUUUAUUGCAAUACAGUUAUUCAUUGAAGUCAAAGAAUAAUUGUUGUUCUAUUUACAUGAAUAAAACCUUCUAUGGUCAUACACUCAAUAUAAUUGAUUUAUUGAAUCUCGAUCGUAGUGAUACACAUAUUCAUAAUAUUGAAGCCAAAAGAUGCAAAGUUAAUAAUGAUAGUGCAACUUAUUUGUGGCACUGGCGUUUAGGUCAUAUUGGUGUAAAGCGCAUGAAGGAACUCCAUGCUGAUGGGCUUUUGGAAUCAGUUGAUGCUUGUGAACCAUGCCUCAUGGGCAAGAUGACUAAGACUCCGUUCUCCGGAACAAUGGAGCGAGCAACAGACUUAUUGGAAAUAAUACAUAUUGAUGCAUGCGGUCCGAUGAGUGUUGAGGCUCGCGACAGGUAUCGUUAUUUUUUGACCUUCACAGAUGAUUUGAGCAGAUAUGGGUAUAUCUACUUGAUGAAACAUAGGUCUGAAACAUUUGAAAAGUUCAAAGAAUUUCAGAGUGAAGUGGAAAAUCAUCAUAACAAGAAAAUAAAGUUUCUACGAUCUGAUCGUGGAAGUGAAUAUUUGAGUUAUGAGUUUGGUCUUCAUUUGAAACAAUGUGGAAUAGUUUAGCAACUCACGCCACCUAUAACACCACAGUGUAAUGGUGUGCCCGAACAUCGUAACCGUACUUUAUUAGAUAUUGUGCGAUCUAUGAUGUCUCUUACCGAUUUUCAGCUAUCGUUUUGGGGUUAUGCAUUAGAGACAACUACAUUCACGUUAAAUAGGGCACCAUCUAAAUCCGUUGAGAUGACACUGUAUGAACUGUGGUUUGGCAAGAAACUUAAGCUAUUGUUUCUUAAAGUUCGGGGUUGUGAUGUUUAUGUGAAAAAGUUUCAGCCUGAUAAGCUCAAACCCAAAUCGGAGAAGUGCGUCUUCAUAGGAUACCCAAAGGAGACUGUUGGGUACACCUUCUAUCACAGAUCUGAAGGCAAGAUAUUCGUUGCUAAGAGUGGAUCCUUUCUAGAGAAGGAGUUUCUCUCGAAAGAAGUGAGUGGGAGGAAAGUAGAACUUGAUGAGGUAAUUGUACCUGCUCCCGAAUUGGAAAGUAGUUCAUCACAAAAAUCAGUUCCGGUGAUUCCUACACCAAUUAGUGAGGAAGCUAAUGAUGAUGAUCAUGAAACUUUAGAUCAAGUUACUACCGAACCUCGUAGGUUAACCAGAGUAAGAUCUGCACCAGAGUGGUACAAUAAUCCUGCUCCGGAGGUCAUGUUACUUGACCAUGACGAACCUAUGAACUAUGAGGAAGCGAUGAUGAGCCCAGAUUCCAUGGCUUGAGGCCAUGAAAUCUGAUAUGGGAUCCAUGUAUGAGAACAAAGUACGGACUUUGAUUGACUUGCCCGAUGAUCGGUGAGCCAUUGAGAAUAAAUGGAUCUUCAAGAGGAAGACGAACACCGAUGGUAGUGUUACUAUCUACAAAGCUUGACUUGUCGUGAAAGGUUUUCGACAAGUUCAAGGUGUUGACUACGAUGAGAUUUUCUCACUCGUAGCGAUGCUUAAGUCUGUCUGGAUCAUGUUAGCAAUUGUUGCAUUUUAUGAAAUCUGGCAAAUGGAUAACAAAACUGCACUCCUUAAUGGUUUUAUUAAAGAAGAGUUGUAUAUGAUGCAACCAGAAGGUUUUGUCAAUCCUAAAGGUGCUAACAAAAUGUGCAAGCUCCAGCGAUCCAUUUAUAGACUGGUGCAAGCAUCUCGGAGUUGGAAUAUACGCUUUGAUAGUGUGAUCAAAGCAUAUCGUUUUAUACACACUUUUGGAGAAGCCUAUAUUUACAAGAAAGUGAGUGGGAGCACUACAGCCUUUCUUAUAAGUAUAUGUGAAUGACAUAUUGUUGAUCGGAAAUGAUGUAGAAUUUUUCUGGAAAGCAUAAAGGAGUGUUUGAAAGGGUUUUUCAAAGAAAGACCUCAGUGAAGCUGCUUACAUAUUGAGCAUCAAGGUCUAUAGAGAUAGAUCAAGACGCUUGAUAAGUUUUUUCAAUGAGUACAUACCUUGACAAGAUUUUGAAGUAGUUCAAAAUGGAACAGUCAAAGAAGGAGUUCUUGCCUGUGUUGCAAGGUGCGAAGUUGAGUAAAGACUCAAAACCCGACCACAGCAGAAAAUAGAAAGAGAAUGAAAAGUCAUUCCCUAUGCCUCAGUCAUAGGUUCUAUAAAGUAUGCCAUGCUAUGUACCAGACCUAUUGUAUACCAUGCCCUGAGUUUGGCAAGGGAGUACAAUAGUGAUCUAGGAUUAGAUCACUGGACAGCGGUCAAAAUUAUCCUUGGUGGAAUAAGGAUAUGUUUCUUGGUUAUGGAGGUGACAAAAAGUUCGUCGUAAAAGGGUUACAUCGAUGCAAGCUUUGACACUGAUCCGGAUGACUCUGAGUCUCAAUCUGGAUACAUAUUGAAAGUGGGAGCAAUUAGCUAGAGUAGCUCCAUGCAGAGCAUUGUAGACAUAGAAUAUUCGCAAAAUACAUACGGAUCUGAAUGUGGCAGACCCGUUGACUAAACUUCUCUCACAAGCAAAACAUGAUCACACCUUAGUACUCUUUGGGUGUUAAUCACAUAGUGAUGUGAACUAGAUUAUUGACUCUAGUAAACCCUUUGAGUGUUGGUCACAUGGCGAUGUGAACUAUGGGUGUUAAUCACAUGGUGAUGUGAACUAUUGGUGUUAAAUCACAUGAUGAUGUGAACUAGAUUAUUGACUCUAGUGCAAGUGGGAGACUGAAGGAAAUAUGCCCUAGAGGCAAUAAUAAAAUUGUUAUUUAUAUUUCCUUAUAUCAUGAUAAAUGUUUAUUAUUGAUGCUAGAAUUGUAUUAACCGGAAACUUAGUACAUGUGUGAAUACAUACACAAAACAAAGUGUCCCUAGUUAUGCCUGUACUAGACUAGCUCGAGAUGGUUAAGUUUUCUGACCAUAGACAUGUGGUGUCAUUUGAUGAACGGGGUUGAUACGUCUCCAACGUAUCUAUAAUUUUUGAUUGCUCCAUGCUAUAUUAUAUUCUGUUUUGGACAUUAUUGGGCUUUAUUAUUCACUUUUAUAUUAUUUUUGGGACUAACCUAUUAACCGGAGGCCCAGCCCAGAAUUGCUGUUUUUUGGCCUAUUUUAGAGUUUCGCAGAAAAAGAAUAUCAAACGGAGUCCAAACGGAAUGAAAUCUUCGGGAACGUGAUUUUCGGAACGAACAUGAUCCAGGAGACUUGGACCCUACGUCAAGAAACAAAGCAGGAAGCCACGAGGUAGGGGGCGCGCCCUCCACCCUCGUGGGCCCCACGUUGCUCCACCGACGUACUCCUUCCUCCUAUAUAUACCUACGUACCCCCAAACGAUCAGAUACGGAGCCAAAAACCUAAUUCCACCGCCGCAACCUUCUGUACCCACGAGAUCCCAUCUUGGGGCCUAUUCCGGAGCUCCGCCGGAAGGGCAUCGAUCACGGAGGGCUUCUACAUCAACACCAUAGCCUCUCCGAUGAAGUGUGAGUAGUUUACCUCAGACCUUCGGGUCCAUAGUUAUUAGCUAGAUGGCUUCUUCUCUCUUUUUGGAUCUCAAUACAAUGUUCCCCCCCUCUCUUGUGGAGAUCUAUUCGAUGUAAUCUUCUUUUGCGGUGUGUUUGUUGAGACCGAUGAAUUGUGGGUUUAUGAUCAAGUUUAUCUAGAACAAUAUUUGAAUCUUCUCUGAAUUCUUUUAUGUAUGAUUGGUUAUCUUUGCAAGUCUCUUCGAAUUAUCAGUUUGGUUUGGCCUACUAGAUUGAUCUUUCUUGCAAUGGGAGAAGUGCUUAGCUUUGGGUUCAAUCUUGCGGUGUCCUUUCCCAGUGACAGUAGGGGCAGCAAGGCACAUAUUGUAUUGUUGCCAUCGAGGAUAACAAGAUGGGGUUUUUAUCAUAUUGCAUGAAUUUAUCCCUCUACAUCAUGUCAUCUUGCUUAAGGCGUUACUCUGUUCUUAUGAACUUAAUACUCUAGAUGCAUGCUGGAUAGCGGUCGAUGUGUGGAGUCAUAGUAGUAGAUGCAGGCAGGAGUCGGUCUACUUGUCUCGGACGUGAUGCCUAUAUACAUGAUCAUACCUAGAUAUUCUCAUAACUAUGCUCAAUUCUGUCAAUUGCUCAACAGUAAUUUGUUCACCCACCGUAAAAUACUUAUGUUCUUGAGAGAAGCCACUAGUGAAACCUAUGGCCCCCGGGUCUAUUCUCCAUCAUAUUAAUCUUCCAACACUUAGUUAUUUCCGUUGCUUUUAUUUUACUUUGCAUCUUUAUCAUAAAAAUACCAAAAAUAUUAUCUUAUCAUAUCUAUCAGAUCUCACUCUCGUAAGUGACCGUGUAGGGAUUGACAACCCCUUAUCGCGUUGGUUGCGAGGAUUUAUUUUUUUUGUGUAGGUGCGAGGGACUCGCGCGUAGCCUCCUACUGGAUUGAUACCUUGGUUCUCAAAAACUGAGGGAAAUACUUACGCUACUUUGCUGCAUCACCCUUUCCUCUUCAAGGGAAAACCAACGCAGUGCUCAAGAGGUAGCAAGAAGGAUUUCUGGCGCCGUUGCCGGGGAGGCUUACGCGAAGUCAAGACAAGAUUUGAUUCCCGACAAUGAGCCAUUUCUGGCGCCGUUGCUGGGGAGGUCUACGCAAAAGUCAACAUACCAAGUACCCAUCACAAACCCUUAUCUCCCGCAUUACAUUAUUUGCCAUUUGCCUCUCGUUUUCCUCUCCCCCACUUCACCCUUGCCAUUUUAUUCGCCCUCUCUUUUCCGCUCGCCUCUUUUUUUUCAUUUGCUUGCCUUUCCGUCAUGGCUAGUCCUUUAUCUUCUCCGUUGUCUCCCGAAAAUGAAGUUCUCAAUUUUAAACAAAGGGAGGGAGAAAAUCUAAAAGAUGCUUGGUAUAGAAUUUGCAAUGCUCAAAAUAGAUCUACCAGGAAGCAAUCUACUUCCGUUCUUCUCCGCAAUUUUUAUGUGGGUGCUAAUCCUUGGUAUAGAUAUAUUCUUGACACCAUUACCGGAGGGAAUUUCUUGGGUAGCCAAACUUUUGACUCUUAUAAUGUUGGGAAUCGUAGCAUAAUUUUAAAAUUUUCCUACGCUCACCAAGAUGCAUCUAUGGAGUGUACUAGCAACGAGGGGAAGGUAGUGCAUCUACAUACCCUUGUAGAUCGCGAGCGGAAGCGUUCCAAUGAACGUGGAUGACGGAGUCGUACUCGCCGUGAUCCAAAUCACCGAUGACCGAGUGCCGAACGGACGGCACCUCCGCGUUCAACACACGUACGGUGCAGCGACGUCUCCUCCUUCUUGAUCCAGCAAGGGGGAAGGAGAGGUUGAUGGAGAUCCAACAGCACGACGGCGUGGUGGUGGAUGUAGCGGGUCUCCGGCAGGGCUUCGCCGAGCUUCUGCGAGAGAGAGAGAGGUGUUGCAGGGGAGGAGGGAGGCGCCCAAGGCUGUGGUUUGCUGCCCUCCCUCCCCCCCACUAUUUAUAGGACCCCUGGGGGGGCGCCAGCCCUUGGGAGAUCAGAUCUCCAAGGGGGGCGGCGGCCAAGUGGGGGGAAGGGGGUGCCUUGCCCCCCAAGGCAAGGGGAAAAGCUCCCCCCUAGGGUUCCCAACCCUAGGCGCAUGGGGGGAGGCCCAAGGGGGGCGCCCCAGCCCACUAAGGGCUGGUUCCCUUCCACUUUCAGCCCACGGGGCCCUCCGGGACAGGUGGCCCCACCCGGUGGACCCCCGGGACCCUUCCGGUGGUCCCAGUACAAUACCGGUAACCCCCGAAACUUUCCCGAUGGCCGAAACUUGACUUCCUAUAUAUAAUUCUUCACCUCCGGACCAUUUCGGAACCUCUCGUGACGUCCGGGAUCUCAUCCGGGACUCCGAACAACUUUCGGGUUUCCGCAUACAUAUAUCUCUACAACCCUAGCGUCACCGGACCUUAAGUGUGUAGACCCUACGGGUUCGGGAGACAUGCAGACAUGACCGAGACGCCUCUCCGGUCAAUAACCAACAGCGGGAUCUGGAUACCCAUGUUGGCUCCCACAUGCUCCACGAUGAUCUCAUCGGAUGAACCACGGUGUCGAGGAUUCAAUCAAUCCGUAUGCAAUUCCCUUUGUCAAUCGGUAUGUUACUUGCCCGAGAUUCGAUCGUUGGUAUCCCAAUACCUUGUUCAAUCUCAUUACCGGCAAGUCUCUUUACUCGUACCGCAAUGCAUGAUCCCGUGACUAACGCCUUAGUCACAUUGAGCUCAUUAUGAUGAUGCAUUACCGAGUGGGCCCAGAGAUACCUCUCCGUCACACGGAGUGACAAAUCCCAGUCUCGAUCCGUGCCAACCCAACAGACACUUUUGGAGAUACCCGUAGUGCACCUUUAUAGUCACCCAGUUACGUUGUGACGGUUGGCACACCCAAAGCACUCCUACAGUAUCCGGGAGUUGCACGAUCUCAUGGUCUAAGGAAAAGAUACUUGACAUUGGAAAAGCUCUAGCAAACGAAACUACACGAUCUUUUAUGCUAUGCUUAGGAUUGGGUCUUGUCCAUCACAUCAUUCUCCUAAUGAUGUGAUCCCGUUAUCAAUGACAUCCAAUGUCCAUAGUCAGGAAACCAUGACUAUCUGUUGAUCAACGAGCUAGUCAACUAGAGGCUUACUAGGGACAGGUUGUGGUCUAUGUAUUCACACAUGUAUUACGAUUUCCGGACAAUACAAUUAUAGCAUGAAUAAUAGACAAUUACCAUGAACAAAGAAAUAUAAUAAUAACCAUUUAUCAUUGCCUCUAGGGCAUAUUUCCAACAUAUAAUGCUAUGAUAGAUUUAUUUGGCUCACCACCUCUCUUGGUUAAUGGAACUAUUUUAACUUUAGAGCAUGUAAUGCAAAGACUUGAAAUUAUUGAAAAUAAAGUUGCUACCGUAGAGCUAAUUGAAAAUUUGGAUAAAAAGAUCCACAACCAAAUUACCCAAUACGGAUCUAAAGUAGGAGUCACUUUGAAAAAUAUUAAGGAGAAAGAACCCAUAGUUAAUGAAAGAAUAAAUCAGGAUUCUACUAGAAUCAAUAAACUUAGGGUAUCAUUACCAACUUGGGAACCGCUUUUUCUUCCGUAAAGAAUAGUCCUAGUCCUCCAACAAAAAUUGCCAAGCUUAUGUAUGUUCCUAAAAAUAAGGGUGAAUCCUCUAGUAAAGAAACUGCGGAUCUUAAAUCUAUAAGUAUUCAUCCCAAUCUUUUUGCUAUCAUUAAGGAACCAUUUGCUACAAAUGAAUUUUUCGAUCUUGUUCCUAAAAGUUUGAUAAUUAAUAGAAAGAAAGAACCUCUAAAGGAUGAUAGAUGUCUUAUUGAAGAAUUGCCUACCAAAGAUGGCAAUACCUAGAUCUAUCCUUGCUUUUAUGCCUAGCUAGGGGCGUUAAACGAUAGCGCUUGUUGGGAGGCAACCCAAUUUUAUUUUUAGUUUUUUUGCUUUUUGUUUCUGUUUAGGAAUAAAUAUUUGUUCUAGCCUCUGGUUAGAUGUGUUUUUAUGUUUAAUUAGUGUUUGUGCCAAGUUAAACCUAUAGGAUCUUCUUGGAUGAUAGUUAUUUGAUCUUGCAGAAAAUUCCAGAAACUUUCUGUUCACGAAAAUAACUGUUAAAAAUCACCAGAACGUGAUAAAAUAUUGAUUCCAAUUGCUGCUGGUGAAUAAACAAAUUUUCUAGGUCUUCCUAUUUUGGCUGAUUUUUUGGAGUUCCAGAAGUUUGCGUUAGUUACAGAUUACUACAGACUGUUCUGUUUUUGACAGAUUCUGUUUUUCGUGUGUUGUUUGCUUAUUUUGAUGAAUCUAUGGCUAGUAAAAUAGUUUAUAAACCAUAGAGAAGUUGGAAUAAAGUAGGUUUAACACCAAUGUAAAUAAAGAAUGAGUUCAUUACAGUACCUUGAAGUGGUCUUUUGUUUUCUUUCGCUAACGGAGCUCACGAGAUUUUCUACUAAGUUUUGUGUUGUGAAGUUUUCAAGUUUUGGGUGAAAGAUUUGAUGGAUUAUGGAACAAGGAGUGGCAAGAGCCUAAGAUUGGGGAUGCCCAUGGCACCCCCAAGAUAAUCUAAGGACACCAAAAAGCCAAAACUUGGGGAUUCCCCGGAAGGCAUCCCCUCUUUCGUUUACUUCCAUCGGUAACUUUACUUGGAGCUAUAUUUUUAUUCACCACAUGAUAUGUGUUUUGCUUGGAGCGUCUUGUAUGAUUUGAGUCUUUGCUUUUUAGUUUACCACAAUCAUCCUUGUUGUACACACCUUUUGAGAGAGACACACAUAAUUCGGAAAUUAUUAGAACACCCUAUGUGCUUCACUUAUAUCUUUUGAGUUAUAUAGUUUUGCUCUAGUACUUCACUUAUAUCUUUUAGAGCACGGUGGUGGAUUUGUUUUAUAGAAACUAUUGAUCUCUCAUGCUUCACUUAGAUUAUUUUGAGAGUCUUAAAUAGCAUGGUAAUUUGCUUAAAUAAUCCUAAUAUGCUAGGUAUUCAAGAAUAGUAAAAACUUUCUUAUGAGUGUGUUGAAUACUAAGAGAAGUUUGAUGCUUGAUGAUUGUUUUGAGAUGUGGAGGUAGUGAUAUUAAAGUUGUGCUAGUUGAGUAGUUGUGAAUUUGAGAAAUACUUGUGUUGAAGUUUGCAAGUCCCGUAGCAUGCACGUAUGGUAAACGUUAUGUAACAAAUUUGAAACAUGAGGUGUUCUUUGAUUGUCCUCCUUAUGAGUGGCGGUCAGGGACGAGCGAUGGUCUUUUCCUACCAAUCUAUCCCCUUAGGAGCAUGCGCGUAGUGCUUUGCUUUUGAUGACUUGUAGAUUUUUGCAAUAAGUAUGUGAGUUCUUUAUGACUAAUGUUGAGUCCAUGGAUUAUACGCACCCUCACCUUUCCAUCAUUGCUAGCCUCUUCGGUACCGUGCAUUGCCCUUUCUCACAUUGAGAGUUGGUGCAAACUUCGCCGGUGCAUCCAAACCCCGUGAUAUGAUACGCUCUUUCACACAUAAACCUCCUUAUAUCUUCCUCAAAACAGCCACCAUACCUACCUAUUAUGGCAUUUCCAUAGCCAUUCCGAGAUAUAUUGCCAUGCAACUUUCCACCGUUCCGUUUAUCAUGACACAUUCAUCAUUGUCAUAUUGCUUUGCAUGAUCAUGUAGUUGACAUAGUAUUUGUGGCAAAGCCACCAUUCAUAAUUCUUUCAUACAUGUCACUCUUGGUUCAUUGCAUAUCCCGGUACACCGCCGGAGGCAUUCAUAUGGAGUCAUACUUUGUUCUAGUAUCGAGUUGUAAUCAUUGAGUUGUAAAUAAAUAGAAGUGUGAUGAUCAUCAUUUUCUAGAGCAUUGUCCCAAGUGAGGAAUAAAAAAAAGAGAGAAAGGCCAUAAAAAAGAGAAGGCCCAAAAAAAUGAGAGAAAAAGAGAGAAGGGACAAUGUUACUAUCCUUUUACCACACUUGGGCUUCAAAGUAGCACCAUAAUCUUCAUGAUAGAGAGUCUCUUGUUUUGUCACUUUCAUAUACCAGUGGGAAUUUUUCAUUAUAGAACUUGGCUUGUAUAUUCCAACAAUGGGCCUCCUCAAGUGCCCUAGGUCUUCGUGAGCAAGCAAGUUGGAUGCACACCCACUUAGUUUCUUUUGUUGAGCUUUCAUAUAUUUAUAGCUCUAGUGCAUCCGUUGCAUGGCAAUCCCUACUCCUUGCAUUAACAUCAAUCGAUGGGCAUCUCCAUAGCUCAUUGAUUAGCCUCGUUGAUGUGAGACUUUCUCCUUUUUUGUCUUCUCCACAUAACCCCCAUCAUCAUAUUCUAUUCCACCCAUAGUGCUAUGUCCAUGGCUCACGCUCAUGUAUUGCGUGAAGGUUGAAAGAGUUUGAGAUUACUAAAGUAUGAAACAAUUGCUUGGCUUGUCAUCGGGGUUGUGCAUGAUGAGAGCAUUCUUGUGUGACGAAAAUGGAGCAUGACUAAACUAUAUGAUUUUGUAGGGAUGAACUUUCUUUGGCCAUGUUAUUUUGAGAGGACAUAAUUGCUUAGUUAGUAUGCUUGAAGUAUUAUUAUUUUUAUGUCAAUAUGAACUUUUAUGUUGAAUCUUUCGGAUCUAAAUAUUCAUACAACAAUUAAGAAGAAUUACAUUGAAAUAAUGCCAAGUAGCACUCCGCAUCAAAAAUUCUGUUUUUAUCAUUUACCUUCUCGAGGACGAGCAGGAAUUAAGCUUGGGGAUGCUUGAUACGUCUCCAACGUAUCUAUAAUUUUUGAUUGCUCCAUGCUAUAUUAUCUUCUGUUUUGGACAUUAUUGGGCUUUAUUAUUCACUUUUAUAUUAUUUUUGGGACUAACCUAUUAACCGGAGGCCCAGCCCAGAAUUGCUUUUUUUGUGCCUAUUUUAGAGUUUCGCAGAAAAAGAAUAUCAAACGAAGUCCAAAUGGAAUGAAACCUUCGGGAACGUGAUUUUCGGAACGAACAUGAUCCAGGAGACUUGGACCCUACGUCAAGAAACAAAGCAGGAAGCCACAAGGUAGGGGGGCGCGCCUACCCCUUGGGCGCGCCCUCCACCCUCGUGGGCCCCAUGUUGCUCCACCGACGUACUCCUUCCUCCUAUAUAUACCUACGUACCCCAAACGAUCAGAUACGGAGCCAAAAACCUAAUUCCACCGCCGCAACCUUCUGUACCCACGAGAUCCCAUCUUGGGGCCUGUUCCGGAGCUCCGCCAGAAGGGGCAUCGAUCACGGAGGGCUUCUACAUCAACAACAUAGCCUCUCCGAUGAAGUGUGAGUAGUUUACCUCAGACCUUCUGGUCCAUAGUUAUUAGCUAGAUGGCUUCUUCUCUCUUUUUGGAUCUCAAUACAAUGUUCUCCCCCUCUCUUGUGGAGAUCUAUUCGAUGUAAUCUUCUUUUGUGGUGUGUUUGUUGAGACCGAUGAAUUGUGGGUUUAUGAUCAAGUUUAUCUAUGAACAAUAUUUGAAUCUUCUCUGAAUUCUUUUAUGUAUGAUUGAUUAUCUUUGCAAGUCUCUUCGAAUUAUCAAUUUGGAUUGGCCUACUAGAUUGAUCUUUCUUGCAAUGGGAGAAGUGCUUAGCUUUGGGUUCAAUCUUGUGUUGUCCUUUCCCAGUGACAGUAGGGGCAGCAAGGCACGUAUUGUAUUGUUGCCAUCGAGGAUAACAAGAUGUUUUUUUAUCAUAUUGCAUGAAUUUAUCCCUCUACAUCAUGUCAUCUUGCUUAAGGCGUUACUCUGUUCUUAUGAACUUAAUACUCUAGAUGCAUACUGGAUAGCGGUCGAUGUGUGGAGUAAUAGUAGUAGAUGCAGGCAGGAGUCGGUCUAGUUGUCUCGGACGUGAUGCCUAUAUACAUGAUCAUACCUAGAUAUUCUCAUAACUAUGCUCAGUUCUGUCAAUUGCUCAACAAUAAUUUGUUCAUCCACCGUAAAAUACUUAUGCUCUUGAGAGAAGUCACUAGUGAAACCUAUGGCCCCCGGGUCUAUUCUCCAUCAUAUUAAUCUUCCAACACUCAGUUAUUUCCGUUGCUUUUAUUUUACUUUGCAUCUUUAUCAUAAAAAUACCAAAAAUAUUAUCUUAUCAUAUCUAUCAGAUCUCACUCUCGUAAGUGACCGUGUAGGGAUUGACAACCCCUUAUCGCGUUGGUUGCGAGGAUUUAUUUGUUUUGUCUAGGUGCGAGGGACUCGCGCGUAGCCUGCAACUGGAUUGAUACCUUGGUUCUCAAAAACUGAGGGAAAUACUUACGCUACUUUGCUGCAUCACCCUUUCCUCUUCAAGGGAAAACCAACGCAAUGCUCAAGAGGUAGCAGGAUCACAUCAUUAGAGAAUGAUGUGAUGGACAAGACCCAUCUGUUAGCUUAGCAUAAUGAUUGUUUAGUUUUAUUGCUAUUGCUUUCUUCAUGACUUAUACAUGUUCCUCUGACUAUGAGAUUAUGCAACUCCCGAAUACCAAAGGAACACCUUGUGUUCUAUCAAACGUCACAAAGUAACUGGGUGAUUAUAAAGAUGCUCUACAGGUGUCUCCGAAGAAGUUUGUUGAGUUGGCAUAGAUCGAUAUUAGGAUUUGUCACUCCGUGUAUCGGAGAUGUAUCUUUGGCCCCUCUCGGUAAUGCACAUCACUAUAAGCCUUGCAAGCAUUGUGACUAAUGAGUUAGUUGCGGGAGAUGCAUUACGGAACGAGUAAAGAGACUUGCUGGUAACGAGAUUGAACUAGGUAUGAGGAUACCGACGAUCGAAUCUCGGGCAAGUAACAUACCGAUGACAAAGGGAACAACGUAUGUUGUUAUGCGGUUUGACCGAUCAAGAUCUUCGUAGAAUAUGUAGGAGCCAAUAUGAGCAUCCAGGUUCCGCUAUUGGUUAUUGACCAGAGAUGUGUCUCGGUCAUGUCUACAUAGUUCUCGAACCCGUAGGGUUCGCACGCUUAACGUUUGAUGACGAUUUGUAUUAUGAGUUAGGUGAUUUGAUGUACUGAAGGUUGUUUGGAGUCCCGGAUGAGAUCACGGACAUGACGAGGAGUCUCGAAAUGGUCGAGAUGUAAAGAUCGAUAUAUUAGAAGGCUGUAUUCGGACAUUGGAAAGGUUCCGACUGAUUCGGGUAUUUUUCAGAGUACCGGAGAGUUACGGGAAUUCACCGGGAGAAGUAAUGGGCCUUAUUGGGAUUUAAUGGAGAGAGGGGAGAAGGGCCAAGAGGUGGCGCGCGCCUCCCCCCUUCGCAAACCGAAUUGGACAAGGGGUGGGGGCGCGGCCCCCCUUUGGACUGGGGAGUCCUAGUAGGAUUCCCCGCACCUGGCGCGCCCCCUUGGGCCGGCCACCUCUUCCCUCCCCUCGUUUAUAUACGUGGCCAUGGGUCACCCCAAAGGCACUCCAAGAUUUUUCUUAGCCGUGUGCGGUGCCCCCCUCCACAGUUACACACCUCGGUCAUAUCGUUGUAGUGCUUAGGCGAAGCCCUGCGCCGGUAACUUCAUCAUCACUGUCGCCACGCCAUCGUGCUGACGGAACUCUCCCUUGGCCUCAACUGGAUCAAGAGUACGAGGGACCUCAUCGAGCUGAACGUGUGUUGAACACGGAGGUGCCAUACAUUCGGUGCUAGGAUCGGUCGGAUCGUGAAGACGUACGACUACAUCAACCGCGUUGAUAAAACGCUUCCGCGUUCGGUCUACAAGGGUACGUGGACACACUCUCCCCGCUCGUUGCUAUGCUUCUUCUAGAUAGAUCUUGCGUGAUCGUAGGAAAUUUUUGAAAUUACUGCGAUCCCCUAUAGAUACGUCUCCGUCUUAUCUAUAUUUUUUGAUUGUUUCAUGCCAAUAUUAUACAACUUUCACAUACUUUUGGCAACAUUUUAUAUGAUUUUUUUGGACUAACCUAUUGAUCCAGUGCCCAGUGCCAGUUCCUAUUUGUUGCAUGUUUUCUAUUUCGUAGAAAAUCCAUAUCAAUCAAAGUCCAAAAGCGAUAAAAAUUUACGGAGAAUUAUUUUGGAAUAUAUGUGAUUUUUGGGACUUGGAAUCAACGCAAACGGAGGCCCACAAUGACCACAAUCCACCAGGGUGUGCCGGGCACCCCCUGGCGUUCCCAGGUGUCUCAUGCCCUCCUCGAAGGUUGGUUGGGGCCCUUCUAGCGCAAGAAAGAUAAUUUAUGGAAACAAUUGUGUAAAAGUUUCAGCGCAAUCGGAGUUAUGGAUCUCCGGGAAUUUAAGAAACCGUGAAGGGCUAGAUCUGGGGAGCGCGAAACAGAAGAGAACAAAGAGGAAGAUCCAAUCUCGGAGGGGCUCCCGCCCCUCCGCCGCCAUGGAGGCCAUGGACCAGAGGGGAAACUCUCCUCCCAUCUAGGUGGGAGGUCAAGGAAGAAGAAGAAGGAGGGGGCUCUCUUCUCCUCUCUCCCGGUGGCGCCGGAGUGCCGCCGAGGCAAGGGUCGUGACGACGAUCUACAUCAAAAAUCUUGCUACCGUCAACACCAACUUUCUCCCCCUUUAUGCAGCGGUGUAACACCUCUCUUCCCCGCUGUAAUCUCUACUUAAACAUGGUGCUCAACUCCAUAUAUUAUUUCCCAAUGAUCCAUGGUUAUCCUAUGAUGUUUGAAUAGAUCCGUUUUGUCAUGUGGGUUAAUCGUGAUCUUGGUUGGUAUGAUUGUAUAUUUUAUUUAUUGUGCUGUCCUACGGUACCCUCCAUCUCGCGCAAACAUGAGGCCCCCCCGCUAUAGGGUGUUGCAAUACGUUCAUGAUUCGCUUAUGGUGGGUUGCGAGAGUGAUAGAAGCUUAAACCCGAGUAAGUGGGUUGUUGCGUAUGGGAUAAAGAGGACUUGAUACUUAAUGUUAUGGUUGGGUUUCACGACCCUAAUGAUCUUUAGUAGUUGCGGAUGCUUGCUAGAGUUCCAAUCAUAAGUGCAUAUGAUCCAAGUAGAGAAAGUAUGUUAGCUCAUGCCUCUCCCUCAUAUAAAAUUACAAGAAUGAUUACCCGUACUUGUUAUCGAUUACCUAGGGACAAAUGACUUUCUUGUUGACAAAAGCUAUCCACUUUUAUUACCUUGCAAUUAAUUCAUAGUUUUAUUCUUGCAAAGUACUCGUAGUUUUAUUCUUGCAAAAUAGUUUCAUACUUGUUUUAGGUAAAGUAAACGUCAAGUGUGCGUAGAGUUGUAUCGGUGGUCGAUAGAACUUGAGGGAAUAUUUGUUCUACCUUUAGCUCCUCGUUGGGUUCGACACUCUUAUUUAUUGAAGAAGGCUACAAACUAUUCCCUACACUUGUGGGUUAUCACAUACCCCCAAAUACUACCCAUAUAUUCAUCAAAAUAAGCAAACAACACAUAGAAAACAAAUUCUGUCAAAAACAGAACAGUCUGCAGUAAUCUGGAAAUUUCAUAUACUUGUGUAACUCCAAAAAUUCUGAAAAAUUAGGACAAUUUAGGAAAUUUGUAUAUCAAUAUUGUGUAAAAAUUUCAUAUCAAAAUCAAGUUCAUGUGAUUUUCUAAAUUUCUAGCAAUGAGCACAAAAGUUUAUGUUUAUCAGCAAGAUCAAAUCAACUAUCACCAUAGACCAUCCCAAAGGUCUUACUUGGCUCAAACACUAAUUAAAACACCAAAACACAAUUACUACAAAGGUAAUAAUGUGUAUAUAUUAAAAAAUAGAACAAAAAAUAAAAAUUGGGUUGCCUCCCAAAAGCGCUAUUGUUUAACGCCCCUAUCUAGUCAUAAAACAUAGAUCUAGGUAUUGUCAUCUUUGGUAUUUAAUUCUUCAAUUGCACACUUAUAACCCCUUGGAGGUACUUUGGGUUAAUUGAAAAUCACACUCCUAGGUAGGAAAUCAAGAAAUUCACUUGUAGCAAUUGGUUCUUUAAUGAUAUUGAUAAAGCUAGGGUAAUCACUUAUCACCUUAAGAUCUUUGUUUCCUUUACUAGAUGAUUCACCCUUAUUUUUAGGAACAUAAAUAAACUUAGUAGCUUUAGAAGGAGGAAAGUUUGGGGUAGUUUUAAUAGAGGCAAAAGCGGAACCCAAGUUGGUAAUAAUAUCUUCUAACUUAUCAAUUCUAGUAGAUACUUUUCUUUAGAUUCUUUAAAGUGAUUCCUACCUUUGAUCCAAUUUGUGUAAUGUGAUUAUGAAUCUUUUUAUCCAAAAUUUCAAUAAGCUCUACGGUAGAAAUUUUAUUCUUGAUAAUAUCAAGCCUUUGCAUCACAUGUUCCAAAGUUAAAACUGUUUCAUUAACCAUAAGUGGUGGUGAUCCUACCAAAUUCAUCAUAGCAUUGCAAUCAUCCAAAGUAUGACUACCCAAAAAAUUACCCCCAGUAAUGGUGUCAAGCACAUAUCUAUACCAAAUAGUAACACCAACAUAAAAAUUUCCGAGAAGAAUGGUGGUAGAUUUCUUACGGGUAGAUCUAUUCUGAGCAUUCCAAAUUCUAUACCAAGCAUCUUCUAAAAUUUCCCCAUCCCUUUGUUUAAAAUUAAGAACAUCACUUCCAGGGGUGAUAACAAUGGUAGAAGGACUAGCCAUGAUAGCAAAACAAGCGAUCUAGCACACAAGCAAACAAAAAAGACAAACGUAAGAAGGCGAAUAAAAAGGCAAAUAUUUUUGUGUUUUUCUAAAAAUGUUUUAGAAGUGGGAGAGAGGAAACGAGAGGCAAAUGGCAAAUAAUGUAAGUGCAAGAGAUGAGAGUUUAUGAUGGGUACUUGGUAGGCUUGAUGUAGAACCUCCCCGACAACAGCGCCAGAAAUUCUUCCUGCUAAUUCUUAAGCUUGCGUUGAUUUUUCCCUUGAAGAGGAAAGGGUGAUGUAGCAAAGUACAGGUAAGUAUUUUCCUUGGUUAAGAACCAAGGUAUCAAUCCAGUAGGAGGCACAAGUAAGUCUCCAAUAUAUGCACCUGCACAAACUAACAAACACUAGCACACAACGCGAAAAAGGGGUUGUCAAUCCCUUCACGAUCACGGACAAGAGUGAGAUCUAAUAGAGAUAGGUAUAAAAGAGAAAACUAAAGUAAAUAUAAUAAAUUGCAGCAAGGUAUUUUUUUGUUUUUUGGUUUAUAGAUUUGAAAAUAAAUGAUGUAAAAUAUACCCAGGGACCAUAGGUUUCACUAGAGGCUUCUCUCUUGAAAGAAAACAUACGGUGGGUAAACAAAUUACUGUUGAGCAAUUGAUAGAAAAGCAUGUAAUUAUGACGAUAUCUAAGGCAAUGAUCAUGAAUAUAGGCAUCACGUCCGUGAAAAGUUGACCAAAAUGAUUUUGCAUCUACUACUAUUACUCCAUACAUGACCGACUCCCGCGUGCAUCUAGAGUAUUAAGUUCAUAAGAAUAGAGAAACGCUUUAAGUAAGAUGACAUGAUGUAGAGGGAUAAACUCAAGCAAUAUGACAUAAAACCCAUCUUUUUAUCCUUGAUGGAAACAAUACAAUGCGUGCCUCACUACCCCUUCUGUCACUGGGCGAGGACACCGCAAGAUUGAACCCAAAACUAAGCACCUCUCCCAUUGCAAGAAAAACCAAUCUAGUUGGCCAUACCAAACCGAUAGUUCGAAGAGAAAUACAAAGAUAUCUUAAUCAUGCAUAAAAGAGUUCAGAGAAGACUCAAAUAAUAUUCAUAAAUAAUCUGAUAAUAAACCCAUAAUUCAUCAGAUCUCAGCAAACGCACCACAAAAUAAGAUUACAUCGGAUAGAACUCCAAGAACAUCGAGGAGAGCAUUGUAUUGAAGACCAAAGAGAGAGAAGAAGCCAUCUAGCUACUAGCUAUGGACCCUUAGGUUUGUGGUAAACUACUCAGGCUUCAUUGGAAGGGCAGCAAGGUUGAUGUAGAGGCCCUCCAUGAUCGAAUCCCCCUCCGGCAGAGUGCCAGAAAAGGCCCCAAGAUGGGAUCUCACGUGAACAGAGGCUUGCGGCGGCGGGAAGUAUUUUGGUGGACGCUUCUGAUGUUUGAGGAAUAUUUGAGAAUAUAUAGAGAUGGAAUUAGGGUUAGGGGACUCCCGAGGGGCCCACAAGCCAUGGGGCGCGCCCUGAGGGCUUGUGGCCUCCUCGGGACUCCUCUGGCCCUCUCCCCAAGUCUUGUGGGUGUCUUCUGGUCGAAGAAAAAGCAUCAUAAAGUUUUAUUCCAUUUGGACUCCAUUUGAUAUUCCUUUUCUGUAAAAGUCAAAAACAAGGGAAAAACAUAAACUGGCACUGGGCUCUAGGUUAAUACGUUAGUCCCAAAAAUAAUAUAAAAUAGCAUAUUAAUGCAUAUAAAACAUCCAAAAGAGAUAAUAUAAUAGCAUCAAACAAUCAAAAAUUAUAGAUACGUUGGAGACGUAUCAUGCAUCUACCAUGCUUUCACAAGAAUUCAUAAUUUGUGUAAAAUUGGCUUUGUAUAUAUUGAAUCACUGGUAGGACCUUUGAUUCCUUAAACUGAGAUAUGAAACCACUAUUUAGAACAGUGUUCCAUCGGCACAAACUAUCUAGAAGCCAUACCAAGUUCAUAAACGAAAUUUUUGAUUCAUCACUCUCCAAUGUUGCUUCUAAAGCGAUGACAUACUCAAACUUCUUUUUAGAAUUCACCACAGUAACUUUCUUGGAUAAUUCCAACUUACUGUGCCACAAAAAAUCCUUUUAAUUAAAAUCAAAAAUCGCUUAGAGCAUCGAUGAAGAUUUUAUCGAUGUAACCACUUACAAUGAGCAUGUAUUGAUGUAACUCCUUACAACGAUCUUUCCAUUUUCUUUGUAUGCGAGAAACAUAUUGUCUUUCUUAUUUUAGUACUUAAUGACAUUUUCACGUUUGUCCUAUGAUCAACAAUUUGAUCACUCUGGUAACUUUACUCGCAACUUAAUUAGAGUACUGGACAUAUUUGAUUGUUUACAUACCAUGGUUCUUAUUUAGACUUUGUUGUUGAAACUGAUUGUGUUGUUGCCAUCAAGAUGAUUUUGUCUCUAGGGAAGGACAAGUCGCAGCAUGCACAUCGGGUGAAUGAGAUCAUAACUCUUGACUCACGGAAGGAGGAUUGAAAUAUUUAAGGUUAGGCAUGAUGUUAACAUGGCUCCAGCGAGGAAGGGCGAUGACAGCAACACGCCUUCAGCUCGCUUCAGUGCUUGCAGUCGUCGCUAGGUGGUCUACAUAUCUGAAUGAAAAUUUUAUUAUUUGUAGUGUUCAUUUUACUACCAUGAUUGAAGAUGAAUUGAUCGAAAGUUUUUUCAGAAAAAACAUUGCUAGUCAUAGCCUCGCUUGUAAAGGGCGAUCACAACAAUGAAUUGGUUGUUGGUUGCAGAGCACCCAAGAGGAAAUUGCUAGCAUUGUGGACGCUGAAUGUAACCUUGUUCCUUGAUCAAUAAAAUCCCCUUCCAUGCAGAAAAAAGACUACAAAGUCGAGCACACCUUAUAUUCUGGGAAGCAAGGAGUAUCAACAAUGGCAACCAAGGUUGUUGGAGAAAUAGAGGCAUAUUCUGUAGCUAAAUUUGCUUUUGUCUCUCUCGUGUGUCGAGAGACAUCGUGCUCUAAUGCAUGAAUUUUGUUUGGAAGAGAAAUCGAGGUAGCUAAAUUUGCUUUGUCUUUGUCGUGUGGCCAGUUUGUCUGGUUACUUGAUGUAACGCCAAAUAUGUGGUCCUAUCCUCAAGGAACUUGGAAGUCCCGCCAAAUAUGUGCAUAUCAGAGACGCUUCGCAAGGUGGAUAUCAUUACAACAUACCAUAUACUGAACAUAUGAGAAUACCAGAUAAAAGGCUUACACUCGCCACAAGCUACAACAUGAAUACAUCAAUACAUAGCAAUCAUCAUACAGAAGAGCACGAUCCGACUAUGGAUGAAGUCAAACAAAAAGAAGAACGACAUCCACCCUGCUAAUCCCAGGCUGCCAACCGGGAACCCGUCCUAUGAUUGACGAAGAAGAAGAAGCAAAAGAAGAACUCCAAAUAGAAAAAGCAUGCAUCGCUCUCACGUCAAAGCAUCACUUUAUCUGUACCUGCACCUGUUGUUGUAGUAAUUUGUGAGCCAUGGGGACUUAGCAAUCUCACUACCAUGGGUAUCAAAACUAGCAAAGCUUAAUGGGUGAGGAAUGGUUAAGUGUUGAGGUUGCAGCAAGCACUAAGCAUUUGUAUGUGGCUAACUUAUAAGUACAAGAAUAAGAAGAGUAGACUACGCAUAAUCGGGCACAAAUUAAUAUGAUCAAGAAGUGAUCCUGAACACCAAUUUAAGAGUCAUACAUAACCCCACCGUGUUCUCUUCCCGAACACCCUCGAAAAGAGACAAACACGGUUACACACGCAGUUGAUGUACUUUAAUUGAAUUUAGUGUUAAGUUCCAUACAACCGGAUACUAUAAAUUUCCAAGUCGCCACAUAACCGCGGGCACGACUUUCCGAAAGAUUUAACCCUGUGGGGUGCUCCAAGUAGCCCAUCACAAAUUACCAGACACAUCCAAUGGAAAACCUCACACCGUGAUAAUGUGAUGCCUAUCAGGAAUCCCGGUGGACAAGCCACUCGCCAAAGCUAAAAUUAAACUAGCAAGGCCUCCCAGCGUGUCGACGAACUUGACAGGAGCCGUGUAUCUCGUUCUUAGGAUAUGACCGGAUCGGCUAAGUUUCUGGCUGGCACACUGAUACGUCUCCAACGUAUAUAUAAUUUUUGAUUAUUCCAUGCUAUUAUAGUCUCAAUCUUGGAUGUUUUUAUGCAAUUAUAUGCUAUUUUAUAUCAUUUUUUGGGACGAACCUAUUAACCUAGUGCCUAUUGCCAGUUACUAUUUUCUGCUUGUUUGGAUUUUCGGGAAAUCAAUAUCAAACGAAGUCCAAACAAAGAAACAUCUUUGGAUUAAUUUUUCUGUACCAAAAGGGACCCACGAAGGAGAAGGCCAUAAGAGACACGAGGGAGCGAUAAGCGCGCGCCCCAGGGGGGCACCCAUUGAGCUUGAGGGGACCUCGUGGCACCCCUUGACCUAAUUCCGCCUCUAAAAAUUCUCAAAUAUUCCCAAUAUACCAGAGAGCCGCCCGAAACACUUUUUCCGCUGCCGCAAGCUUCAGUUCUUCCGCAAUCCCAUCUGGAGGCCUUUCUGGUACUCCACCUGAGGGGGAAUCGGUCAUGGAGGGCUUCUAAUCAUUCUUGCUGCCCUCCGAUGAUGCGUGAGUAGUUCAUCACAGACCUACGGGUCCAUAGCUAGUAGCUAGAUGGCUUCUCUCUCUCUCUCUCUCUCUUUGAUCUUGAACACAAUGUUCUCCUCGAUGUUCUUGGAGUUCUACCUGAUGUAAUCUUCUUAUGCAAUGUAUUUGUUGGGAUCCGGUGAAUUGUGGGUUUAUGAUCUGAAUAUUUAUGAGAAGUAAUGGAGUCUUUUCUGAACUUACCAUGCAUGAUUGUUAUAGAUUUGUAUUUCUCUCUGAUUUAUCUGUUUGGUUUGGCCAGCUAGAUUGAUUUGUCUUCAGUGGGAGAGGUGCUUUGUGAUGGUUCAAUCUUGCAGUGCUAUAUCCCAGUGACAGAAAGGGACAAUAUGCGCAUUUGUAUUGUUGCCAUUAAGGGUAAAACGAUGGGGUUUAUUCAUAUCAAUUGAGUUUACUUUGUCUACAUCAUGUCAUCUUGCUUAAGGUGUUACUCUAUUUUUAUUAACUUAAUACCCUAGAUGCAUGUUGGAUAGUCGUUGAUGGGUGGAGUAAUAGUAGUAGAUGUAGGUAGGAGUCAGUCUACUUGUCUCGGAUGUGAAUAUCGUCAUAACUAUGCGCUUUUCUAUCAAUUGCCCAACAGUAAUUUGUUCACCCAUCGUUUGCUAUGUGUUCGAGAGAGAAGCCUCUAGUGAAAAUUAUGCCCCCCGGGUCUACUUUUAUCAUAUAUAAAAUCCAAAAUAUUCUUGCUGCAAUUUAAAUUUUUUUUAAUUUUGUUUUGCAAUUUACUUUAUCUAUCUAUCACUAUCAUAAUUAAUCCUUGCAAGUAACGAGUUCAAGGGGAUUGACAACCCUCUUGCCUGCGUUGGGUGUAAGUAUUUGAUUUGUGUGUGUAGGUGUUGUUCAUGAAGCUUUGCAUGAUUCUCCUACUGGAUUGAUACCUUGGUUCUCACUCAAGGAAAUAUGUAUCUCUACUGUGCUGCAUCUCUUCUCCCCUUCGGGGAAAAUCCGAACGUGGCUCACAAGUAGCAGGAAGAAUUUCUGGCGCCGUUGUCGGGGAGACAUCAUCAGAACGUAUCAAGUAUCUUCGCACAAACUAUCAUCUACUUGCUCUUAUUUCUAUUUGCCUUUUUAUUUGCCUUUGUCUCUCGUUUUCAUCCCCCCACUUCUAUUUUUUUACAAAAACACAAAAAUAUUUUUGUUUGUUUGCUUGCUUUUAUUGCCUUCAUGUCAACACACGAAAAACAUGAAAUGAAAGCAAAAAUUUAAGAUGACUAUGGACCCACUUAAAGUUUUCUACUUGGGUCAUCUUCAACCCAUUUGUGCUCGUGCCGAAAACCCAACUAGCUUAGUCAAGAGAAAAUCAUUAGAUGAACAUGCUUAUUUUGUGCGUCACCUUUUGUCUCAAAAGGGGAGACUCUUAUGGAAUCAAAUAAGUUGUUUGCUAUGCUAUGCUUGGAAUCUAUGUGAAAUAUAUGAUUUCACUUGUUGCUCUAGUAACCCUAAAAACACCUUCCCUACCUAUGUGAGUUUAAUGAUAAUGAGAUCUUAUCUUCUUAUGCCAAGGGUGUUUAUAGUUACUAUGAUAUCGAACAAAUUGAAGAAUUUGUUGCUCUUAAGGGUGCUUAUGAAUUUGCUUCUUUGAUUAAAAAGUACGAUGCUACUCUCUAUAAAUCUGAUUUUUUUCCAUACUUAAAUAUUGCUAUGAAAACUAUGCUCCUAAUGCCUAUGUUAAUGAAUUUAUUGAGAGAAUGUCUGCUGCUUUGGAAGCAAAUAAUGCUAUGCAUGAAUCUAUAGAUAAUUAUGAUCCCGUUGAUUCGAUUGAAAUAUCCCCUCUCGAUGACCGUGAUGCUUGCUAUUCUUAUGGCCACGAUGCCAAUAUUAAUAAUGCUUGUGGAGAUGAACUUGUUAUAGUUCCUUAUGUUAAAAAUGAAAUUAUUACUAUUGCACCCACACUUGAUAGCUCCUUGAAUGAAAGACAUGAUGAUUGGAAUGAUUCUAUUAUAAAUUUUAUUAAUGUCAAUUGUGUUAAUGAUAUGCAAAGCUACAAGCUUGGGGAUGAUAAUUUUGUGAUGUCGACUACUUAUUGCAAUGAUAAUGAUUGGGGUGAUAAUGCCUCUUAUGAUCUUCAAAUUUUAUUUAAGCCCCAUGAUGAAUAUGUUAUUGAUAAUAAUGUUUGCAAUAAUAUUGAAAGUGGGUUUGGAAGAGUGUCAACUUUAGGUAAAAAGAAUCCCACAUAUUUGAAGAGUGUUCAAUCUUAUGAUUUUUUUGAUAAAAGUCGGUUUGGAGAGGUCAUGACUUUAGUUGAUGUUAAUCCCACUGUCUUGGAAGAUUAUAAAACUUUUAUGCAUUUGGAUCAUGAAGAGAAAAGUUUAUAUAAUAACUAUAUUAUUGAAUUUGUUUAUGAUCUUACAUGUUAUUAUUAUGAGAGAGGAAAAUAUGGUUGUAGAAAUUUUCAUGUUACUAAAUUACCUCUCGUUAUGUUGAGAUUGUCAAUGUUUCGUUCCUCUAUAUUUCAUAUGCUAGAUAUUUCUUGUCUUGAUAAUUUGUUUGCUUAUCAAAUGCCUAUGAAUAGGAAGUAUGUUAGGAUUAAAUGUGUUUGUCACAUGUUCUAUGAUGCUCUCUUUGUGCUUCAAAUUUUGUCUUUCAUGUGAGCAUCAAUAAAAUCUCAAGCUUAUCUUAAUGGCUAUAGAGAAAGAGAUUGUUGGGAGACAACCCAAUAGCUAUCAUUUAUAUAUUUUUUGUGUUGAAACAAUUAUUCUAUUUUUAUGAUUGUGUUUUUUAUGUUUUAGUUAGUGUUUGUGCCAAGUAAAGCCACUGGGAUGAUUUGGUUUAUAGUUGACUUGAUUCUGUGAAAAAAUAGAAACCUUUGCACCCAGUACAGGAAUUUUCAAUAUUCACCGAAACAUAAAAUUCAGAAUAUUUUUAAAUAUCAUUGUUGUACAAAUUUCCCACGCUAUACAAAUUUCCCACGCUGUCGUAAUUUUUCAGAUGUUUUGGAGUUACAGAAGUAUUGUGUUUGUUCAUAUCAUUACAAACUGUUCUGUUUUAGACAGAUUCUAUUUUUGUUGCAUAGUUUUCUUGUUUUGAUGAUGCUAUGGAUUAUAUCAGGGGUAUAAGUCAUGGAGAAGUUAGAAUACAGUAGGUAUUAUGCAAUAAUAAAAUAUGAAUGGGUUCAUGAGAAUACCUAAAGUUUAUGAUUUGCUUGUUAUACUAACGGAUCUCACGAGGUUUCUGUUAAGUUUUGUGUGCUAAAGUUUUCAUGUUUUGGGUGAGAUCACAAUGGAUGAAGGAAUAAGGAGUGGCAAGACCCUAAGCUUGGGGACUCCUAGACACCCCAAGGUAAUAUUCAAGGAAGACCCAAGUGUCUAAGCUUGGGGAUGCCCCGGACGACAUCCCCUCUUUCGUCUACAAACCAUCAUUAUAUUACUUGGAGCUAUAUUUUUGUUCAUCACAUGAUAUGAGUUUUGAUUGGAGCGUCUUGUAUGAUAGUAGUAUUUGCUUUGUUUGCUUUUUAGUUUGUCACAAUCAUCAUUUGCUACAAACACCUUUUGAGAGGGAUACACAUUAUUUCAUGAUUUGUUAGAAUACUCUAUGUGCUUCACUUAUAUCUUUUGAGCUAGACAGUUGCUUUAGUGCAUCACUUAUAUCUUUUAGAGCACGAUGGUGGUUGUAUUUUAAAGAAAUAGUUGCACUCUCAUGCUUCACUUAUACACUACUAGGGAAAACCCUAGUAGUAGCGCUGGAUGAAAGCCUUGCAGUAGCGCUGGGGCCCGCGCUACUGCUACGACGCUACAACUAAUGUUUAACAGUAGCAUGGGUUCAACCAACGCUACCCCUACCCUACCCCUACCUAGCAGUAGCAUGGGUACAACUAGUGCUACUGCUACCCCUACCUAGCAGUAGCGUGGGUCCAACCAAUGCUAUUGCUAAAUUUUCCUGUAUUUUUAUUUUCUUUUGCGUAUUUGCGCUGUAUUUGUAUAGGUUUUAUGAUCCUAUAAUAACUCAUCAUCAUCAUCAUGAUAACAACUCAUAAUAAUAAUAAUAAUAAUAACAACUCAUCAUCAUAGUCAUAACAACUCAUCAUCAUAACAACUCCUCCUCGUCAUCAUCGUCUAUGAGUCAUACUAGCAAAUAUGCCCGUGCGUUGCAACAGGAGAAAAAAUAUCAUCGCAUGCCCGUACCAAGUAACUACAGUUUGAAACACAAGUGUGAUGAUUUGUUUUAUAACGUGCAUCAAUUAUUCAUAACACUAAUUAUACUUUCAGCUAGACCAUCUUUACAAAACGGAUAAGAAAUGUAUGUAUUAUUAGGUAUGCAACCUCUCUAUAUUCCGACCUUCACUAUUUCACGUGUUAUACACCCAUGAAGGUGUACUAAUUGCCCAGAUUUAAUGCGAGACAUAUGUAGUGUGAGACAAAGGACCAAAGAUUUAUUAGGUUUAAAGUUAUUGUGACUGAUUCCAUAACCAAGAACUGAAAACAUGAAUAGUUUGUUUUCUAUACUUUGGGACUUUUUUUAUCGCAUUGGCAAUCUUCUCGGAAAGCUGAAUCAAAUUUCGUAAUUAAUUGUUGUAUUGUAUUAUGAGUGGUCCCAUUUGCAUGCAUGAUACACACAUAAGAAAAGACCUUGGUACAAGACAUGAAAACUGAAAAGAGUGGUGCAUAGAAGCACAAACAAUGCUACCUACAUAAGCAGUCACACGUGAUUAACUUCAUCACCAAGGUGGCUCUUUUUGUUGUUGCAACAAAUUAGGGGAACCGGCCCACCGAGUUGAAUUUGGGGUGGGUGGGUGUUGAGAUUAGUUAGGAAGAUUACGUAAGGAGACCGUAAGGUUUAUGUAGUUCUAGCAUUUUGUAUGAAGCACUAAUGAUGGAUGCUCGUUUACAUAAUUCUUGUCUAAUCUAAAGAUUAAGGAAUGCCUCAUUAAUAUUAACCGUUUUGAAUAUAUACCAAGAGAAAAUAUUUGGAAAUCCAUUGAUCCAUACCUGCACUUAGGUAAUGCAUACAUGUAUGCUUGCUUCCUACUAUAUAUACUUGUAUAUGCAUUACGUAUGCUCGGAGGUUGCUUGCGAUACGCCAAAUGAUAAUGAAUCUUAAAAUAAUGCAAUGUCCAAGCGAUCGGUCUAGCUCCAAGUGCAUCAUAUUUUACGACGCCGGUGGUUGAUGUCUACUAUGCAACUCUAUUCUUGUAGACUCGUGUUGGGCCUCCAAGCGCAGAGUUUUGUAGGACAGUAGCAAUUUUCCCUCAAGUGGAUGACCUAAGGUUUAUCAAUCCGUGGGAGGUGUAGGAUGAAGAUGGUCUCUCUCAAACGACCCUGCAACCAAAUACAAGAAAUCUCUUGUGUCCCCAACACACUGAAUACAAUGGCAAAUUGUACAGGUGAACUAGUUCGGCGAAGAGAUGAUGAUAAAAGUGUAAUAUUGAUGGUAGAAAUACAUUUUUAUAAUCUGAAUAAAUAAAAAUAGCAAGGUAGCAAAUAGUAAACGACACAAAAACGGUAUUGCAAUGCUUAAAAAUGAGGCCUAGGGUCCGUACUUUCGCUAGUGCAAUCUAUCAACAAUGCUAACAUAGUUGGAUCAUAUGAUUAUCCCUCAAAGUGCAGCAAAGAAUCACUCCCGAGUUCCUAUUAGCGGAGAACAAAAGAUAGAAAUUGUUUGUAGGGUAAGAGACCACCUCAAAGCUAUUCUUUCCGAUCAAUCUAUCCUAGAGUUCGUACUAGAAUAACGCAAGCUAUUCUUCUUGAUCAAUCUAAUCAAGAGUUCGUACUAGAAUAACACCAAAGCAAAUUCAUAUUCAUAAUACUCAGUCCACACAAAGAACUGCAAGGAGACCCCAAAGUUUCUAUCAGAAAAGAUAAUAAAAUGUGCAUCAACUCCUAUGCAUAGAUUACCCCAAUAUCACCGCGGAAUCCGUGAGUUGAAUGCCAUAACACAUAUCAAGUGAAUCAAUAUGAUACCCCAUUUGUCACCUCAAGUAUUCAUAUUGCAAGACAUACAUCAUGUGUUCUCAUCUCUGAAUAUUCAAUCCGACAAUACAAACUUCAAAGGGUAAAGACUCAAUUCAUCAUAACAAGAGUAUAACAGGGAGAAACAUCAUAUGAUCCGACUAUAUUAACAAAGCCCAUGAUAUAGAUCACGAGAGAGAGAGAGAGAGAUUAAACACAUAGCUACUGGUACAAACCCUCAGCCCUGAGGCUGGACUACUCCCUCCUCAUCAUGGUGGCCGCCGGGAUGAUGAAGAUGGCCACCGGAGAUGAUUCCCCCCUCCGGCAGGGUGCCGGAACGGGGUCUAGAUUGAUUUUCGCGGAUACAGAGACCUUGCUGCAGCGGAACUUCUGAUCUAGGGUAACCCUGAUGGGUUUUGGAAUAUUUGGGAAUUUAUAGUGCAAAGAAGGGGUACAGGAGGCCACCGAGGUGGGCACCUCCCACCUGGGCGCGCCAGGUGGGCCUGGCGGGCCCUGGUGGGUUGUGCCCCCCUCGGGGCACCCCCCAGGUGCUGCUCUGGCCCAAUGGGUGUCUUCUGGUCCAUAAAAAAUCACCGUGUAGUUUCGUUGCAUUUGGACUCCGUUUGGUAUUGAUUUCCUGUGAUGUAAAAAACAAGCAAAAAACAGCAACUAGCACUGGGCACUGGGUCAAUAGGUUAGUCCCAAAAAAUGAUAUAAAGUCGCUAUAAAAUGAUUGUAAAACAUCCAAGAAUGAUAAUAUAUUGGCAUGAAUACUUCAUAAAUUAUAGAUACGUUGGAGACGUAUCAGCAUCCCCAAGCUUAAUUCCUACUCGUCCUCGAGUAGGUAAAUGAGAAAAGAAAUAAUUUAUGAAGUGUGAAUGCUAGCAAAGUGCAUAAGUUUGAUCAAUGGCAAUGUCAAUCACUUUUCCUAGCAUCAUAACAACAAUUCUUUCUCAUAAAAUUUCUCAUGUUGUAGUGGCAACCAAUUCACAUGUUAAGGUUUAAACAAUGAACUCUCUUGAAACCCAACAACCUAUGUUCUUAGUCACCAAGCAAUUGCAAUUCAACUUAUUCAACAGAGUCUAAGUAAGAGCUCCACAUACUCAACCAUCAUAUAGUCUUCUAUGAUUGCUAACACUCACCACGUACACAUGAGCAAAACGUUUCAACCGGAGACAUAGAAAGAUAGGGGCUUAUUGUUUUGCCUCCCAACGUAUUCACCUCAAGGGUGAUGUCAACAAUAAUAACUCAUGCUACCCAUAUUCAACUGGACAUAUGUGCCUAGAUCUUUCCUCACCACAUGAUGCUUGCCAAAAGUGAAAAAUAAAAAGGAAUAUAGAGAAAAACUUUGACUCUUUGCAUAAAAGUAAAUACAGAAAAGUAAAAGAUAGGCCCUUCGCAGAGGGAAGCAGAGGUUGCCAUGCGCUUAUUUGUUUGUAUGCUCAAUCCCUUAGUGCAAAAGAACGCCACGUUACAUUGCCCCUUAAGAUGACAACCUUUAUUAUGCAGUCUAUCGCUUUUAUUCUUUGUCAUUCAAGUUCGUGCAACGCUCAAUUUUCUCUUACACUAAAUGAUCUCACACUUUUAGAAGCAAUUUUUAUUGCCUUUUUGCACCGAUGACAACUUACUUGAGGGAUCUUGCUCAAUCCCUAGGUAGGUAUGGUGGACACUUGAAAAAGAUUUGGGUUUAAGGGUUUUUGGAUGCAUAAGUAGUAUCUCUACUGAGCGGGGAUUUUUUGGCUAGCAAAGAUAGGGGGCAAGCACCACAUGUUGAAGGAUCUAUGACAAUAUGACUUCUAUGUGAAUAUGAACAAUCAUAAACCAUUACGUUGUCUUCGUUGUCCAACGUCAACAAUUUUGGCAUAUAAUAUUUUGAUGGGGGCUCACAAUCACAAAAUAUUUCCAUGAUAGUGUAUUUUCAUGUGAAAGUUCUCUUCCUUAUACUAGUUAUUCGUGAAUUGCUUGUAUGACCGAUAUUGUGAUUGUCAAGCCUCAAAAGGUUUCACUUUCUAAACCCAAUGUGAAGCUACCACUAGGCAUGAUAUGAUUUCAACUUCAUGAUAUUCAAUUUAUUCAACAAUUUACUCAUAGGAUAUAAGUGAAGCACAAGAGUAAAUGACAAACUACUCCAAAAAGAUAUAAGUGAAGAUCAAACGAGUAGAUAAGUAAAUAGGUAGCUAUUUGAGGACUCUCUCUUAUUCAAAACUUUCAGAUCUAAGUAAUUUAUUAAAACAGCAAGCAAAACAAAACAAAAUGACAUUUCAAGGAUAGCACACAUCAUGUGAAGAAGCAAAAACUUAGGCUCAACCGAUACUAAAUGAUAAUUGUUGAAGAAGAAAGGUGGGAUGCCUACCGGGGCAUCCCCAAGCUUAGAUGCUUGAGACUUCUUGGAAUAUUAACUUGGGGUGCCUUGGGCAUCCCCAAGCUUGAGCUUUUGUGUCUCCUUAUUUCCUUUUAUAUCUCGGUUUCCCUAAAUCUUAAAAACCUCAUCCACACAAAACUCAACAAGAACUCGUGAGAUAAGUUAGUAUAAACCAAUGCAAAAGCUUUAUCAUUCUAUACUGUAGCAAAUCACUAAAAUUAUUAUUCAACAUUGCAUACUAAAUGCCUCUGCAUAUUUAAUACUCCUACCCUCAAAUAGAAUCAUUAAACAAGCAAACAUAUGCAAACAUAACAGCAAUCUGCCAAAACAGUACAGUUUGUAAAGAAUGCAAGAGUAUCAAUAGUUCCCUAACUCCAAAAAUUAUGAAAAUAUACCACACUGUAGAAAAUUUAUCAGACUUAUUAUGCAAAAAGUUUCAACAUUUUAACACAUUCUGACUUUUCUAGGGAAUUUUUGCAACAGCGGUAAACUUUCUGUUUUCAAACAGCAACAUGUAUACUUGCAAAAUAAGCAUGGUAAGGCUAUCCUUGACAUUUUUAUUGAAAAUAAAGAUGCAAAACAUUAUUAUAAAUAACAGCAAGCAAAUCUUAAAAAAAUAAAUUGAUGCUCCAAGUAAAACUCAUGUCAUGUGACAAAUGAAAACAUAGCUCCAAGUGAGGUUACCGAUAAUGUUGGAGACGAAAGAGGGGAUGCCUUUCGGGGCAUCCCCAAGCUUAGUUGCUUCGAUAUUCCUUGGAUAUUACCUUGGGGUGCCUUGGGCAUCCCCAAGCUUAGGGUCUUUUCACUUCUUAUUCUCCUCAUAUCGUCAUCUCACCCAAAACUUGAAAACUUCAAUCACACAAAACUUAACGGAACUUUGUGAGAUAGGUUAGUAUGAUAAAGAGCAAACCAUUUCACUUUGUUACUGUAAAAUACAAGAUUCAUAAUUGUUUCCAUACAAUGACUACUGUAGCAUAUCAUUUCCACAAUUUAUAUUGAGCAAUAUAAGCCAUAGAAACUAGAAAACAAACAGACUAUGCAUUGAAAACAGAAUCUGUCAAAAACAGAAUAGUCUGUAAUGAUCUGGACUCAAACCAUACUUCUGUACUCCAAAAAUUAUGAAACAAAUUGGACCACGUGAGCAAUUUGUAUAUUAAACUUCUGCAAAAAGAAUCAACUCAAAAGAACUCUUCUGUUAAAAAUGAGACUUAUUUUCGUGAGCGCAAAAGUUUCUGUUUUUCAGCAGGGUCAAAUCAACUAUCACCCAACAUGAUCCCAAAGGCUUUACUUGACACUUUAUUGAAACAAAGCAAUAAAACAUGAUCAAUACAGUAGAAUAAUCAUGUUAACACACAAAAACAAUAGGUAAAAGUUUUGUGUUGUCUCCCAACAAGCGCUUUUCUUUAAUGCCUUUUAAGCUAGGCAUGAUGAUUCAAUGAUGCUCGCAUAAAAGAUAAGAAUUGAAAUACAAAGAGAACAUCAUGCAUCAUAAGUUCCUCUCUCAUAAUAAUUUUCAGUAGAAUCAUGAAUAGAUUCAUCAAUAUAGCCAUUACAUAAAGCAUUCUUUUCAUGAUCCACUAGCAUAGAAAAUUCAUUACUCUCUAUGGCAUACAUGUCAUCAUAAUAAUCAUCAUAGAAAGCAACUUUAUUGCCAUAGUCAGUUGAAACCUCUUCAAAAAUAGUGGGUGUACCACUAAAUAAAGUCAUGACCUCUCCAAAUCCACUUUCUUCAAUAUUGUAAUGAGAUUCAACACCCUCCAAAAUAGUGGGAUCACUACUACCUAGAGUUGACACUCUUCCAAACCCACUUUUAUCAAUGUAAUCAUCAUAAAUAGGAGGCAUGCUAUCAUCAAAAUAAGUUUGAUCAAUCAAAGUAGGGGGACUAAAAAGAUCAUCUUCAUUAAACACAGCCUCCCCAAGCUUGGGACAAACAUUAAUUGCGGCAAAUAAAUUCUCAAACAUGUCAUUCUCAUUAAACAUAGCAUCCCCAAGCUUGUGGCUUGGCAUAUCAUAAGCAUAAUCAUUCUCAUCAUUAAUAGUAUGAAUGGAACCAACGGUAUAACAAUUGCUAUCAUCAUAAUUUCCCAAGUUGGUGCCAAAAAGAUUUCCAAUAUUAUAAGAAGUAUCAUUAUCUUCCCAAUCAUAAUCAUCAUAACAAGCAAUAGGCAUAGCAAAAUCAUCAUCAAGUGCAUCAUCUUCCACAAUUAUUUUUGAUUCAUUUUCAUGAGGCACAACAAUAACAGGAGCAACAUUAUUUGGGAGAGAUACCUUUUUACCACUCUUCUUUCUUCUUCUUUUCUUCUUCUUCACCACAUCAUGUGUGGGUUCAUUGAAUCUUUUCAAGCUUCUUAUUGAUGAGAUUGGUUGGACUACUCCCUCCUCAUCGUGGUGGCCGUCAGGAUGAUGAAGAUGGCCACCGGAGAUGAUUCCCCCCUACGGCAGGGUGCCAGAAUGGGGUCUAGAUUGGUUUUCGCGGAUAUAGAGACCUUGCGGCGGUGGAACUUCUGAUCUAGGGUAACCCCGAUGGGUUUCGGAAUAUUUGGGAAUUUAUAGUGCAAAGAAGGGGUAUGGGAGGCCAACGAGGUGGGCACAACCCACCUGGGCACGCCAGGUGGGCCUGGCGCGCCCUGGUGAGUUGUGGCCCCCUCGGGGCACCCCCCAGGUGCUGCUCUGGCCCAAUGGGUGUCUUCUGGUCCAUAAAAAAUCACCGUGGAGUUUCGUUGGAUUUGGACUCCGUUUGGUAUUGAUUUCCUGCGAUGUAAAAAACAAGCAAAAAAUAACAACUAGCACUGGGCACUGGGUCAAUAGGUUAGUCCCAAAAAAUGAUAUAAAGUUGCUAUAAAAUGAUUGUAAAACAUCCAAGAAUGAUAAUAUAUUGGCAUGAAUACUUCAUAAAUUAUAGAUACGUUGGAGACGUAUCAGCGGUACUGCGGUUACUCUUUGGCAAGUAGACCCUUUCAUAUAUCUCAAUCAGUUUUCUCACGCUGUCGUCCUGCUGCCCCGUGCUGCUGACACUCAUGGCCGCCUUAUCUUCCACAGUCCUACAGCUGCUCACCACUGUUGGUGCGGCAGCUGUAGCUCAUCGUCGCCUUGUUUUACUGUUGCUACUCGCCACCACCACCCAGUAGUGUAGCAGUUGCUGCUCGUCGCCUCGUCUUGUAUGCUACUACUGCUCGCCAUGGCCACAACAUGGUGUAGCUGUCUGACUCAAUAACCCCGUCGCCCCGGCUUCCCUAGCAACAAUAAAGAAGAUGUCGUUGUGGCCACGACGCGUAGGCGCACCUAUGUGGUUGCCCAUCGGUUGUGUCCUCCCCGGCCAGCGACCUGCCUGGCUACCUCCCACUUGCUCCCGGCUACAGGCGCGCUAUUGCUGGGCAAGGUUAUGGGCUCAUGCGGCUCUGCACUUGGGCGCUGGGCUCGAUCUGCGUAAUUACGAUAAAAGGCGAGCGAGAGUGGGACGGGCGCCGAUGGCGGUCGUGGCUGGGUCGGAACCCUAGGCUCGGUCCAGAAAGAGACGCAGAGAGCGAAAGACGAAGGAGGAGACACCGUGUGCGAGGACGGUGCACGCCUUCCUGGAUCUUGCUCUGGCGAGCAUCAGGGUUUAGGACAACGAUGGAAGGCAUCUAUGUGUUCCUGUGGCAUCUCGUUGGCGUGAAGUACAUGUUUGUCAGCCCGCAACAAUUCCACCUACUGCUCCUUUGCUCGUUCAUCCCAAACUCGGUAUUUACGAAUGGGCUAGGGAGGUAGCGAGGCAUGUGGAGUUCGACUGGGUCACGGACAAAGUAACAAUAGUACACAUGAAGACAAAGUAACAAUAGUACACAUGAAAACCAAUUGCGUACAGAUAUUUUUCCAGUCAUUGAUUUGUGAUACGUCUCCGUUGUAUCUAUAAUUUUUGAUUUUCAUGCCAAUGUUAUACAACUUUCACAUAUUUUGGCAACUUUUUAUAUGACUUAUUGGACUACCCUACUAAUCCAGUGCCCAGUGCCAGUUCCUGCUUUCUGCAUGUUUUUGUUUUGCAGAAAAUCCUAUCAAACGAAGUCCAAAUGCAAUAAAAUUUUACGAGAAUUAUUUUAGAAUAUUUGUGAUUUUUGGGAGGUCGAACCAUCGCAAACGGAGGCCCACACACACCACAAGACACCUGGGCGCGCCCCAGGCCCCAGGCGCGUGGUGGUGGGUUUUGCUCACCUUGUACAUCGGUUGGGGCUCUACUUUGGGUGCAAGGAAGCUUAUUUCCGAAAAAAAACAUGUUAAAAUCUCAUCGCAAUCGGAGUUACGGAUCUCCGGGAAUAUAAGAAACGGUUUUCGGCCAGGUCUGGAGAGCGCAAAACAGAAGAGAACAGAGAGGGAGAUCCAAUCUCGGAGGGGCUCCCGCACCUCCGCCGCCAUGGAGGCCAUGGACCAGAGGGCGAACUCUCCUCCCAUCUAGGGGGGAGGCCAAGGAAGAAGAAGGAGGAGGGGGCACUCUCCCCCUCUCUCCCGGUGACGCUGGAGUGUCGCCGGGGCAAGGAUCGUGACGGUGAUCUACAUCAACAAUCUUGCUACCGCCAACAUCAACUCUCUCCCCCUCUAUGCAGCGGUGUAACACCUCUUCCCCCCACUGUAAUCUCUACUUAAACAUGGUGCUCAACUCCAUAUAUUAUUUCCCAAUGAUCUAUGGUUAUCCUAUGAUGUUUUGGUAGAUCCGUUUUGUCCUGUGGGUUCAUCGUGAUCUUGGUUGGUAUGAUUUUAUAUUUUAUUUAUGGUGCUGCCCUAUGGUGCUCUCCGUCUCGCGCAAACAUGAGGGGCCCCCGCUGUAGGGUGUUGCAAUAUGUUCAUGGUUUGCUUAUUGUCGGUGUUGCGGGGGUGUCAGCAGCCUAAGCGCGGAUAAGUGGGUUAUGGCGUAUGGGAGUAAAGAGGACUUGAUACUUAAUGCUAUGGUUAGGAUUCACGACCUUAAUGAUCUUUAGUAGUUGCGGAUGCUUGCUAGGGGUCCAAUCAUAAGUGCAUAUGAUCCAAGUAGAGAAAGUAUGUUAGCUCAUGCCUCUCCCUCAUAUAAAAUUACAAGAAUGAUUACCGGUACUUGUUAUCAAUUGCCUAGGGACAAAUGACUUUCUUGUUGACAAAAGCUAUCCACUUUUAUUACCUUGCAAUUUAUCCAUAGUUUUAUACUCGCAAAGUACUCAUAGUUUUAUUUUUGCAAAAUAGUUUCAUACUUCUUCUAGGUAAAGCAAACGUCAAGUGUGUGUAGAGUUGUAUCAGUGGUCGAUAGAACUUGAGGGAAUAUUUGUUCUACCUUUAGCUCCUCGUUGGGUUCGACACUCUUAUUUAACUUAUGGGUUAUCAAUUUGUUUCCAAAAAAUCAAUUCCUCUUAUGGUCAAAAAGUUGCGUACAAAAGUUUCACAUGUUCAGGGAUUGUGGAAGGAGAAUCAAAAACCUUUCUCCUUUUAAAUCUCAGCCGUUAAUCUUGUGGAUGGAAGGAUAAUAAAGAAACCUUCCUCAUUUUAAAUGUCAGCCGUUAAUCUUUGUGGUUAAUACAAUAUCAAUGGAUAUAAAAGGGUGACGGAUGGAGAGCCAUGAAAGGUUCCGUCCUUUAAUAUUAGGUAUAGAUAACAACUCAUCAUUCUAACACAUUAUAGCCUACGGCCCCCGGGUUUCUUCUUUAUUAUAUUUGCCUUUGCGAUCUAUUUUCCUUCACUUUUAUUUUCAGAUCUAUUAAACCAAAAAUACAAAAAUACCUUGCUGCAAUUUAUUUUAUUUGGCAUUCGAUCUAUCAAUAUUUACAACUCUCUCACGUCUGUUUGCCAAUUUCUGGCGCCGUUGCCUGAAAGGGAUUGAAAACCCCUUUAACACGUCGGGUUGCGAGUAUUUGUUAUUUGUGUGCAGGUGCUGUUUAUGUAGUGUUGCUUGGUUCUCCUACUGUGUGACGCCCCCGAUUCAAUCGUACACUAAUCAUGCACGCAAACGUGUACGAUCAAGAUCAGGGACUCACGGGAAGAUAUCACAACACAACUCUAAAAACAUAAAUAAGUCAUACAAGCAUCGUAGUACAAGCCAGGGGCCUCGAGGGCUCGAAUACAAGUGCUCGAUCAUAGACGAGUCAGCGGAAGCAACAAUAUCUGAGUACAGACAUAAGUUAAACAAGUUUGCCUUAAGAAGGCUAGCACAAACUGGGAUACAGAACGAAAGAGGCGCAGGCCUCCUACAUGUGAUCCUCCUAAACUACUCCUGGUCGUCGUCAGCGGCCUGCACGUAGUAGUAGGCACCUCCGGUGUAGUAGGAGUCAUCGUCGACGGUGGCGUCUGGCUCCUGGGCUCCAGCAUCUGGUUGCGACAACCAGGAAGAGAGGAAAGGGGGAAAGGGGACAAAAGCAACCGUGAGUACUCAUCCAAAGUCCUCGCAAGCAAGGAUCUACACUACUUAUGCAUGGGUAUCUGUGUAAAGGGGCAAUAUCGGUGGACUGAACUACAGAAUGCCAGAAUAAGAGGGGGAUAGCUAAUCCUAUCGAAGACUACGCUUCUGGCAGCCUCCAUCUUGCAGCAUGUAGAAGAGAGUAGAUGGUAAGUUCACCAAGUAGCAUCGUAUAGCAUAAUCCUACCCGACGAUCCUCUCCUUGUCGACCUGUGAGAGAGUGAUCACCGGGUUGUAUCUGGCACUUGGAAGGGUGUGUUUUAUUAAGUAUCCGGUUCUAGUUGUCAUAAGGUCAAGGUACAACUCCGGGUCACCUGUUACCGUGGACACGACUAUUCAAAUAGACCAACUUCCCUGCAGGUGUGCACCACAUUACCCGACACGCUCGAUCCCUCUGACCGGGCACACUUUCCUGGGUCAUGUCCGGCCUCGGGAUAUCAACACGUCGCAGCCCCACCUAGGCUCAACAGAGAGGUCAGCACGCCGGUCUAAAUCCUAUGCGCGCAGGGGUCUGGGCCCAUCGCCCAUUGCACACCUGCACGUUGCGUACGUGGUCGGAAGCAGACCUAGCCCCCUUAAUACAAGCGCGGGCUUACGGUCCAAUGCGGCGUGCGCCGCUCAGUCGCUGACGUCAAAAAGAGCUUCAGCUGAUACCACGACGCCGGUUGCCCAUAUCUUGUCCCACGUGGCGGUUAGUGCGUAUAAGGUCAACGACCCAACUCAGAUCAAAUACCAAGAUCUCGUUAAGCGUGUUAUUAUGAAGUAACCACGGACGCCGACCAGGGCCAGGCCCACCUCUCUCCUAGGUGGUCUCAACCUGCCCUGUCGCUCCGCCACAAAGUAACAGUCAGGGGCCGUCAGGAACCCAGGCCCACCUCUACCGGGAUGGAGCCACCUGUCCUUUCAGCCCCCACAUCGGAAUCACUUGCGGGUACUCUACGAGCCAACCCGACUUUAGUCACCACAUGAAUCAUAUAAUGUAUAUAAGUAUAUACCCGUGAUCACCUCCCGAGUGAUCACGGCCCGAUAGUAUAGCACGACAGACGGACAAAUAUGUAGGGCCACUGAUGGAAUACUAGCAUCCUAUACUAAGCAUUUAGGAUUGCAGCUAAGGGUAACAACUGAAGCAACAAUGACAGGCUAUGAAGCUGAAUAGGAUUAACAGAAAGCAGUAACAUGCUACACUACUCUAAUGCAAGCAGUAGAGAGAAGGAAUAGGCGAUAUCUUGUGAUCAAGGGGGGGGGGGCUUGCCUAGAAGCUCAGCUGAGAAGGAGGGGUCGUCAACACCGUAGUCGUACUAGGUAGCGGUGGCGUCGGUCUCGGUGUCUAACGAGAGAAGAGGGGGAAGAAACAAUAAAUAUAAUGCAAACAUAAGCAUGACGGUGCAUGACAUGACAAUGACCGUUGCUAGAUGUGCCCUAACGCGGUAGUAGGUGAUACCGGCGAAGGGGGAAAACAUCCGGGAAAGUAUUCCCAGUGUUUCGCAUUUUCUGACAGAUGAACCAGAGGGGGAAAGUUGCGUGUUUGCUAUGCUAGGGGUGUGUGGCAGGCGAACGGGCUGCGUAUCCGGAUUCGUCUCGUCGUUCUGAGCAACUUUCAUGUACAAAGUAUUUUCAUCCGAGUUACGGAUUAUUUUUAAUGUUUUAAAUCAUUUCUAAAUUAUUAUUAUUAAUUUAAUUCGAAAUUAGCAUUAUUGCAUUAGCAUGUCGUCAGCAGUCAACAGAGGUGUUGACUGGGGUCAAACUGACAUGUGGGGCCAGGGGGCUGGGUUGACCCAGUCAAAUGUCUAGUCAGCAGUUGACUAGUCAACUAUUGACUGGUCAAACCUGGGUAGUGGGGCCCAGGUGUCAUUCUCACAGUUUUAAGAUUUUCUUUUUUUAAAGAUAUUUAGAGGUGGGUCUACCUGUAAGUGUUAGGGGGGGGGUACUUAAAUUAGUUUACAUUUAAACUAAGUUAAUGGCCCACGGUUCAGUGUCAUUUUAGGGGUUUUUAGUUAGUGGCUAAUGAUGCCUCGUCGGCAUGUUAAGCCGUCUAACCGCCUGGGUUAACAGGGGACGGCGGCGACGACCAUCCGGCCAACUGCAGCGUCAGCCGGACGCGUGAUUAGGGGUGCCUGAAAGCCCUCGGCGCGGCGCAGCGGAUGGUGGUCGCGGUAGGUGCGAGGGCAGUCUGUUGCGGUGCUGGCGUCGAGGCGAGCGGCGGCCGGAGCGGGCGGCAGCGGCAGCCGCAGAUGGCAAGGCGAGCAGCGACACGGUAGGGGGGAAGCAGUGGUAGGCGGCGAAGCGCGAGAGCAGUGCGCGGGGCUGCGGUGGCGAUGCGAGCCAGGGGGAGCGACGACGCGGCCGGCGCGGUUGUGGCGCGCGCGAUCCGCGGUCGGGAGGUGCGAGUGGCUUUGCCGGGGCACGAUCUCGUGCGCAGUGGCGCAACCGAAGCGGGGGGAGCCGGGCGGGCAUGGCAGGUGCGUAGCGGGCACUGGCGGUGCGAGCCAUGGCGGGGGAAGGACACGACGGUGACGGCGCGCAGUGAUAGCCGCAUCAUAAGUAGAGAAGAAGGAGCGAGGCCGGAGCCUGGGGGCUCACCCACGUUGCAGGGACGAGGGGCGGCGUGGCUCGGGGGUGCCUUUGGGGAGGAGGACGGGGACGAGCGACGUGGUGGUGGCCACGGGCGUCGGGGCGACGGGGUGACUUCGGGGUGAGGUGGCGCUGGCGAUUCGGCGAUGACGACGUGCACAACGGCAGGGAGGCGACGGCGGACAACGGCAAGCUACGUCGGGAAGCAUCGAGUGGCGGGGCGCGGCCGUCGGGACGGCGCCAGGGGCAGCGGGUUCGAUCCGAUCCACAUCAGGGGCGGGGGCAGAGGCAAGGGGGAGGAAAUCAUGGGGAGGGAGUGGGUGAGUGGGGGGUUCGUGGGUUAGGGUUUCGGGCUAGCAGGGGUUAUGUGGGGAGUGGGUGGCCGGUUGGGCCGGCCAGGCGGGAUGGUGGCCUGCUGGGCCGAAGCCCAGUGAGGGAGGGGGGGCCUUUCCCCCCUUUUUUUUGUUUGUUUUGUUUUGUUUACUUUUUCUUAUAUUUCUUUUCUGUUUUAAUUUUAUUUCCCAAUUUGUUUUAGUUUGGUAAAAUAUUCAAUUAGCACCUAACAUAGUAACAUUAAUUAUACCAUUGCCACAAUAACUUUGGCACCUAGCUAAAUAGUUUAGUAUUUUGUAAAAUAUAUUAGGAGUAUAACUAAUUGUUUUUUCCGUUGUUUUAAUCACUUUAGGGUAUUUAAUUAUUUUAUAAAGAUGUUGUUUCUCCACCAAUAAUAUCCAUGAUUUUUUUGUCACAUUAAGAACAUUUUAGUUUUGACUUUUGAAAACUUUAAUUGUUUGACUUGAUUUUAAAUUUGAAAUUUGAACGGGAUUUGAAUCAUCGCAAGAUAACAACAGUAAUCGUGGUGACGUGGCAUCAUUAGCGGAGGGUUACUGUAGCGUAACUAUCUGGGCGUCACAAUUCUCCUCCACUACAAGAAAUCUCGUCCCGAGAUUUAAGAGGUGGAAUAAGGGGGAAAGGUCUGGUUACGAAAUCCUAACGAAUCUUCUCGGUCUUGGUUGCUCUUCUCAAAGAGGUCGAUCCAUUACAUUGAAGUCUUCAUUCCUAUGCUUCAGUCAUCACGAUGAAGUCGGCAUCCUUUCUUUAGGAUCUCCAUCGUACUUAAGAAUAUGAAAAGGGCAGCUCGGCAAUGACAGAAUGUUAUAAGAAGGGUAAUAACAUGGGGUUAACCCAUGAAUGAGCAUAAGGGUACCUCUCGAGUUAGAUAAAUAAAACACAUAGAGAGUGAAGUUUGAAGGUACGAGAAGAUUUUCAAGCAGCCAGGCAAUCGUUCAAUGCCUACUCAGAAGGUGAAAGGGUUUCAGGGCAACGUGAAUAAGUAUUGCGUCUGAUACCAGAAUAGAUCACUAGGAAUGUGGCUCCUGAAUUGCAUACGACGCUAAGAGUGGGGAUUAACUUUGGAAACAGGGUGUACAGGAGAGUCAGGUUUUGAUCCUGGGACCUGUGGGUUAUGGGCCCACCAUGUGGGUUAAAAGUAGGAAGGGCGAUGACAUCUUGCACGAUCAUGUAAGCAAGGCAUGUCAGAGGAUAGUCUGUUGGUUAUGUCGACAACAACAUCGGUACCAAGGGCGAGGGACGAAGAGAACCAUUUUCCUGCUCGUUGAACUAGGCGGGCCAAUAGGCAAAGUUCUCGUCCAUCGGCGGUUACCGGAAUGUCAUCAACAGUAGAAACAUGGUCUCACUGACAGAGUUGUACACUGAGGUGUUUACAUAAGCAGUGAAUCAUUACUGCUUAGAUUAUAUAGAUCACAAGAAAGGUCAAACAAACCAAUGGAAAGGAAAAUGUGAUCAUCGGGUUAAACAGAACAAUGGAAAGGGAAAAAUGUGUUUAAACACAUAUUUCAGAGGUAUAUCCUUCUCAAGGACAAGCAGAGCAUGAUAUCCAUGACAGGAUAUAAUGUAGAAAACCCUUUAGGUAAGGGGAGAGAAAUUUCAUGACAUUACCCAUGCAACGGCGUUCGGAUAAUUGAGCAAGAAACAUUUAGCAUUGGGCUUCAAAUUUUUUGUUGAAAAUCGGAGUACCACAGACAUGCUUCGAGAUAGCAUUGACAUGGUCUUCAAACAAAGGUCGGACUUUGAAUACACAAAGGAUCCAUCAGGAACAACUUAUAAAAUAAGUCUUACGAUUUCCUCAUGGAAGAAUCGUUAAUCUUGCUAAAAAGGAAACUAUAACAAUAGGUCCUCCGGCCAGGUGUGCUAGGCAUGACAUCAUCUUAUCGGGUCAUAUAAAGACAAAUGAUAUAACUCUUGGAUAUAUGUUUCAACCAUCAUAUCUGACCGAGAUUCAGAUCUGAUCGGUGUCAGGAUACCUCAGACUCAUGAUGCCUCAGGAGAAAAAGGUGCGACACAAAUUGACGAGAAGACAUUGUAAGAUUCUCAGGAAAUGAACUAUGGAAGCGAUUUCCGAACAACAGUUCAUCAUUGAGCCAGGGAGAGGAUGACAGGGUGGCCGAUGGACUCAGCAAAAAUUCAUUGAGAUUUCCAAGAAGAUGGAUUUCCACAAUUAUGUGAACAAGGAGAUAACAUUUGUCAGAUCAAAUGAUAUACUGAUGUAUGCUCGAGGGAACAUCCACAAUUCAACAUUGAUCGAAAAUGCACCUGGAAAUAUGGAUUGAGCAACCCAAUCAAGGUUAGAAUGGUGAUACAAUAACCUAUAGUAUAAGGAUGAACUAUCGACCCUUAACUUCAAAGCAAUAUGGUUGCUAGAAGUAACAAAGUCACACGUCAGAGUUCACUUGUGUGUAUUCCGGUUAGAAACAACACGGGGAACAAGAAAGAAUGGUGGUGGUGAGAAGUAUCACUAUAACAAGAAUUCUUAAGAGGUGGUGAAAUUCUCACGACAUUCUUGACAUAAAAGACGGUAAUACUCAAAGGUAAAGAAGAACAAAUGUUGGAUAGCAAGGAACUCAAGGUAUAACACAAAACACGAACAAGUUUGUGUUGAACGGAAGGCAAUAAAAUGGUCGAUGAUAAAACAAAUCAUCGAGGGCAAGAAUGGUAUUUCUCAUCAUGAAUUCAAUUGAUAUCUAGGAAGGAGGCAAGAUGUUGAUGAUGAUCACGACAAAUUUUGUCGAGAGGCUCCACGAAGAAGCAAUCGAACAGCGACUGCAUCAAGCAAAAGGACUGAUGCAGGGAUAGAUUAUUGGAUCCAUGGAUACGACACCAACUCGGAACCAAGCUUAUUAUUCGAGGUGGAACGAUAAGACUAGGGAAUCAAUGUAAGCUUAGCUCAUGGUCGAAGGUUGUGCUCCGGGAAUAAGGAAGAGGUAGCACAGUUAAAAUCAGCACGAUAAUGAUAUAGCCAAUCAGGCUAGGAAUGACAUGACGGAGUAUUAAACUUCCCAACAACAAAGUACUAGGAGUACUGAAUCAUAGUGUCGAUUCGAUUCACUAUGCAGUGUUCUCAGUUGACUAAUAACUCAAAACACGGGGAAAUCUGAAAUCGGUGAGAAGCAAUACUAGAUGUAUACUCAUAGGAAGCGACACAGUUCUUUGAUAUUCUCGAUAUACCAGAGGGUAAUACUCGAAGGAAGAUCAAAAUAGAGGUUGCAGAGAUGUAUUGAUCUUCAGAAGACAAGUACUUUAACUUGCCCGAGAAAUGGAAUCAAAAAGAAAAUAUGGUCGGAACCACGAUUGCAAAGGAACAAUUCACAGAUACCAGAUGAUAUUUUAUCAAGGAAAUAAUCAUUAGUACAAGAAGCUUCCAUGAUAGGAUCCACAUCGUGUCCAUGGGCAUGAACACAAAGUUCAAGGUCGACUCCCACUUCUCCAAUGCAUAAUCUUUCAUUCACUUCUCACUUUCCAUGAAGUUGUAGCGUUGAAAUUUUAUCUGAUGAAAAGCCAGUAGAGUAUAACCCGCAUAACUUUCGAGUUCACCCAGAUUAUGGAAGGCAUAGGUUCAACCCAUCGGGGCAUCUUAGGAACAUAUACCACAAACUUUAGUAGCAAAUAACUCAAGCUCGGAAGCAGAGCAAGGUUGACAAAGGCAUAGGAUAUUACUUGCCAAAGGCAGAAGACACAAUUUACCGAAGGCAUUAUGUAUCAAGGGAGAAACUCUCGAGGUUAUUGGAUAUGAAGGACACUAUCGGAUAAUAACCAAGCAAUUGGUCUCGCAGACCACAAGGAAUCUGGUGUGAGUAUCGAUACUCAAUCAGAAGGAAAAAGAAUGCAAAGGCAUCAGAUUAGAGAAACAACUAACUAAUUCAAAGCUCAAAUGCAAAUGAAUUAUGAUUUCCAAAUCAAAGGAUCAGAAGCAAACGCUCUGAUUAAGAAUGGAUAAGUUGAAUAGACUUAGGGGUACAUUCAAUGACAAGUUGAUUGGUCGAGGACCAGCUCGUGUUCAAAAUGACGUCUGAGCCGAAAGGAUGAAUCCUAGGAUUCGACUGAUGAUGGUGAACAUCCGCAACUUAUUGAAUCAAGGGACUCAAAAAUGAUAGUGACAAAUGAUGCGAAUAAGAUUAGUAUACUUAUGGGAUUAACCAUAAUGCAAGCAAGCAAGAAUUUCAAAAACAACAGGCUGUUGAGGAUUUUCGAAAUAUCAAAUAGUAUUUCGAAGACUUUGGUGAAACACAUGAACAACGGGGAAAGAACGGAUACUCGGUAAGUGCGAGGAAUUAUCCAUAGGGGGGUAUUCAUGUGGCAAGAACUGCAAGGCGGUAGGCACAAAGUAUUAUCGGAACAUUGGAGAGAAUUUCGGGGUAUCUUGCAAUAGCAAGAUCAACGGGGAAUGAUUGUAUGAAUGGCAAGUGUACUUGGUUAUCCACUGGGGUUUAUCGAUGGAAUGGAAUUGCAAAAGCGAUGGUACAAAGUAUCGAGGGAACAUUGGAGAGUAACUUUGGAAUCUUCUAGUGCAUCAAGCGAUCAUGUGUAUCGAGUGGCUCUUCAGGAGGAAGUAGUUACGAGAACCUAGAGUUAGAGUUAGUAAAACCAUUUAACCCGAGUAGAAGGGAGAUAAGAGUCCCAGAGCAUAGACGAGGAAUAAAAGAUCAUAAUACCACCCAAUGGCGACGUGGGCCCAUAGGCCACACAGCCAUGUUAGUAAAGGUUUUGCAAUGACUAGACUCAACUUCGGCCAAGGAGUUGGAAAGGGGGAUUCCUACAGGCAGUCGGCUCUAAUACCAACUUGUGACGCCCCCGAUUCAAUCGUACACUAAUCAUGCACGCAAACGUGUACGAUCAAGAUCAGGGACUCACGGGAAGAUAUCACAACACAACUCUAAAAACAUAAAUAAGUCAUACAAGCAUCAUAGUACAAGCCAGGGGCCUCGAGGGCUCGAAUACAAGUGCUCGAUCAUAGACGAGUCAGCGGAAGCAACAAUAUCUGAGUAUAGACAUAAGUUAAACAAGUUUGCCUUAACAAGGCUACCACAAACUGGGAUACAGAUCGAAAGAGGCGCAGGCCUCCUGCCUGGGAUCCUCCUAAACUACUCCUGGUCGUCGUCAGCGGCCUGCACGUAGUAGUAGGCACCUCCGGUGUAGUAGGAGUCGUCGUCGACGGUGGCGUCUGGCUCCUGGGCUCCAACAUCUGGUUGCGACAACCAGGAAGAGAGGAAAGGGGGGGGGGAGGGGACAAAAGCAACCAUGAGUACUCAUCCAAAGUACUCGCAAGCAAGGAUCUACACUACUUAUGCAUGGGUAUCUGUGUAAAGGGGCAAUAUCGGUGGACUGAACUGUAGAAUGCCAGAAUAAGAGGGGGAUAACUAAUCCUAUCAAAGACUAAGCUUCUGGCAGCCUCCAUCUUGCAGCAUGUAGAAGAGACUAGAUGGUAAGUUCACCAAGUAGCAUCGUAUAGCAUAAUCCUACCCGACGAUCCUCUCCUCGUCGACCUGUGAGAGAGCGAUCACAGGGUUGUAUCUGGCACUUGGAAGGGUGUGUUUUAUUAAGUAUCCGGUUCUAGUUGUCAUAAGGUCAAGGUACAACUCUGAGUCGCCUGUUAUCGUGGACACGGCUAUUCGAAUAGAUCAACUUCCCUGCAGGGGUGCACCACAUUACCCGACACGCUCGAUCCCUCUGGCCGGGCACACUUUCCUGGGUCAUGUCCGGCCUCGGGAGAUCAACACGUCUCAGCCCCACCUAGGCUCAACAGAGAGGUCAGCACGCCGGUCUAAAUCCUAUGCGCGCAGGGGUCUGGGCCCAUCGCCUAUUGCACACCUGCAUGUUGCGUACGCGGCCGGAAGCAAACCUAGCCCCCUUAAUACAAGCGCGGGCUUACGGUCCAAUGCGGCGUGCGCCGCUCAGUCGCUGACGUCAAAAAGAGCAUCGGCUGAUACCACGACGCCGGUUGCCCAUAUCUUGUCCCACGUGGCGGUUAGUGCGUAUAAGGUCAACGACCCAACUCAGAUCAAAUACCAAGAUCUCGUUAAGCGUGUUAUUAUGAAGUAACCACGGACGCCGACCAGGGCCAGCCCACCUCUCUCCUAGGUGGUCUCAACCUGCCCUGUCGCUCUGCCACAAAGUAACAGUCAGGGGCCGUCAGGAACCCAGGCCCACCUCUACCGGGAUGGAGCCACCUGUCCUUUCAGCCCCCACAUCGGAAUCAUUUGCGGGUACUCUACGAGCCAACCCGAGUUUAGUCACCACAUGAAUCAUAUAAUGUAUAUAAGUAUAUACCUGUGAUCACCUCCCGAGUGAUCACGGCCCGAUAGUAUAGCACGACAGACGGACAAAUAUGUAGGGCCACUGAUGGAAUACUAGCGUCCUAUACUAAGCAUUUAGGAUUGCAGGUAAGGGUAACAACUGUAGCAACAAUGACAGGCUAUGCAGCAGAAUAGGAUUAAGCGAAAGCAGUAACAUGCUACACUACUCUAAUGCAAGUAGUAGAGAGAAGGAAUAGGCGAUAUCUGGUGAUCAAGGAGGGGGGGGGGGGGCUUGCCUGGAAGCUCAGCUGAGAAGGAGGGGUCGUCAACACCGUAGUCGUACUGGGUAGCGGUGGCGUCGGUCUCGGUGUCUAACGAGAGAAGAGGGGGAAGAAACAAUAAAUAUAAUGCAAACAUAAGGAUGACGGUGCAUGACAUGACAAUGAGCGUUGCUAGAUGUGCCCUAACGCGGUAGUAGGUGAUACCGGCGACGCGUUUUCGGACAGAUGAACCAGAGGGGAAAGUUGCGUGUUUGCUAUGCUACGGGUGUGUGGCGGGCGAACGGGCUGAGUAUCCGGAUUCCUCUCGUCGUUCUGAGCAACUUUCAUGUACAAAGUAUUUUCAUCCGAGUUACGGAUUAUUUUAUAUGAAUUUUUAAAGUUUUAAAUCAUUUCUAAAUUAUUAUUAUUAAUUUAAUUUGAAAUUAGUAUUAUUGCAUCAGCAUGACGUCAGCAGUCAACAGAGGUGUUGACUGGGGUCAAACUGACAUGUGGGGCCAGGGGGCUGGGUUGACCGAGUCAAAUGUCCAGUCAGCAGUUGACUAGUCAACUGUUGACUGGUCAAACCUGGGUAGUGGGGCCCAGGUGUCAUUCUCACAGUUUUAAGAUUUUAUUUUUUAAAAGAUAUUUAAAGGUGGGUCUACCUGUAAGUGUUAGGGGGGUACUUAAAUUAGUUUACAUUUAAACUAAGUUAAUGGCCCACGGUUCAGUGUCAUUUUAGGGGUUUUUAGUUAGUGGCUAAUGAUGCCUCGUCGGCAUGUUAAGCCGUCUAACCGCCUGGGUUAACAGGGGACGGCGGCGACGACCAUCCGGCCAACUGCAGCGUCAGCCGGACGCGUGACUAGGGGUGCCUGAAAGCCCUCGGCGCGGCGCAGCGGAUGGUGGUCGCGGUAGGUGCGAGGGCAGUCUGUUGCGGUGCCGGCGUCGAGGCGAGCGGCGGCCGGAGCGGGCGGCAGCGGCAGCCGCAGAUGGCAAGGCGAGCAGCGACACGGUAGGGGGGAAGCAGUGGUAGGCGGCGAAGCGCGAGAGCAGUGCGCGGGGCUGCGGUGGCGAUGCGAGCCAGGGGGAGCGACGACGCGGCCGGCGCGGUUGUGGCGCGCGCGAUCCGCGGUCGGGAGGUGCGAGUGGCUUGGCCGGGGCACGAUCUCGUGCGCAGUGGCGNNNNNNNNNNNNNNNNNNNNNNNNNNNNNNNNNNNNNNNNNNNNNNNNNNNNNNNNNNNNNNNNNNNNNNNNNNNNNNNNNNNNNNNNNNNNNNNNNNNNNNNNNNNNNNNNNNNNNNNNNNNNNNNNNNNNNNNNNNNNNNNNNNNNNNNNNNNNNNNNNNNNNNNNNNNNNNNNNNNNNNNNNNNNNNNNNNNNNNNNNNNNNNNNNNNNNNNNNNNNNNNNNNNNNNNNNNNNNNNNNNNNNNNNNNNNNNNNNNNNNNNNNNNNNNNNNNNNNNNNNNNNNNNNNNNNNNNNNNNNNNNNNNNNNNNNNNNNNNNNNNNNNNNNNNNNNNNNNNNNNNNNNNNNNNNNNNNNNNNNNNNNNNNNNNNNNNNNNNNNNNNNNNNNNNNNNNNNNNNNNNNNNNNNNNNNNNNNNNNNNNNNNNNNNNNNNNNNNNNNNNNNNNNNNNNNNNNNNNNNNNNNNNNNNNNNNNNNNNNNNNNNNNNNNNNNNNNNNNNNNNNNNNNNNNNNNNNNNNNNNNNNNNNNNNNNNNNNNNNNNNNNNNNNNNNNNNNNNNNNNNNNNNNNNNNNNNNNNNNNNNNNNNNNNNNNNNNNNNNNNNNNNNNNNNNNNNNNNNNNNNNNNNNNNNNNNNNNNNNNNNNNNNNNNNNNNNNNNNNNNNNNNNNNNNNNNNNNNNNNNNNNNNNNNNNNNNNNNNNNNNNNNNNNNNNNNNNNNNNNNNNNNNNNNNNNNNNNNNNNNNNNNNNNNNNNNNNNNNNNNNNNNNNNNNNNNNNNNNNNNNNNNNNNNNNNNNNNNNNNNNNNNNNNNNNNNNNNNNNNNNNNNNNNNNNNNNNNNNNNNNNNNNNNNNNNNNNNNNNNNNNNNNNNNNNNNNNNNNNNNNNNNNNNNNNNNNNNNNNNNNNNNNNNNNNNNNNNNNNNNNNNNNNNNNNNNNNNNNNNNNNNNNNNNNNNNNNNNNNNNNNNNNNNNNNNNNNNNNNNNNNNNNNNNNNNNNNNNNNNNNNNNNNNNNNNNNNNNNNNNNNNNNNNNNNNNNNNNNNNNNNNNNNNNNNNNNNNNNNNNNNNNNNNNNNNNNNNNNNNNNNNNNNNNNNNNNNNNNNNNNNNNNNNNNNNNNNNNNNNNNNNNNNNNNNNNNNNNNNNNNNNNNNNNNNNNNNNNNNNNNNNNNNNNNNNNNNNNNNNNNNNNNNNNNNNNNNNNNNNNNNNNNNNNNNNNNNNNNNNNNNNNNNNNNNNNNNNNNNNNNGAGUGGGGGGUUCGUGGGUUAGGGUUUCGGGCUAGCGGGUGUUAUGUGGGGAGUGGGUGGCCGGUUGGGCCGGCGAGGCGGGAUGGUGGCCUGCUGGGCCGAAGCCCAGUGAGGGAGGGGGGUCCUUUCCCCCCUUUUUUGUUUGUUUUGUUUUCUUUACUUUUUCUUAUAUUUCUUUUCUGUUUUAAUUUUAUUUCCCAAUUUGUUUUAGUUUGGUAAAAUAUUCAAUUAGCACCUAACAUAGUAACAUUAAUUAUACCACUGCCACAAUAACUUUCGCACCUAGCUAAAUAGUUUAGUAUUUUGUAAAAUAUAUUAGGAGUAUAACUAAUUGUUUUUGCUGUUGUUUUAAUCACUUUAGGGUAUUGAAUUAUUUUAUAAAUAUGUUGUUUCUCCACCAAUAAUAUCCAUAAUUUAUUUGUCACAUUAAGAACAUUUUAGUUUUGAAUUUUGUAAACUUUAAUUGUUUGACUUGAUUUUAAAUUUGAAAUUUGAACGGGAUUUGAAUCAUCGCAAGAUUAACAACUGUAAUCGUGGUGACGUGGCAUCAUUAGCGGAGGGUUACUGUAGCAUAACUAUCCAGGCAUCACAUACUGGUUUGAUAACCUUGGUCUCAUCACUAAGGGAAAUACCUACCAUAGCUGUGUUGCAUCAUCCCUGCCUCUUUGGGGAAAUACUGACGUAGCUUCAAGCCACAUCAGUAUAACCUUGCCAAGUUAGAGCAUACACCUCGAUGGGGGAAUAGGACUGGUCAUCUGUCUCUGAAUCCAUCUCCGAGGAGCUAUUGAGACCCAGCAAGAGAUCUGCUUCGACAGGUAGCACUGUCUGCUAUGAAGACCUUGUUUUCACUCCAGAUUUUUCCAUCACCCACUCGAAUGGCUGAUUCACAUGAAGAGUAGUUUAAUGUACAAACAUUGUCGGCAAAUGGAAAUGUAAUGAAGAAAAGGAUUGGCAAGAUAUCAUUCAAAUAUAUGAUGCCCGGUUAAACAGGAUGGCAUUGCAUAUUUCACAUACAUUAUGGCUGCCUAAAAGAGAUGAGACUACAUAAUUCUCAUAUAUGAUAUAGAAACUAAACAUGUGGCAUUAUAGAACAUGUCUAAACUAAGCAAAUGACAUAUAUGAUGUCGAAAGUAGGCACUGCAAGGCAACAUAUGCAUGAUAUGACCAACAUCAUCAUGCCAAGUUAGAGCAAACACCUUGGGGGGUAAAUAGGAGUGGUCAGCUUUGUCUGAAGCUGCCUCAGAAUAGAUAUCUUCCUCUGGAUUACAAUCUGGAGGGGGGGGGGAGGGUUUGCCAUUGAACCCACCAUGGAGUGAUGUCUGCAUGACAUUGUAUUGCCGAUGCAAAACUCUUCUCUUUUUCUCUACAUGUUUAGCAUGACUGUGUACAAUUUGUGACAUGCAUAUGAAAAAAAUAUAGUAAAAUUAUGUAAGGAGAGCAUGCAAAAAUCUAGAGUGAUGGUAACAACCAGUGGAUGGAUCCAACAAUAAUGAUAGCAGGCCGAUGAUAGCUUUAAUUUAAUAAAAAGACAGAUGAUGAUUGCUUUACUAUUUGUUUCCCACCCAAGAUGAACAACAUAGGCAUACCCUAGGUGAACCAGAUAAUAGAUAGAGAUUCUAUUCAUUGCUGCCCUCGAUAUGUGCCCCACAAGUAAUUUUAAAACUCAAGUUUGAACAUUAAUUUGGACCUGACUUGGAGUCUAAAAGGUGAACAGGACAAUAAAGUAGCAGGUAAUAUUAAGCAAUGCAUAACAUAAGCAGAAAUAAAAGAGUACAAUCUCUCUUGUGGACCCGUGUACUCCUCAGGUUCAUCUGCUGAGUCGAUGAUGGUGAUGCAGUUGCGAUGGGUGCCGGCGGCAGGGAAGGAGAUCUGAGGCGGCGAAAGACAGUCAGGAGUCGUGAUGUCUGGUUUGGUGGAUGCUUCUGUCGAUGGAGCAGCUCAGGUGAGGUGGACGACGUCGCGGCAAGAGCAGGACAAACGACAGAAAGUUUUCUUUGACACAUAUCUGUAACUGAAGUAAUUCUAUAAGGGCUCCUUUGGCUUGCAGGAUUCUAAAAACUCAGGGAUAGGAAAAACAUCGGAAUAGGAUAGGAAUGCACGUGGGAAACAAAGUAUUUGUAAACACAAGAUUUCUGUCAACUUGGGUGUUUGGUUCACAGGAAUUGGAAGAGUAGAGGAAUGCAAAGAAACAUGGCCAAAUUAAAGUGAAACCUUAUGAAAGCGUGUAUAGUUAGAAUGUUAUUCUGCCACUAAUACACUUGGUCUUGUUUUCAUGCAUGGGAUUUUGAAAAGUAGGUCGAGGUGGAUGUUUUGCUCCAUUCCUUUCGACGAAGUGCAUGAAUAAUUGAAUAGUAGAGUGCCAUAGGAAAAUUUCCUAUUGUAUGUUUUUCCUUCACUUUUUUCCUUUGAACCAAAAUAGCCCUAAUGGAUCGACAUGAAUGUAGAGUAAUAAGUGAUGCGACAAGUGUACAACUUCUUUGCCAUAGCCGUGUCGACCUCAGCAUCAUUGGGUUGGUCAUUGAAGAAGUUGUGGCAGGGGUGUCUGUCGAAGGCGUGGAGGAAGAUCUGAGUCGUCUAUAGACGGCGUCCAGGGCACUGCUCUGUUGUGAUGGGUUGUUUCGUCGUUGGAGCAGCUCCGGCGAGCCAUAGGACGCCGGGGCUGAAGCAGUACAAGACAGACAUCGUUAAUCUCAAGUGGGAUUCUAAUAGCAUCUCUAGUAGAUGGUGUAAAAUACAUUACCAAAAAGUGAUAGAUGUAAAAUUUACAUCACCAAAAAACACCUGACUACAACAAAUGAGGUAAAAACUAUUGACUCUGAACUUAACCGUCGAAACUGAAAUUUACUGUGGAAUCUGAAUGUUACUGUCGAAACUGAACGCACUGGUAGCAGAGAGGCACUUCACAUGUAGUUUAGGCCGCUCGAGCACUAGUAGUAGAGAAACUAUGAUCUAAAUCAGUAGGCGAUCGACGGGGAACACGGUGGCAGAUAGCAGCCGGAGCAGCAGCGCCUGGAGGAGCACCGCGAACUAGAGCCAGAGCAGCAACUCGUGUAGCUGCAGUAGCCCGUGUACUAACAUCAGCAGUGCAAGCGAGAGCAAGAGUAGAGUAGCAACAUGAGCAAGGGGAGAGCAGAACAGCAGCGUGACUGAGCGAGAGCCGGAGCAGCAGCAGUAGCACGAGCGAGCGAGAGCCGGAGCAGCAGCGGCUGAUCCGGCUGGUAUGGACGCUGCCGCCGAAGGGGCCUCGCACUGGGGGAGAGCCGCUGUAACGCCCACGAUGCGGCUAUAUCUCCCACGUGUCGAGGCACGACUUAGAGGCAUAACCGCAUAGUGGUUUUGUCGCAAGAAGGGUCAUCUUCACACAAUCCCAUGUAAUGAACAAGAAUGGGAUAAAGAGUUGGCUUACAAUCGCCACUUCACACAGUACAUAAAUAUAAAUCAUACAUCAUCCAAAAUACAAACAUAUAGACCGACUACGGUCAAGAUCCAAAUAAAAAUAAGAUAACCCCAAAUGCUAGAUCCCCGAUCGUCCCAACUGGGCUCCACUACUGAUCAUCAGGAAAAGACACAUAGUAACGACCACGUUCCUCGUCGAACUCCCACUUGAGAUCAACCCCAUCAACUGCACUGGCAUCGUCGGCACCUGCAACUGUUUUGGUAGAAUCUGUGAGUCACAAGGACUCAGCAAUCUCACACCCGCGAGAUCAAGACUAUCUAAGCUUAUAGGAAAAGAAGGUGUAGUGAGGUGGAGCUGCAGCGGCAAAAGCAUAUAUGGUGGCUAACUUGCGCAAAUGAGAGCGAGAAGAGAAGCAACGGAACGGACGUCAUCUAGCAAUGACCAAGAAGUGAUCCUGAACACCUACUUACGUCAUACAUAACUCAAACCGUGUUCACUUCCCGGACUCCGCCGAGAAGAGACCGUCACGGCUACACACGCAGUUGAUGUAUUUUAAUUGGGUCAAGUGACAAGUUAUCUACAACCGGACAUUAACAAAUUCCCAUCUGCCUCAUAACCGCGGGCACGGCUUUCGAAAGAUAAUACCCUGCAGGGGUGUCCCAACUUAGCCCAUCAUAAGCUGUCACGGUCAACGAAGGAUAAACCUUCUCCCGGAAAGACCCGAUCAGUCUCGGAAUCCUGAUUUACAAGACAUUUCGACAAUGGUAAAACAAGACCAGCAAAGCCGCCCGAAUGUGCCGACAAAUCCCGAUAGGAGCUGCACAUAUCUCGUUCUCAGGGCACACCGGAUAAGUCAAGCUAUGAGUAAAACCAGACCUCGAGUUUCCCCGAGGUGGCCCCGCANNNNNNNNNNNNNNNNNNNNNNNNNNNNNNNNNNNNNNNNNNNNNNNNNNNNNNNNNNNNNNNNNNNNNNNNNNNNNNNNNNNNNNNNNNNNNNNNNNNNNNNNNNNNNNNNNNNNNNNNNNNNNNNNNNNNNNNNNNNNNNNNNNNNNNNNNNNNNNNNNNNNNNNNNNNNNNNNNNNNNNNNNNNNNNNNNNNNNNNNNNNNNNNNNNNNNNNNNNNNNNNNNNNNCCGGGGGUUAAAAUAAGAUGACCCUCGGGCUCGCGAAAACCCGGGGGAAAAGGCUUAGGCGGCAAAUGGUAAAACCAAAGUUGGGCCUUGCUGGAGGAGUUUUAUUCAAGGCGAACUGUCAAGGGGGUCCCAUAAAUCACCCGACCGUGUAAGGAACGCAAACUCAAGGAACAUAAUCCCGGUAUAUCAGUAACUAGGGCGGCAAGAGUGGAACAAAACACCAGGCAUAAGGCCGAGCCUUCCACCCUUUACCAAGUAUAUAUAGAUGCAUUAAUUAAAUAAGAGAUAUUGUGAUAUCCCAACAUAUCCAUGUUCCGACAUGGAACAAACUUCAACUUCACCUGCAACUAGCAACGCUAUAAGAGGGGCUGAGCAAAAGCGGUAACUUAGCCAAACAACGGUUUGCUAGGAAAGGAUGGUUAGGGGCUGACAUGGAAAAAUGGGAGACAUGAUAUAGCAAGUGAUAGGUAGCGUAGCAUGGCAAUAGAGCGAACAACUAGCAAAGCAAAGAUAGAAGUGAUUUCGAGGGGUGGUCAUCUUGCCUGCAAGGUUCUCAGAGUUGUCGAAAGCUUGAUCCUCGUAAGCGUACUCAACAGGUUCCUCGUUCACGAACUCGUCUCCCGGCUCUACCCAAGACAAGAACACAAGCAACGGAACCACAAUCAAUCACGAGGAAUGCACAAGCAACAUGAUGCAAAACAUGUAUGAUAUGCGAUGCAUAUGCGUGCUCCGGAAGGAAAAUGAUGAACAAGGCAGUAACUUGGCAAACCAAGCAUCCCACUGGAAAGAUGAGAUGAUUUUGGUCAAAAUCAAUAUAAAGAUCACCGGAAAUGGAUGCACGGUUUGCAAAUGGCAAGCAAAACAAGAAUGACACGAAUCUGCGAUUAACAGCAUGAUGGCACUUAAAAUGCAACAAGUAGCAAUGCUACAGCACUCCAACAUAGCAACAAAGCAUAUGAAAGUAAUCUACAGGAGAUGCUUGACAAAAGAAGAACACUGAGCUACGGCUAGAUCACAACAUAUCAAGCUCAAACAAGCAUGGCAAAAGUGCAAAAGAUAACAGGAUCACAGACAGUGAAAAACUGGACAUGGCAGAAAACAGCAUCAGGUAGCAAUGUUCAGAGCACGAAAUUAACAUGCUACAGGAACUUAACAUAGCAAAACAAGGCAUGGCAGUGUUCUACUAAAUGCAUAUGACAAAAGUCCCUUACUGACCAUAAGCCAAAAAGGACCAUAAGAUAUGAUGGCAAGCAUGUAAACAUAGCAAGUUUCGUUAUCAGGUUCCAGACUUCGCAGAAAACAGAGCAUGACAGAAAUAAUAAUAUGUAGGCCUGUUUAUGAGCUUGAUGCACUCACUACAGAGCAAUGCAUGACAAAACUAGCAUACCUACAGCAAGUUGGCAUGUUUAUGAAGCUAACCAUGGUAAGAACACAAGCAUAGCAUGUAUGGAUCAACUACAAUAAGCUUGGCAAAAUUGCAUAUCAUGUUAAGAAUCUGCCAGAAAUAUUUUAUAGCAAAAGUAGAGCAAGAUUGAGUCAUGCUAUGGCACUCCAUAAUUGCAAACAAUUGCAGGAAUGGAUUAAUUACAACAAUAGCUACACAACAUUCUUACUGAACAUCUCCAAAAUAUGCAUGGAUCUCUCUGUAGCAUCAAGUUUACAUGGCAAGAAAAUAACAGCAGACAAGGACUUGGAGAAAUCACUAAGUCCCUGAAAUCAGAAACAUUACGGGGCCUACUUUGCAUGCUUGUGCUUGUCACCACAGAUAUCACAAAAAUACAUGGCAUAUACCACUGGAAAUAUGGCAUGGCCUACUUCAAAACACAUAUAGAGCUCAUGCCCAUAAGAUGCACAGAAUUAAAGAUACAAAAAUGACAAAUCUCCAAGUUCUGUUAAGAACCAGCAGAUAACAGCAACUAGCCCUCUUCCAACAGAGAUUUGGGCAUCAAUAUGACCUCUAAUGAACAUGGUGCAAUUGAACAAAAUGAAGAGCAUCACGAGACGAACAAUUUGACAUAUUACACGCGCGAAUUGGAGCUACAUGCAAGAAGUUAUGGAGCUGUGAACAGAGGCAUAUGCUGUGAAAAUUAAGGACUUAGAGAAAUUAGGGGGGGCGAGAAAGUCAACGCUACAGUGAUUUGCCGAUCGGAUAUGGGACAGAGCUCGGGCUCUGCCCGCCGGCGACGAAGGAGAGGAAGGCGAGGCGGGGCGGCGGCCGUAGGGAGGAGGAAGGGGACGUCGACGGCGGCGGCUCCUCGGGCAGCGCGCCCCGGGCGGCGGCGNNNNNNNNNNNNNNNNNNNNNNNNNNNNNNNNNNNNNNNNNNNNNNNNNNNNNNNNNNNNNNNNNNNNNNNNNNNNNNNNNNNNNNNNNNNNNNNNNNNNNNNNNNNNNNNNNNNNNNNNNNNNNNNNNNNNNNNNNNNNNNNNNNNNNNNNNNNNNNNNNNNNNNNNNNNNNNNNNNNNNNNNNNNNNNNNNNNNNNNNNNNNNNNNNNNNNNNNNNNNNNNNNNNNNNNNNNNNNNNNNNNNNNNNNNNNNNNNNNNNNNNNNNNNNNNNNNNNNNNNNNNNNNNNNNNNNNNNNNNNNNNNNNNNNNNNNNNNNNNNNNNNNNNNNNNNNNNNNNNNNNNNNNNNNNNNNNNNNNNNNNNNNNNNNNNNNNNNNNNNNNNNNNNNNNNNNNNNNNNNNNNNNNNNNNNNNNNNNNNNNNNNNNNNNNNNNNNNNNNNNNNNNNNNNNNNNNNNNNNNNNNGACGACGACGGUGACGUGGCGGCCCCGGAUUGGCUGCGGGCGCGGUUGCGAUUUCGUCCGGCGGCGCUGGACGCGUCCGCCCGCGGAGAGGAGUUUUUUUAGGGUUUCGGGGACUGCGAAUGUUAUUUCGGAAUGCUCACAUAUUUAUAGGUAGAGGGAGCUAGGAGGCUCCAAAUGAGGUGCGGUUUUCGCCCACACGAUCAUGAUCGAACGACCUAGAGCAUGGAAGAGAGUUUGGUGGGUGUCGUGGAAUUUUCACGGCAGAUGUCCUCAAGCUAGGACUUAGUCGUGGAGCCAUCGCCGCUAGGAAGCUUGAAGGGGUUAAACGGGACAAGGAACACAAGGGUUUAUACUGGUUCGGCCCCUUACGGUGAAGGUAAAAGCUACGUCCAGUUGAGGUGGUAUUGAUAAGGGUUUCGAUGACCAGGGAGCUAAACCGCUAUGCCUGGCUCUCGAUGAGAUCUUUCUUGUCCUUAAACCGCUGCCGGGUCGUCCCUUUAUAUAGGGAGGCUGACACCCAGCAGCUCUCAGAGUCCCGGCCGGCUCAUAAGAGUGUCCGGCUCGGACUCUCAACUAUUCUUGCCUUAUACUACAAGCUCUACCAUAAUGAUGAUUGUAACUACGUGCCUUAAGCCAUAUCCGGGUCUUAAGCCCAUCUUUGGCCCACCGUUUUCAAGCUUGGCGCCGGGCUUCUGGCGAUGACCAUUAUGAGUAACCCGGCCCCUCCUGGCGGGUGACUCUAAGGUUUAUAUCCUCAACAUUAGGCCCCAGAUUGAUUUGAGCCGGCUCAUGUCAAUCUUCAAUUCUUUCGACAGAAAUUCUCCGGCUUACACUUGUGUGAAGGCCAUAACCCGGCGUGACGUUAUCCCCUGGACUCCGGGUAAUCCGCCGUGACGUCAUCUUCCAUUAAGUCCAUUUUUACUCCACUAUAUCCGCAACGGAUCUUAUCUUUACUGCCAUCCCAAAAAUCGAGGCGUUUCGUGGGGAGAUAACCACGCCGUGGUCUCCUCGUUUCUCGCGCCCACUUAUGAGCUCGCCCUUAUAAGUAGUCCGACCCUAGGGUCUUUCCAUUCUCCCCCUUCUGUCGUCUCCUUCCUCUCGCUGCUCCCGUGCUGCCCGAGCUCCGCCGCCGCCGCCGCCGCAACAGAGCUCUGCAUCCUCGUCGUCCUUGGCCGCUGCAUCACCCUGAACCGUCCAGAGAACCGCGGCGAACCCCUGCAUCUGUAAGUUCCUUCCUCCUCGUAGGAUAGAUCUACGUUAAGCUCCUGCUGUUCUUCCGUGUUCUUCGCCGUCGCCCACGAGUUCUUGGUAGUUUUCGUUUUUACUGCCUCUUCUUGAUCUUAAGAUAGCAUAGAACCAACGCGGCGGCCGUUUGGCACUCAUUUCAAAUGCAAGUAGACCUCUUUUGACUGCCUAAAGGCCCCGUUCGAGCCCAAGAACUUCCCUCGCGUCUGUUUUUAGGUCUAGAAACUUUCCUUUUAGUCGACCGUUUUGAUCCAAAUUAUUUACUGCAAUGUGUGAAAACUGUUUUCACCACACUUAGUAAAAAAUUGCACCCGUUGAGUCAUGGCGGUUUACAUUUCCGGUUUAAAGAAACCACGCGCCGUAGGAUCUUCCGGCUCAAAGGAGGCCAUGCGCCAUAAAAUUUUCCGGCUUAUCUGUGACAAGGUCGUAGACAAUCGAAUUACUUCUUAAUACCCCCAGCGGCUUAGAUAACCCAAUGCAAUUAGAUAUAUGUCAUUAGGCCCCUCCAUAAGCCGCCACUUUAACACUGAACUGUAAAUUUCCUCCGGCUUAUAAUUAAACCGGGCAUGUUUCCUUUUAUCAUAGGCUUCCGACUUUCACCAUGCCUCCCAAAGCUCCUAAAGCACCCAUCACUUGCAAUUGGAUGAGGUCCAACGUCACCGACGAGACCUUAAUGGAUUUCAUGAAGUCAGGUUACCUGCCCAAAAAGGACGUCAUGUCCUACCGUGCCCCCGACCCAUCAGAGGAGAGACCACAGCCGAGGGACGGGGAAGUGGUAGUUUUUGCGGACCAUAUGAGCCGGGGCUUCGCACCGCCCGGCUCAAAGUUCUUCAGAGAUGUGCUGAAUUUCUUCGACCUGCGGCCUCAAGACAUAGGACCCAACUCGGUGUCAAAUAUAUGCAAUUUCCAAGUGUUCUGUGAGGUCUACCUUGGAGAAGAACCCAGCCUGCUGCUCUUCAGAGAGCUCUUCUACCUGAAUCGUCAGAACGAGUGCGCCAACGGGCCAAGCUUGGAACUUGGUGGCAUCUCCAUUCAGCGGCGGAGAGACUGCCUUUUCCCUUACGCCGAGCCACCAAGUCACCCAAAGGACUGGAACCAGACGUGGUUCUAUUGCCAAGACACGUCGCCGGCUGAUGAGAGCCCGCUGCCCGGCUUUCACCCUUCACGUCUGGAACCAACUCACCCUCUGUCUGACAAGUUAACUCAAGUGGAGCGCCAACCUCUGCUCCCCACCAUCAACAAGAUCAAGGCUCUUCUGGGCAAUGGUCUCAACGGAAUUGAUCUGGUCCGGGUCUGGAUCUCAUGGCGGGUGAUCCCCUUGAGCCGCCGCACCGGCUUAAUGUGUGAAUACACAGGCCGGAAAGAUGACCCCCUGCGACACAGCCGCAACGAUCUUCCUGAAGAUGUGGCUGAAGACAUGACCAAGGCCCUUUUAAAUGAGAGCUUGGCAGACUGCGGGAGGACCGGGUUAGCCCCCUUCUGCAAGACCAACCCAGCCCCAGCGGUUAGCCGCUGAACUGAACAUCUUAUCUUCUUCUGUAGAUAACCUUCAUCUGAAUCUUUAAGAAAUCAUCAUUGUAUUUUUCAGGCUGAUGACAAAUUUUGGAAGGUCAAAUAUGACCAUGAGGCGGCCAAGAAGGCUAGGAAGGCUAAGAAAGCUGCCAAGAGAGCCGCUCCCCGCAAGAAGGGAAGUAGGCCUACUGCUUCAGAGCUGCUGCAACUAAGCGACAGCUCCGAGUCAGAGGUAACCCCUGAACCUGUAAUCUCUUGUUGUAUUUAUUUUGUAUUUCUGUCCACCUUAUCAAUACUGUUCAUCAACAGGAUGACACCGGAGCAAGUAACCCGGUGGUUGAAGAGGUAAUGAUACUUUCCUCCGACUCGGAGCCCUUGCCAAGGCUGAAAGUCCGAAGGGUAACCCGGAAAGUAAGAUUUUCACAUCCUUUAGCUUAUCAAGAUCCUCAAUUUCUUUUGAAGCAACAGAUUCAUGAGAGCCGGCGGCACACCCGGACCAACAAGGACGCCGACCUCUCUUCCGGUUUACCUGACGCGUCGAGGAAACGCCAGAACGAGGUGAUCUCAAACUUGUACCCUUUUCAUCCUUUGGCGGGUGUUAUACGUCAACCGCUCAACUCUUCUGACUCAAUUUAUCAGGAAACUUCCCCCUCUUCUGGCAACUCUAUGCAGUCGAACCUGCCGGCUUUCAAGACCGUGCCCGGGUAAUGAUGAUCAUCUCAUGUUGUACUUGUCUUUACUUACACUUUUGUGCUUAACCUUUUUGUCUUUUCAGUGCCCAGGCAAAACUCACCAAGAAGGCGAAGAAGAACAAGCCGGUCGAAGAGCCGGACUUGCCUGAACCGGAGGUAGCAGCUCAAGAACCGCCAGCUGCCUCCGCUCCCGAAGCCACCGCUCCAACCGACAAGGCAACUGCAGAAGCUUCUGCUAACCCGGAGACCUCCAGCUCGGCUCAGCCGGCCAAUGACCCGGACGUGGUAAUCACCCGGACGGAGUUUGUUGAGCCGGGGAGACCUACUGCACUGGCCAAGUGCUCUGCCAAGGAGGAGUUGCUACAGCACCGCCGGGUUAAUCUAGACCUCACCGACUACGCCAACCUGAACAUCGGAGAGAUCGUCUCCGGCUAUGUCAGCCAAGUGCACAAGAGCCGGGAUGUAGAGAUCAACAUGGUGAACCAGAUUCAGCAGAAGUCUGAGGUACUACUCUUCUUUCUCCUUGCUUACUGCAUAGUUAUCUUGUUAUUCUUACCAUACUCUAGCCCCCAAGUCUACGACUUAUGAUAAAAUAUGUUGUAGACUUAAGUUCCGGCUUACUCGCUUGAACCGGCAAUUUGUAAAUAGAAACGUUCGAUAUGCAUUAGCCCCCAAGUGCCAAGUGUCUUUGCUUGGAAAGUGCUUGGGACUUUGAAAUUGCGUAAUAACUAUUCAUCCUAUAACCCGAAAAUUAUGCAGGCUGCUUGCAAGAAGUUUGAAGCUGACAUCUCCGAUCUGAAUACCUGCCUGAGGACGCAAGAAACUGAGACCCGGAAGGCUAAUGCCAAAUUUGUGUCCAGUAUUGCUGCGCAAGAAAAGCUGAAGACGGACUUUGAUGCUGAACGGAAAGCUUGGGCCUUAGAGAAGGCUACUCUGGUGAACCGGGCCGAACAGGCGGAGAGGGCUCUGACAGAGAAGACCGCCGAACUCUCCGGCUUAAAGUGCCAAGUGUCCCAGAUGGUUGCCACAAUCUUCGGUAAGUCAUUCCACCGGCUUUCAUCCAGUUCAUAAUUUUUAUGUCUCAUAACCCAUCAUUGCCGGCGGCUUUAUCUUACUCUGUUACACAGGUCCCAGAAGCGCCAACCUCAACCAAAGUGUGGUAACCAAGUUGAAGGCCGUGUAUACCCUGGUGGAGCAAGUCUACACCGGGUCACAGCGUGCCUUGGCUGUGGUGGCCCUAUCCAAUGAGGUGCCGACUCACCUGGCGGAAGUUCUUCGCCGGCUUGCCGUUCUUCCCCAACGUGUCCAAGAGCUGCGGCGGGCCUCUGCAAGAGCCGGAGCCAUAGCUGCUCUGAGCCGGGCCAAGGCGUUCCUUCCAGAACUAGACCCAGCGGACAUUGCUCUGGGCUACCCCAGUUUGAAGGAAGACGGCACCCCCUUCGACCAAAGGGACUUUGCAGCCUGCGUGAAGAUCGUACGCCCGGUGGCCACUCUGAUUGGCAAUGACACGGAUCUGACUAAGUACCAGCCGGGUUAUGAUGCAGAGAAUCAGAGGAUCCCCACUCCGCGCUAUGAAGCCAUCAGCUUAGUCCCGCCGGCUCGUAAGCACACCUUUGCCCCGGAGAUUGACCCGGCCGGGUUAAUUGACGAGGAAGCCCAAUUUGAAGCUCUGAGCGGCAUUGACUGGAAGUCGUCAACUUUCUAGGUCUUGGGAACAGCCGGAGGAGCGGAGAGGGAUGAGCCAGAAAGUUCAGCUCAGCAAGCAUCGUAACUCUGCAGGCGGCUUAUUAAACAAUGCUUCACCCUUUUGGACUCGAUGAGUCUUCUAAUAGAGUAGGACCAACACUUUAACUUUGCCGUGCCAUCGUGCACGCGUUGAAUGCUGAAUUCCAUUUAAGUUAUCUCCUUUAUACCUCUCCGGGUCAUAAUUGAUCAUUCAUUUUCCUUAAUCUCAAAUAGUUGCCUUUAACUAUCCUGCAUAGAAAGACAAAUCACAAGUCUCUAGGCGGCUUACCGCACUGAGAAUCGUAGUUUUAGAUAUAUAACCCGGAAGAUGAAUCAAAAAGACUGGUCCUCAAUUAUGUCUUUGAUAUACCCGUAAUAACACAAUUACCGGCCUGCAAGCACACUGCCGGCUUAUAUAACCCGGGUAAUAAGGUUGGUACCUCAAUUCCGGUUUACCAGUAUUAAGAACGCCGAUUGUAUUCGAUGAGUACUGUAAAUCAAAGUUUAAGCCGGCAAAGUGAGACCCGCCGUGUAUACUUGAAAUAAUCAGAAGAACUUGCUAUAAAUCAGAAAAACUUAGAGGCUUCUGGUUCGAAUACGACCAGAGACCCGUCCCAAAGGGGUUAUGCUAAGAUUCGAAUGCGAUCAUAUAGCCCCCAGUGGGUGUGGCGAUGCCAAUCAAGAGGGUACCGACAGCUAUGUUCUCUUUGGUUCGAAUACGACCCAUGUUUGAACAGGAAGCCCCCAAAUGAUCUUAAGAAUUGUUUAACGACGCUGAUUCGAAUGCGAUCCACGUCGGUUCCCAAAGGGGUUAAACUAUGAUUCAAAUAUGAUCAAAGAAAACUCCCCAAUGAGCUCGGCACUUUGCCAAUCAAAUGGGUAUCGACAUCCAUGUUCUCUUUGGUUCGAAUACGACCUAUGUUUGAACAGGAAGCCCCCAAGUGACUAUAUUGUGUAUGGCUAGAUUCAAAUACGAUCAUAAGCCGGACCCUCCUUCAAAUUAUCAUAUGAUCUUGUAAUGAAAAUAACACGUUUAUCUUUGGAGGAGAAAAAAGGACAGAGGUCCUGCUUUAUUGCUUAUCAUAAUAUAUACAUGGCUUAGGGAAAUAUGUACAUUAUGAGAGCCAGUGGCUCAAGUGUAAUAAGGCCGAAGCUGAGCUAUGUUCCACGGCCGACGGGUCUCUUCCUCCGACUUACGUGAAUCUUUGUGCUCCCGAAUGUCAAUGAGGUAAUAUGACCCGUUGUGCAAAUUCUUGCUGACCACAAAGGGCCCUUCCCAAGGCGGGGAUAGCUUGUGCGCAUUUGUUUGAUCUUGGAUGAGCCGGAGCACCAGAUCGCCUUCCUGGAAGACCCGGGAUUUAACCCGGCGACUAUGAUAACGGCGCAGGUCCUGUUGGUAAAUCGCUGAGCGAGCUGCUGCCACAUCACGCUGUUCGUCCAACAAGUCAAGAGCAUCUUGGCGCGCCUGUUCAUUAUCCACCUCAACAUAAGCCGCCACUCGAGGCGAGUCAUGACGGAUGUCACUGGGGAGGACUGCUUCCGCUCCAUAAACCAUGAAGAAAGGUGUGAAACCUGUAGACCUGUUAGGAGUAGUGUUGAUGCUCCAUAACACGGAGGGUAACUCCUCCACCCAACAACCUGACGUCCGUUGUAAAGGGACCAAAAGCCGGGGUUUGAUGCCCUUCAGAAUCUCCUGAUUAGCCCACUCAGCUUGACCAUUGGACUGAGGAUGAGCCACUAAUGAAACAUCAAGUCGGAUAUGCUCUCGUUGACAAAACUCCUCCAUGGCGCCUUUGGAUAGAUUGGUACCAUUGUCAGUUAUAAUGCUGUGCGGAAAGCCAAAGCGAAAAAUCACCUUUUUCAUAAAUUGAACCGCCGUGGCUGCAUCACACUUGCUAACUGGCUCCGCUUCAACCCACUUGGUAAAUUUGUCAACUGCCACCAAGAGGUGGGUCUUCUUAUCCUUGGACCUUUUAAAAGGCCCAACCAUAUCAAGCCCCCAGACCGCAAAGGG